UUCUCCACCUCUCUGUUUUCAGUUGCAAUGCUUCUCUUUCGUGGUCUUUCUUUCAAUGGGUAAAAAAUUCUAUUCCCACCUAUAACCACUCUCUGCAAUCUACGUGGACAAUGGUUCACAUUCUUACCAAGCACAAACAUUUCAAGACUGCACACCACUUGCUCGACAAAAUUCCUAACAAAGAUUUCUUGUCCUCAAAUUCCGUUUUGAAGGUUUUGGUGAGUACCCAUUCGGACGUUGAAGUUAAUUCUCAUGUUUUAAGUUGGUUGGUGAUAUCAUAUGGGAAAUUGAGAAUGACCCAAGAUGCUUUACAGGUUUUUGAGUCGAUGAGAGUUCAUGGGUUAAAGCCUCAUUUACAUGCUUGUACUGUGCUUUUAAAUUGUUUGGUUAAAGAUAAAUUGAUUGAUAGCGUAUGGAAAAUCUACAAGAAAAUGGUUAAACUUGGGGUGGUUGUGAAUUUACACGUUUAUAAUGUCUUGCUUCAUGCUUGUUGUAUGGCUGGUGAUGUCGAAAAGGCCGAAAUGGUAUUGAGUGAGAUGGAAUUGAAGAACGUUUUUCCAGAUCUUAUUACGUUCAAUACAAUCAUCGUUUUGUAUUGUAAAAAGGGUAUGCAUUAUGAAGCAUUGUGUGUGCAAGAUAGGAUGGAAAGAGCUGGGAUUAGUCCAGACAUUAGAACUUAUAAUUCACUUAUUUAUGGCUUUUGUAGACAAGGUAGAAUGCGAGAAGCUUUAAGACUAUUUAAGGAAAUGAAAGGUGUUAGUGUUAGUCCUAACCAUGUCACUUACACUACUUUAAUUGAUGGUUAUUGUAGAGUGAAUGAGCUAGGAGAAGCAUUAAGAUUGCGAGACAUAAUGGAGGCUAAAGGGAUUUAUCCAGGAGUAGUUACUUAUAACUCAAUCAUUCGUAAGUUGUGCGAAGACGGUAAAAUAAGGGAAGCUAAUUGGAUUUUGAAUGAGAUGAAUGAAAAGAAAGUUGAACCUGAUAAUGUGACUUGUAACACAUUGAUCAAUGCAUAUUGCAAGAUUGGAGAUAUGGGGUCUGCUAUGAAAGUGAAGAACAAGAUGAUGGAAGCCGGAUUGAAGUUAGAUCAAUUUACAUUCAAGGCAUUGAUUCAUGGAUUUUUCAAGGUGAAUGAAAUGGAUAGUGCAAAAGAUUACUUGUUCAACAUGCUUGAUGCAGGGUUUUGCCCUAGUUAUUGCACCUAUUCAUGGCUUGUUGAUGGGUAUUGUAACUUAGGCAAAGAAGAAGAAGUUAUGAAGUUUCCAGAUGAAUUGUUGAAAAGAGGCUUAAUUGUUGAUGUCUCGGUGUACAGGGCACUCAUAAGACGGUUCUGUAAACGAGAAAGGCUCGAUUGCGCCGAAAGAAUAUUCGGCGUUAUGCAAGGAAAAGGUAUAUGUGGAGAUAGUGUAAUAUAUGCUAACCUAGCAUAUGGUUAUUGGAAAAUGGGGAAGGUGAAUGCUGCUUCAAAUCUAUUAAAUGAAAUGUAUGAAAAGAGGUUGAUGAUAACUCUCAAAAUCUAUAGAUCUUUCACUGCUUCAUAUGGUGGUGAUAAUAAUAAUAGCAUUUUAGUUUUGUUUUGGAAUCAUGUGGUUCAAAGGGGAUUAAUUUCUAAGAGUAUUUUGAAGGAUAUCAAUAAAGGUGAGAUUUGAACCUAAGUUGUAGCCUAUUGGUCUGGUAUUUUACCUUAAGAAGAGCUUGGUUCGAGUAAUCGUUGUAAAAAAAAAAGAUUUGGAUUCAUGAAUUAACCUUUCAUAUAGCAGUUCAUAUGGUUCAAAAUUCAACUGCUAUUUCCCCUUUUUUAUUCUUGCUUCUUAAAAGGUAAUGUGAGCAUAGUUAUACUUUGCAAUAUAUACUUGUAGACACCCAACUUCAUGAGACUUAAUUUCAAUUAAGCGUGAGCAAAAUUCGAAGAACUCGAAAAAAAUUUUAAUUUCAGGUUAUCGAAUCGAGUUUUCGGUUUAUUUGAUUUCGAGUUGAGUUGAAAUUUAUAAUUCGAAUAACUUGAAUAAUUUAAAUAAUGGAUUUGUGUAAAUACUCUUUUUUCUCAUCAAUCUCGAAAAUGAGCAAAUUAGACUUUUUCAACAAAAAAAUUCAGAAUAAUUUUCAAAAAUUUAAAAUAUUUAUAAAAAAUCAUAAUUUAAAAAAAUUAAAAAAUAUAAAGAAUAUAUAAAAAAAUUAAAUUUUUUUAAAAAAAUUUGAAAUAAUAAUUUUGAUGACCUAAACAAGUAAAUUACAAAUUCAAGUCUAUCGUACUAAAAUAUCUUCUUCUUCUUUUCUCGUACUUUGCUUUGAAAGAAUUUCAAAUAUAUAAGGUUUCAAAUUUAUAUGCUCUAAUUUGGAAUUAAUUCCAUUGUAACAAGAUUUUAUUUGAUAUGUUUAAACUUUUAAUUUAAUUCAAACAAUUUCACUCGAUUUGAAUCAACUUAAAUUUCAUUUCACUCAAUUCGAUUUGAAAAAAAAAUUCAAAUAAAGUUAAGAUGAUAAAAUAGAACUCGUCAGUUCGACUAACUCGAAUUUUUUCACUUGAUUCGAUCGAACAUUCACACGUGGAUCUAAUUCAAUAUUGUAUUAAUUCCAUUUUGAUUCAAUUUUAAUUAUCAAAUUUAAUAACUCAAAAAAUUACUCAUUUGUUAGACUUAUUAGAACCAAUUAUGUAAGUAAAUAAAAAUAUUGAUAUAAAUAAUAAUUAAGAAUUGGUUUUUUGUUCUAGAUUCUAUUAAAAAUAUAAAUUUAUUUUUGGUUAGUUUGUUUACAAAACGAAAUUUAUAUAAAAGUGCAAUGACUAAAUUCUUAAAAAUAAAAGUAGAUGGAAUACAUUCUUAAAAUGCAGAGAGACUAAAUUCUUAAAAGAAUAAAAGUACAGGAACUAAAUUUCAAAUUUGUAAAGAGUACAAGGACCUAUGACAUAUUUUAACCUUUUAAAUAUCGAUAAAUUUGAAACAAUACCUCAAAGCAAAUUAAUAUCAAUACUAGUUUGAAUAGAAAAAUGAUACGCUUACGGCCAAAAAUUCUACCAUGCUUUUGCAAAAAGAGAAAAAGUAUAUCGAAAAUUUUAAUUAUAGCAUUAGAAAUUUUGGAUAACCUCUAAGGUGGGAUAUUAUUAUAGUGAGAUAUUGUUGGAUUUUUUUAAAAUUAACAAUUGUGAAUAAAUGAGGGAUUAUAUUCAAAUUAUUAAAAAAAGUAUAAAAAUUAUAAAAAAAUAUAUUUUUUAAUAAAUUUAUUUUUUUAAAAUUAAUUCAUUAGUAACAUGGUAUACACAUAGACUAUCACAUGAUUCAUCUAUUUUAAGGUGAUUUUACAAGCUAUACAAGUUCAGAGAUUAAAAAGAAACAAAAAUUAAAUAAAUAAUUAAAAUAUAUUUUUUAUAAAGUUAGAGGACCAAAUAAGAAUUAUUCCAUUUUAGUAUUAGUAUAACGUGAUUCUUUUUCUCCGGAACGCACAGUAGAAUUUGCCGUCUACCGGCGGUACUUACUACUUUAAUUUUCACACUACAAAGCACAAAGUGUGACUAAAUUAUAGGUCAGUGAUAACAUCACCCUGCCAGCCACGUAUCUAAUCACAGCCAACCAUACCAUAUAUAAAUGAACACGCUUUACAGCCACUAAAAUUGCUCAACGUGAUAAAAGUAAAAACGUGGCACGUGGUAAAGAUAAGAAUUUGAAAUCCACGUGUCGCACUAGUGGAGACUCCCAACAAAAAGACGGCUUUUGAUGUGGAUGGAUAAUAACAAAAGCUUACUUGUCGGUUAUGUCAUGACAUGUGAAAGUCGUUCAAAAGGGCACCGAAAAGUGCCACGUGCAAGCUUGGAUGAUGUUCAAAAUCGCGUUACGUGCCGUAUGUCCAGACGGUUUCGCGUUUGCAACGCUACAAUUUCUACACUCUUUUGCACUUCUAUUACUUCACUCUACUUAGCUCCACUGCGUACGGAUUUUACGUAUAUACCCUCAAUGCUCUUUUUAAUACAUAUAUUAUUAGUAAAAUAUUUAAAAUUUAAAAUAAAUAAAUCUCUUAUUUAAAAAAUUAACCAUUUAAUAAUUUAUAUAUAUGAAAUAAAUCAAUAAUUUAAUUUUAUGCAUUCAACAAUAAUUAAACUUUGAUUUUGUGUAAUUUUAUAUAUAAAAUUUUAAUUUGAUUCAAUUAUUAUAAAUUAUUAACAUAAUUAUUGACAUAAUAUUAUUUUAUGUUUAUAUAUUCUAUACAUAAAUAAUCAUAUUUAUUCAAUAUAAAAAUAAAUUAAUAUAUUUAUUUCUUUAAAUACAUAUGAUUAAAUUAAAAUUAAAAUUUUACGUAACUAGAGUUUUAUGUAUAUAAUUUUAAAAUUUACAUCUUAAAAAAUAUUGGUUUGUUGUACUUUAAAAACAUGAAAAUUCUGUACUUGUGGAAAGUCAUUAAAAUUCCAGAAAAGGGGUAAUAAUGGAAAAGCAAAGAACAGGGAAGGGGAUUUGUGUUAAUUGUAGAAAGGAAAAGAGAGAAUAAGAGGAAGGGUGUUAGAGUGACACACGUGGCUAAAUAAUGGAUUCCCUUUUAAGGAAUUAGCCGUGUGUGUGUCUUUCUAGAACUCAAAAAAGCAAAGCCAGCCAGCCAACCGAACACACAUUGAAGUGUGCCAAAAAACCGAAACACAGGAAUGUUACGGCAGAACAGACGAUACCAUUGCCAAGCUGCUAUCUUACAACCAAUCAUCUUUUCACCAAGUUAUGGGCACUCAAUCUAUUUUUUUAAUAUUCUUGUUUGGCCUAUAAGCCUUCAACGUGGAGCAUAUUUAGGGAAUAAAUAAAUAAAUGAAUAAAGAUUUCUUCAAUCAAAAGGCAAACAUGAUUUGUAGUUGUAAGCAAUAUAUGCCAUUGUUUUGGAUUUUUAUUUACUAUUUUGUUUAUAUUUGAUGUAAUUAAAAAAUAUAUUAUUACCGAUUGAGUUUAAACUCGAUUGGUAUGAGUAUUGUUAUCAAUAUAGAAGAACGUGAAUUCGAGUACGAUGAAACGCAUUAUCCUCUUAUUUAUGAGUUAGGGAGGGAAAUAACGUUCUCUUUUCAUGGUUCAUAUUUUGACUUUGUCUCUAAACUUUAAAAGUUUCUAAUUGAGUCCUAAAAAUAUUAGUAUCUUAUCAAUAAAGUCUUUUGUCACUUAAAUGCUAGCUCAAAAAUAAACUAUAAGCAUGUGUGUACCUACUGCAUUAACAUCUUGGAUUCAUAGUGUUAAAAAGAAAUAGCCCUCCUAUAUAUUUUUUAACCGUCAUAUUCGAGUUGUUGAUGUGAUAUACAUACACAUGAUUACAAUUUGAUCAACGUAUUUUAAAUAUGUUCCAUGACAAAUCUUAACUACCGUAUAGCAUCUAAACUGACAUUUGCAUUGAUGGAAAGACUUGAAUAAUACAACAUUGAUACUUUAAAAACUUAAUUAGAAUGAUUUGAAAUUUAGGGACCAAAUUAAAAUAUGAAAAAUUGUUUAGGGACGUUUUUAUGAAACUAACCUUAGAAAAAAGUGGGUAGAAUAGCAGUAGGAAAGUGAUAAGAAGAGCUGGCGUAGCAAUGUUUUGACUUGGAAGAAGUCAAAUAUAAUCUGCCAAUAGAGAAGCUCUCAGUCUCCACACACCUCCUUUCCUUUUAGUUGACCGACUUUUCUUCCUACAAUUUCUAUAUAAACCCCUUUAACUCACACCAAUUUUAACUAGCACUUAAAAAUUUCCUUUUGUUUUCUUGCACUUGAUUGAUUCGAAGGAAAUUAGAAGAUAAAUAUGGCCCUUGAAGCUCUGAAAUCUCCAACAAUGGCGACUGCCCCUUACAGCAACAAGUACGAAGACAUCGACAACAAUUACUUCGAUACAUGGAAGAAAGGCAAGCGUUCAAAGCGACAACGCGACGACGAGUCUUCUUCUUCUCCGCCGCCGCCACCACCGCCGACAAAUGAAGAAGAGUACCUUGCUCUUUGUCUCAUCAUGCUAGCUCGUGGUGGUUCCACCACUGAAAAAGCCGUGACAGACGGUGGAAACGAUGACCAUCGUCUGUCUUCUUCUUCUUCAGCACCGGCACCAGCGGCUUUGAAGUUGUCUUACAAGUGCAGUGUUUGUAACAAGGCUUUCCCUUCUUACCAAGCUCUAGGUGGACAUAAAGCCAGCCACCGUAAAUCCUCCACCGAUGCUAAACCCGAUAAUCAGUCCAUCACCACCAGCAGUACCACCGCCAGCGGGGAAGCCGGCGGUAACGGUAAAGCCCAUAAGUGUUCGAUCUGCCAUAAGUCUUUCCCUACAGGCCAAGCUUUGGGAGGUCACAAACGCUGUCACUACGAAGGCGGAAACACCACCACCACUACCACCACCACCGCCAUCACCAACAACGAGAGCAGUAGCGUCAGCUUGAGUGGGGUGACGGUGUCGGACGGUGGCGCGUUGAGCCAAACCCGUUGCGUCGACUUUGACUUUGACCUAAACUUGCCCGCUUUGUGCGAGUUGGAAAUCAAAGAUGGAAGCAGAUUUUGUCAAAUCUAUACAGAGCAAGAGGUUGAAAGUCCAUUGCCGACCAAGAAACCACGUCUUAUGACAGCUUCUUUAGCACAACAUUAAUUUCAUUAGUGUUUAUAGGAAUUAAACAUAGAGUGAAUUCAUUUAUUUUUGGGAUUUAUGUUUUUCUUUUUCCAUUGAUUUUUGGGAUUUCUAUUAAUUUGAUCUUCUUUAGAGUGAAUUCAUUCAUUAUUUGUGACCUCUACUGUUGUAUAUUCCAUUGAUUCAUUUGUUGAAGAAAUGCUUAAUAAAUAUAAGUUUUCUUUUAAUAUUUAAUUUGGUAUCUUAUUUUUUUUUAUUUUAGUAUUUAAAUUUAAUUUCGAUAUUUAAUUUAAUUUUUAAAUUAAAUAAAAUUAGGUGACUCGAUGAAUAUUUGACGUAUAUAUUUUUAUCUAUUAAAUUAAAAAAAUUUAAGUAUUAAAAUAACAGUGAAAUAAAAUUAAAAUAUUAUAUAAAUUAAAUUUGUUAAUUAGAUUGUUUGAUGAAUAUAGAUUUUAAAUUAUAAAAAAUAUAUCCUUAAUUUUAAAUAUUUUAUUUUUUCUAAACAAAAAUUAAAUUUUAAAUGUAAAGUUUAGCGGGAUUAUAUAACAUUAAAAUAAAUAAAAUAAAAUAGUAUUAAUUGAAAAUAUUUUUCAGUGAGUAAUAAAUUAACUCUUAUACUUAUUAUUUAUUUAAAAUUACCAAAACACAUAUAAAAAAAUUAAUUAAUUUUCUAUUGAUUUAAUUUUUUUCAAUCUCCUACAAAACAGCCCUUAGUUGGAAUGGGAGUGGAGAGAACUAAGCUAAGAACAAGGCAAAAGUGAAUGCCGCGUGAAACAGCGAAGAGACAGCAGGCAAGGGACAAGGAGUCACGGAGGUGGUGGUGGUUUUAUGUUUUACAGACAGGGAAAACCAGGCAGCCGGCCCAUGUUAGGGGAUCUAAUGAGAUGGUUAACAGUUGAAACCGCCUAGAUAUCCAUCAUCUCCAUGUGGGUUUCCAUUACAUGCUUUUCAAUGCACGUGGCUGGCAAUGUCACCGUCAAUGGAUCAUAAUGAUCAUCAUGACCUUGUAUAUAUAAUACCUCUUCUAAUGAGAUUUAAGCGGUAAAAAUUAUAUUAAAGUUAGAUUAUAUUUUGUUGUUUUUUAUUAAAAUAAUGGAUAAUUUAAUUACAAUUAAUAACUAAAAAGUAAAUUAAUUUUUUUCUUAAAAAUUUUAUUAAUUUGUAUUAUUAAUAAUUGAUGUAGUUAACGGAAUAAUCAGACAAUGACAUGUGAUGUGUCAUGUGUAUCUGUUUAACUUUGAAUAGUAAAAAUACAUGAAAAUUUUAAGAGAAAUACCAAUUUGAUAUUUGAUCUAACUUAUAGAGGAUAAAUUGCUCAUUUUUAAUAAAGGAAAAAAAUGUAAUCCAAAUCUUAAUGUAGGGAUUUCUUUAAUACUUUUACCAAAUUUAAGCCAAGUGAUAUUUUGCUACUCCACCAAAAUGAUACUAGUUUUUCUAUGAAUAAUUUAAAUAAUUAAUUAUAAUGGUUUCUUGUUUAAUCAAGUUAAUGAAAAGAAGAUUAUCCAUGGUCUGAUAAGUUGAUUUUUCUACAAUGGAUAAAGAAAUGGUAAAAGUACCAUAGAGGUCCCCUAUAUCAAGAAUCAGAUUGCAUUUUGCCCCUUCUAGUAAAAAUGGGUAAAUUAGUCCUUGCACUUUAGAUCAAAGAGUAAAUUGGUCAUUCCUGUUAAAAAUUUAAUCCAUUUAUAUUGUUAAAACUAAUAUGGUUAACAGAAUAACUAGACAAUGACAUGUGGCGUGCCAUAUAUACCUUAUUCUGACAUAUAGGGACCAAAUUCUAACAAUGAAAAUAGAUAGAAUUUUUAAUAGAAUGAUCAAUUUUCUCUUUAAUCUAACAUAUAUGAACUAAUUUGCUCAUUUUUUUGAGUGAAAAUGACAAAAUCUCACUCCUAAUAGAGGAGCCUCCAUGACACUUUUACCUUAAAAGAUCAUAAAUACGAGUUUUAAAUCGGUCAAAAUAUUCAUCUAUUCUUAAUUAUAGUAUAAACAAAAAUUCUUAUUAUUUGUGAAAUUUCUAAACUUUUGUCACUAAGGACAAUCAAUCACAACUUGUAUGUUUUUUGUCAAUUUUACAUAAUUUGAUUAGUAUAAUAACAAAUUUAGCUCUAAUAAUUUACACAUUCUAUCAAUUUGCUCAUGAUUUGACAAAUUUAGCCAACAAUAUGUUUGUAAAUGUGUAAAUGUUGAGGCUAAAUUUGUUAAUUUUUUUUAGAAUCAAUACCAAAUUAAUAAAAUAUAUAAACAUCAAAGGCUAAAUUUGUUAUUAUACCAAUCAAAAUUAUGCACAACUAAAAAAAAACAUUAACAUCAUGAUGAAUUGUCCUUAGUUGCUUGCUUCUAAAAUUGACAGUGAUUAAAUUACUUCAAUUCUUUCUAAAAGGACUGAUUUGCUUAAUUUUGAAACGGAGAAGGACUAGGGAGAUCUUUUACCAAUUAUCUAUAUAAGAACUAUUACUAAUACAAUCUUAAGUCCCAUUAAUUUCGCCUUUUUAUUAAAAUAUUUUUUUAUUACAAAAUAAAAAUUAUCAACUCAAAUAAUUCAAAAUCUUUGAGUUAACAAUCUAACUCUGGACGGGGUUUGUCUGUCCUAAUUGUCUACGUAAAUUAAGAACCAGUGUGACGCCUAUCCUUAACUCUCUUUACUCAAAAGUCUUUGUAUGCUUGUACGAAUUCAAUCCCACAUCGAAUGUGGGUGGCAUAUUAUGAUCAGUGCCAGCGCCAUCUAUACUAAUCCCAUGGGAUGCUAUAAUUAGUCUAAAUAGUUUCCUUGUGGGGUAACUUUACAGAUGAGGAGGAGAAAGUAACACCUGGAAGCCUGCGACAUUUUUGAUAGAGAGGGUUUGCUUUCUUGCGAAGGGAUAGCCGUGAAGUCCGAACUACUUUUAGCGGCAGAAACUUGUUAAUAUUAUCAUUUUAAUAGCUAUAUAUAUAUAUAAUUUUUAAAAAAUUAAAUUAAAAUUUUAGAAAAUUUUAAAUAAUUUUUUUCCAGUCUAGAGGAUGCGGCUGCCACCCUUGUCUACGCUAGAGGUGCUCAUGGACCGGGCCGGGCCCAUAAAAAAUUGCUGCCCAGGCCCGACCCAGCUUGAAAUGUUGCCCAGGCCUAGCCCGAGAAAAAUCAUAAGCUCGGCUCGGCCCGGCCUAUUUUUUUAAUAAAAUACCAAAAGUUUAUUUUAAAAAUUAAAAAAUAUAUUUUAAAAUUAAAAAAAAUUUAAAAAAUAAAUAUAUUUAUUAUAUUGGGCCAGGCCGGGCCCUGGCCACCUCGUUUUUUUGCCCAAGCCCAUAUUUCGGGCCUAUAUUUUUACCCAAAACCUCUCAUAUUUCGGGCGAGCCGUCGGGCCGGGCCGGGCCGCCCGACCCAUGAGCACCUCUAGUCUACGCCCUGCUAAGAGUCUUUGCAUUAUGCGCUUUUUAAAUUCAUAAUUUUAUUCAUUUUUGGGUAUUUUUCGAAUUUUAUAAGUGUACUUUGGUCUUUGAAUUUGUCAUCUGAUUCUAUUUUAGUAUCUAAAUUUGAUAGGAUCAAGAGUUAAUGGUGUGACCAAUGUUAUUGAAAUAUAGAAUCGGAUUAAACAAUUUGAGAGUUGAUCUAUAUAACGGUUCCAACAAAUAGGUUGAAUUAAUUGACUCAAAAGUUGCUUGAAGUUGACAAAAGAAAAGGAACAAAAUCGAUAGUUGAACAUGUUGGAUCGAUGUAAUAUUCUUUUCCUUAAAUUUUUGUAGAUCUUUAUGAAUUUUUAACUAUUGUUAGUAUGACGAUCGAAUCAUCAAAUUGGUUGAAUCAGGAACCAAUGGAUUAACUUGUUCAACCAUUAAUCUGGUUAUUGAUUGUAAACUUAUAUAACUUUAUUAAUUUCAAGUGAUCAUGAGCCACAAUCUCAUAGUGCCACAUCAUCAAAAUUUUAUAUUUCUUAAGUUUAAAGACCAAAAUGGACUUAGUUGUUAAACUCAAGUGUCAAAGUGGAAAUAAAUACAGGUGCCAGAGUGAACCUAAUUGCCAAGUUCAACAGUCAAAUAUUAUAUUACCCCUUUCCAAUUUGGUCAUUCUUAGUUUUUAUAUUUUUCAAAAUUUGAAAUUUAAGUUUUGACGCUAAUGAUAGUCGUUAAAUUCAUUAACUUUUUUUUUGGUAGUGUGUGAAAAUAGUUGGCUAAGUGCAAGUAAUAAUAUGUUUGCUGCAUAAGAUUUUAAAAAUAAUAUAACUUGAUUAAUUUAAUAAUUAUCGUUUUGUCAUGAUUGGAAUUUUAAAAUUCAAAAGCAUAAGAAUUAUAAAUGAUCAAAUUAAAAACACAAGACCUAAAUUCACAGUUAAUGCAUAGUAUAAGGACUGAUGGCAACUUUUAUAUUAUAAGAUCAAGUAGUUUAAUCUUUCGAAUAAUUAUUUGAUACAUAGAUAGUCGAAAAAUAAAUAAAUCUAUAUAUUGAUAGGAUUAUUAUAAUUCUCAUAAUUGUAGGAUAUGAAAGUGUCAAGUGUUUUAUUUAUUUAUUUUUUAAAACUUUUAAAUUUACUAAAAAAAUGGCCAUCAUUGUAAGACUACUUAUGAAAUUUUUAAUUUUCAUUAACCAUGCAUCAAAUAAUUAUUGAUGUCGAUAAGGGAUAAGGGUAGGGUUAUUUAGAGAUGCAACUCGAAAUUGUUAUCAAUUAAAUUUUCAAUAUAAACAGAUAAAGAUAUGGAUUUUGGGAAAACGAUAAUACAAGUGGUUAAAUUAUAGUUUCAAACCCUUUACUUUGCUUAAAUAUGAGAUUUAUUUUUUGUAAAUUAAUUUGAUAUAAUUUAUUCUUUGCAAUUUUAUAAUGUAAUUAAUUAGUUCAAAUAGUUAAUAAUAUUUAUUUGAGGCUAUUAAUGAUAUUACAAAAACAAAUAGACUAAAUUAAAAUAUAUAAACUAUAUCUAAAUUUUGAAUAAAGGAGAAGAAUCAAAACCGAUAUAAUAUGAUGAAUACAUAAAUAAAAAUGUCAUAAAAAAAGUUCGAGUUAAUUACAUCAAAUAUCCUCAAACUUUGAUCAUCAUUUUAAAUUGACGUUUCAAACUUUAAAAAGUUUUAAUUACAUCCUCAAUUUAUUAAUUAUCAUAUCAAUCAGAUCUUUCAAUUAUUAAAACCGUUAAAUAAUAUGUCAAAUUUUAUGUGCCGUAAUUUAAAAUAAUUUUAUUAAAGAAAAGUAAAAUGAGAUUGUAUAACUUUUAGAAGUAAAAUUGAAAAAAAAAAAGAGCAAUAAAGUUUUUGUAAAAGUUUCGAAAACCUUAAAACUAUGAUUUUUAUGAAAUCUAUUUUUACAAUAUUUUUUGAAAGAUUAUACCAUACACCGCCCUGUAGGGUUUUUUGAACCUCACAAGCGAGUUUAAGACGUGACAAGUGUCUUAUAGGGUGUAGUAAAAAAUAAAAAAUAAAAAAUAUAAAUAUAAAUAAAUAUAAUACUUGUCAUACCCUUAGCCCACUUAUGGAGUCUAGAAAACUCCGUAGGUGAUGUAUCAAAUAAUUACUCUUCAUAUAUAUUUUUCUUGAACUUUUCGUUUUAAAUUAUAUCACCUACGAUUUGGCAUAUCAUUUAACAGCUAAACUAAUUAUUUUAGUAAAGAAAUAACCUUAUUAAUACAAUCUCGAUAAUUUAAGGAUGUAAUUAAAAUAUUUUAAAGUUUAAGGACUAAUUUAGAAUGAAGAUUAUAUAAUGCCUUUGGGCCAAAAACUUUGGAAAGACUAGAGGAAGUACAAAACAGAACUGUAAAUUGGGCUAAAACGAAGGGUUUGGUUAAUGGGUUUUCGGCUCUGCGUGGCUUUUAGUUAAGAAUGUUAGAAGCCCUAUUCAUCUUUAUUUAUUCAUGAUUAAAUGGGUAAAAUUGUUAAGUUCAAAUAUUAAAGCCGAUAAAAGAAAUAAAGUAUUAAAAUGUAAUUAGUUGCUAAAUUUAAGGCCAAAAAAUUACAUUAAUCUAAAAUUAAAUGAUAUUUAAAUUUGAGUAAAAAUUACACAAGAUUAUGAUUCACUCAAGAUGUGGGUGAAUAUUUUUUGUAACGAAAUUUAAAUAAUUUAAUUUACAAGAUUUUUUAAAUGAUUAUUUGAGUUAUUAAAAAUCAAAAUGUUUUGAGUUCAAAUUAGAGGUGUUCAUGGGUCGGGCCAGAUCUAAACAUGAUAUUAAUAUGCUUUAUGCUUGCCCAAGCCCAGCUUUGCUCAAAAUCUGAGACUAAAAUUUUACCCAAACUCGCCUAUAUUUGCAAAAGACUAACUCAUGCCAAUUUUAGGCCCGUUCAGAUUAUUUUUAAUUAUUUUUAUAUUAUAUUAUUUUAAUAUUUAAUUAUUUUAUACAAUUUUUAUUUAUUAAAAUUUUUUAUAUAGCCAUCUUAACAUUAUUUUAAUGUUUACAUUAAAGUAGUAUUAUAUAUUUAGUAUAUGUUUAUUUUUUAAAUGUGUCCUAAUUUACAUAAUAUAUAAAAAUAACAUAAUAUAAAGCAUUAUAAACUUAAACUAUCAAGCUUGAACUCGACCCAUACUUUAAAUGGGCCUAAUUUUUUUUACCCAAGCCCAUUUUUUGGAUCUAAUAAUUUUUCCAAACUCUCCUAAAAUUCGGAUGGACCUUUGGGCCUGGGCGAGUAGCCCGACCCAUGAACAAGUCUAGUUCAAAUGAUUUUAUACGAUAAAUAUUUUUUUAAUAAAUUCUCCAUUAAAUUGGAAUAAAAUUAAACGGUGACACUAACUCAAUAAAAAACAUUAAAUAUUAUUUUUAACUUAGUUGCACGUAUUCAUAAUACAAAAUUUUGAAGAAAAAACCCAUAAAAACCCGAAUUUAAAAUUUUAAAAUUGGCAUCUUUUUAUAUAAAAAUCAUGAAAUUUUUUAUUUUUAAUUAAAAUUUGAAAAUAUUUAUUUAAACUCAACAUGAAAUUCGUAAAGUAUGAUACAUGCAAUGUGCUCAAAAUUAGGCAUGUAGAUGUAGGAAGCAUCCUUUUGUAGUUAUGAGCAUCUUUUUCUAUGUUCAUAAAUCAAAAUUCUUCCACACAUUUUUCUCAUGGAAGUCUUCCAACUACACACCUUUUUAUUAUCAAUAGCUCGUAUCAAAAAAUAUCUGAUUUUUACAAAUAAAUUUAUGGCGUGAGAUAAUAAAUUAUCAGUUAAUCAUCGAAACCUCACAAUAAUAAAUAAUGACAAACAAAUGGUUAAAUCAAUAAAAAAGUUCAAGAAUACAAUUCUAUCAGGGCAAAGAAGUUGAAGAGUACAGUUAGGCAGGAUGACGGACUUGCUACAACAAGAAGCUUAAUGAGUGAUCAAAAUGAUAGAUAGAUCAUUGGGUUUGGCAGAUACUUGGGAAAUUGUACAAUGUUGGAGCCUGAGCUUUAGGGUAUUUUAGAUGGGUUAAAGCUUAUCCCAAAUAGAAGACUCGAAAGUGUCAUAAUUCAAAUAAAUAGUCUUGAGGGUACUAUUGCCAUUCAGGAGGGUGUCUUUAGAAUUUUGAACACAACUAUAAUAAGAAGAAUUCAUCAGACCCUGACAAAGGUAAAGCAGCGAAAGAUUCAACAUAUUCUCCGAGGAGAAAACACAAUUGCAAGUAAUUUGGUCAAGAUAAUUCGCGGCAGAAGACUAGGUUUAAGAUUGUUUGAAGAUACUCCUUCGAGGGUCUAACUUUUUAAGUCUAUAUUUUUUAAAUUUCACAAAAAAAAAGGCCUAUAUCUCAACCAACAAACAUGUUUAGAAGAGGUAUGAUCAAUAGAGCCACUUUUAUUUUGCUAAACUAUUCUCCUAAUCUAUCAUCACCUUCCUCUCUACCAACUUAUCGGGAUGAAGUCAGAAACUUUUGUUUAGAAGUCAAAAUAAAAUUCAAAGUUCUUGGGAAGCGCAAAGCAUGAAUAUUGUAUUAAAAAAAUCAAAUUGAAUUAUAAAAAUUUUAGAAGGACUAAAAGGGCAAUUAGCCCAUUGAAAAACUUCAACACCUGUAUAGCUCUUUUGCCUUCAUCAACCCAAACUACCUCUAAUAAUUAUAUUAUUAAAUUCCUAUUUAUAUUUUGUGUUUUUUGUUUGAAGUUAUACAUAAUUUAUGCUUGAUACAUAUGAAAAUACAAAUUUAAUAAUAUAAUUUUUUUUAUUGAAAGAAUCGAAAUAUAUACAAAUUGCAGGCUAUUAGCAGACCUCAAACUUGACCUAAUAUGCUAUAAUUGAACUUUGUCUGUUUUAAUUCAUUUUCACUUGUACUAGCAUUAAAUAUUCUUUUGAAACUCUAUUUUCUUUGGAAGCAUGAAAGAAUUUAUCCGAAAUUGGUUAAAUUAAAUUUUAUAACAUUUUUAUUAAUUUAUUUAAUUUGAAUUAGACGAAUAAAUAAUAAUAAUAUUGUUAAUUCAAUACUAAUUUAAUUCUAAAAACAAUAAAAAUAAUGUUUAUAAACCCAGAUUUCUUUUUUAAAAUAGACAAUCUGUCCAUAAAAUUCACUACUUGUAAUUGAAAAAUACCAUGUAUUAUGUUUACACAAUUUUUUUUUAAAUUAAAAAUUGAUAAUUUUUUUUAUUGAUUUCACAAUUAAAUCCUAGAGAUAGCUUAUAUUUUACACACAUUCUUGAUUAGUAUGCUUUUAAUCCUUGAAGCUAUCUUUAGUAAUUGGGCUUCACAAUUAUUUCUCAUGCACUCAGAUUUUGACAUUCCAUCAAAAGAACCAACUUUUUUUUCCCUUCUUCACCCCACUCUUUUAGUCAUGAUUUCUCAACAAUGAAAGGGACCAUAUAUCUUUUCUUCAUUUUUUUUUGGGAUUAAAAUCAUGAAAUUGUAAUAAAAUUUAUAGGUAAAAUGACCUCUUUGAUGCCUCUCGAUAUUGAUAUUAAGGAAAUUUAUCUUUUUCAAAAGAAAAGUAGAGCAAUUUAGUUAUUGUCAAUUUCGAGAGUGAGCAACUAAUGAUAAUUAAUCAUGUUUUUUUCGUCAAUUGUAUAAAAUUUUGAUUGGUGCAAUAGCAAAUUUAUCCAUCAAUGUUUAUAUAUUCCGUGUAAAGACUACGAGCUAAAUUUAUUAAAUAAAGACUAAAUUGACAGAAUGUGAAAACUAUAAUGACUAAAUUUAUUUUUAUACCAAUAAAAAUAUGUACAAUUGUUCCAAUUUUUUUUGUGAGAGACUAAUUUACUAAAUAUCAGAAUUAAGAGGGACCAAGAGGUUUUUUUACCAAAUGUAUUCAGUUCAUAGGGUAAUAGGAGAGAGAUAGAGAUAGAGAUAGAGAUAGAGAUAGAGAGAGAACAAUAUAGGUUAAUUAGGACGCAAGUAAAGAGUAAAAGAGAAGCCCCAUUUAUAAGCUGAGAGUGUCAGCUUUGGCGUACAUAACUGAGCUUAGAGAUGUUGACUGUGUUAAUACCAACGACCCCAAAAACUAAACCAAACUAAAUCUACUUUCUUUCACCAUUAUUAAUAAACCAAAAAUUUACACAAAACAACAACAAAGCUAAAAUAUUUGGGUUUGUGUUGAAUAGCAACCAGCUUGGCUUUUUUUGCCAAAAACUUCAAAAAAGAUAGUACUUUGAUAGGUACUAAAACCUGAUGAGUACAAAAAACUGGUGGGUUUAAUGUAAAUUUCCUUACUUUCUUGGGCUUUGGUACUUUUUUUUUGUUCAAAUUGACCAAAAUGCUCCUCUGCAUGGUUCCUGUGUGACUAAAUAAUUACUGUUCAAACGUUCUAUUACACUUAUUGCAAUGGUGGUGGCGUAAAAAAAUGAUCUUGGUAAGCUCUGUUUUUUUCAUUAAAGUCUUUAUGUUCUUAAAAUGGGAUUUCUUGUUUUGCUACAAUGGUGAAGGUGCUAUAUAUAUUUACAUAUAUUCUUUAUGGGAUUUGCAAAUUUGAUACAAGGGUCUUGGAUAUUGUUGGGGUUUACACGGAGAGUGGCUUUUGGGGGAUUGCUUUUCACUCUUCUUGGAUUCCAAGUUUAAUUAUAUGAUUUAUGAACAUUUUCCCAUUUUCUCAUUCAUGUGGUGGGGUUUUGGGAUUUUUUUUAAAUAUAUUAAAAAUCUGAUCUUUUGAAUCUUAACAACUUGUUAUUUUUAUAACUUAGAUCUCUGUGCGAUAUACUCUGAUGGAUUCCUCAGAUUGAUAUUGUUAUUUGGUAGUUGAUGUUUUGAUUCUUCAUGUUUGUUUAUUUUGAUCUCUUUUUUUUUUCAUUUAUUCCCAUACUUUAAAAAAUAAUAAAAAUAGAUGCUUGUUGUCUACCGUUUUGGUGGUUUCUUCAUCUGAUACCAAGAUGCUGCUUUUAAAACUAUAUAUUGAUUAGUAUAUGCCAUGUUUGGAGCUUGAAACUCUGGUUUUUGGGAAUUAUUUAGUACAAAAGGGUCUGUCAUCUAUGUUCCCCUGAGUUGACUGAGUUAGCCCGGACUCAGUGGACUUUGCCAUCAACAAAGGAAACAAAUGUUUCCAUGGCUCUCUUUCAACUUUUUUCAUAAUUUAUUACUCAAAAAUCCCGUCUUGCCAUUGAAAAAGCUGGUUGAAUUUAGAAGCUGGGUCCCCAUUCCCCACACUUGGUGUUAUAUUCUUUACCACUUUUGGCAAUGUUUUUAUUGGGUUAUGUGAGUUGCUGUGAUAGUUUGGUGAUUGGUUUUGAGUAAGAUUUCACAGGGAAGGAAAGGGAUCCUGUUUACUUUGACAAUAUGAAGUUUAUGAAGCUUGGAUCAAAACCGGAUACCUUUCGAAGUGAUGGGAAUAACGUGAGGUGAGAUCUCUUGGUACCCUUUAUUUGAAAUCUAACGUAUUGUCACCCUAUAUGUUGUUUGAUGUAUUCAAUCUUCCAUAAGAUCAUUGCUUUCUUGUUCAUUUCGACUUGCAUAGUCCUAUUAGGAAUCCUUUUGGAAUGAUGUCAAAUAUCGGUCUUUGGCUUAUGUUUUGAUGUGAUUUGCAGCUUUUUGUAGUCUAUUCAUUUGUUAUUUUUCCUCACAACAAUGACUACUUUGCUGCUGCUUAGGAUUUUCCGAGAAAAAAUCGACAGCCCUUUUUUGAGUAUCUUCUGAUCCAAGUGACGGAUCAUCUAAAUCUGACUAAACCUUAUGUGGUUUUCACUUUUUAUCUUUCUUCUAUGGUUCCUCAUGUAUGCAUUAUGCUUUCUGCAACUUUGAUUGUGCAUAGCCUAUGCAUCGUUUAUUAGUUAAAUAAAUCCGGUAAUCGUCAAGUUAUAGUCUAUGGUUAACUUUUUUAAUCUAGCCUUUGUCCAACCCGUGUGAGUGUUGAAAAAUUCUGAUGGUUUUACGCUUACGUGCUCCUCUUCAGGUAUGUAGCAAGUGAGCUAGCAACUGACAUUGCAGUCACUGUUGGGGAUGUUAAGUUUUAUCUGCACAAGGUAUGCAUUCAUUUCAUAUUUGGUUUAGAUCAGUUCAAUUGAGCAAGCUUGACUCCGUUCUGCUUGUUUAUAGUCUUAAAAGUUCAUUUGGGAUUUUGGGAUUAAUGGAAGAACAUAUAUGCAGUUUCCCCUUCUAUCAAAAAGUGCCUGCUUACAGAAGCUGGUUGCAAGUGGUAACGAACAAAAUUGCGAUGAAGUUCAGAUUUCUGACAUUCCUGGUGGCUCGGUUGUGUUUGAGAUAUGUGCCAAAUUUUGUUAUGGCAUGACCGUCAACCUUAAUGCUUACAAUGUCUUUGCCACUCGAUGUGCAGCUGAGUAUUUAGGAAUGUAUGAGACCAUUGAAAAAGGGAACUUAAUUUAUAAGAUCGAUAUCUUUCUCAACUCCAGCAUUGUCCACAGCUGGAAGGAUUCGAUCAUUGUUCUUCAGACUACAAAAUCUUUGUCACCGUUAUCCGAUGAAUUGAAGGUGGCCGGUCUAUGCGUCGAUGCUAUAGCUACCAAUGCUUGUAUUGAUGUUUCCAAGGUUGAUUGGUCCUACACUUAUAACCGGAAGAAGCUCCCAGAGGAAAACGGGAAUGAUCCGAACUUUAAUGGUGUCAAAAGUCGACCAGUGCCAAAGGACUGGUGGGUUGAGGAUCUGUGUGAACUUGAAAUCGAUCUAUAUAAGCGUGUUAUAAUGAGUAUUAAAACCAAAGGAAUACAAUCCCAUGAAGUGAUCGGAGAUGCUUUGAAAGCUUAUUCUUAUCGAAGGUUGCCGGGUUUCAGUAAGGGUGUAAUCCAUUCUCGUGAUGUUGGAAAGUAUCGAUCAACGGUUGACACUAUCGUCUGGUUGUUGCCUGCAGAGAAAGGAAGUGUAUCUUGCAGUUUCUUGUUUAAGUUGUUGAAAGCGGCUAUCAUAGUUGACUCAGGAGAAAUGGCUCGGGAACAGCUGGUGAGACAAAUAGGACAACAACUUGAGGAGGCUUCCCUGAAUGAUCUUUUGAUAAGAGCAGCAGAAAGGGAAGACGUAAUGUAUGAUGUCAAUAUGGUAAAGAAAAUAGUGAACAAGUUUCUGAUGCAAGAUCGGAAUGCUGAAUAUGAAUCGGAAGAAAACGAGGUUCAGGAAAUACAAAGAUCCGGAAUCUUAACAGAUGCUUCCAAGCUGAUUGUGGCAAAGUUGAUAGAUGCAUACCUUGCUGAAAUCGCAACGGAUCCGAACUUACCCUUGUCAAAGUUUGUAGACCUUGCUGAAACAGUGUCUUGCAUCUCUCGGCCUACUCAUAACGGGCUUUACCGAGCCAUUGACAUGUAUCUUAAGGUGAGAAUCUUGCCAAAACCUGUAUUUUUCCAUGCAUAGCAAAUCCGCAUUUACAUGAAUUGUGCUGUUUCGAUGCAGGAGCACCCAUGGAUAAGCAAGAGCGAGCGGAAAAGGAUAUGCAAGUUAAUGGACUGCAAGAAACUAUCAGCCGAUGCAUGUAUGCAUGCUGUUCAAAAUGAGAGGCUCCCAUUGCGUGUGGUCAUUCAGGUUCUCUUUGUCAAGCAACUCCGGGGGGCUGCUGCCACUUCAUCCGGAACUAGCACUCCUGACUUACCCAAAUCCCUGAAAAACCCAAAUGGCGGAUCUCACGGGAGCUCAAGAUCAGCACCAACUAAUCCGGAGGAAGAUUGGGAUUCAGUGUCUGCAACCGAGGAGCUGAAGGCUCUGAAACCCGAACUGGCUGCCUUAAGGUUGAGAAACCGCGGAGAUAAUAGAAACAACGUUGACAACGCGGCCGCCAUUAGUAAAAUGAAAGGUUUAAUGAAGUCAAAGAGGAUAUUUACAAAGAUAUGGUCAAGCAAAGCAGCCAUAGGUGAGAACAGUGGUUCAGAUUCAUCAGAGAGUCUUGGUUUUGCAAAUCCUGAAGAAGCUAAAUCAACACCAUCUAGAAAUAGGAGGCAUUCAGUUUCUUAGUAGAAAAUGUGGGAAAAUACAUUAACUUUUUGGUGGGGUUUUUUAAUGUUUUUACCUCUCCUAAUGACAAUGGUAAAUUCAAGACUAGUUUUAUGUUAACUCAGUAAAAUGAAGCAGACUAUAUACAUAUAAUAUUUUAUAUAUAUAUAGGUUUGUUUGUCUGGCCAUCGAUGAAUGCAAGAUGCCACUGCCAUGUACAUCAUGCAACACUUUUAGUAUCUGUUUCAUUUUUUUCAGUCACUCUUGAGUCCAAGAUGGGCUGAAAAUGAUCAAGUGCAUGUAAGUAGAAUAUAGUUACUAUAGAUAUCCUCAUACCUCCAAACGAAUUUACUUAGACUCUAUAUUAGGGGUGUUUCGAGGUCUUAAGUUGCAUAAGGUGAGUUUGAAUGGGCGGUGUACUUAUCUGCAAUAAGUGUAAAAACAACAGUGGCAGUGUGAUUAGAUACGGUAGGGUGAGACGCAUUGUACCACACCUCACUGCUCAUCCAAACCCACCUUAAAUUGGAUUGAACUCGUCAAUCAAAUCGAAAAUUAAUUUAUAUAUCGGUCCAAACAAAACAACAAAGGAGUUAAAAUAGUUUCAGAACGAAUUGCUGUUGGAACUGCAUUUUUUAAAUGUUUUUAACCUAAAUUAAUGGUCCAAAUUGAAAAAAAACACAAUUGGCCCAACCCAAAUACUUAAACCAGCUGGCCCAACUACUUAAAUACCUUAAAAAGUAUUUAAUAAAUGAGAAAAAUAAGGGAAUUUUUUUUUGAAUCGAUUAAAUUAUUGGCUUGUCUUAUUUAAUUGAAUAAAUUAUUAAAAUAAAUUUAAAAUUAAAAAAAUAAAAUUUAUUUAACAAAUAGUUCAACCUAUUUUAUUGGUCGGACAUUCUCAAUCCAAUAGGCUAUUCUUAUUCUAAAAACAGUGGAAAAGAAAAUAAAAACUAACCUAAAUAUAUAGGCCCGAUUAUGGAUCGGGCUUGAAAACUCGCUUAAAAAGUGAGAGGAUUUGGGUAAAAAUAUAGGCCCAAAAAAUGAUCUUGGGCAGAAAAAGAGGUUUGUUUUCUAAAAGGGCCAGACCUCAAGUAAGCUUUUUUGCCCGAAUUUGCAAAAAAAAUCUGCUGCUUUUUUCUGUUAUUUUCACUAUUUUUGUUACUGUUUUGGUGUCGUUUCACUAUUAUGUUGCUACUAUUUUAUUAUUAUUAUUUGGAUAUUGUAUAACUCUUAUUUUAUUAUUAAUUUUACUACUAUUUUAGAAGUAUUUGCUCUCUAAGAUGUACCUAUUUUAGUGUUAUUUAAGUAUAAAUAAAUUUUUAAUUUAUUUUCAAUUUUAGUGUAUUUGAUGUAUUAUAUUUUAUAAAUUUAUUUUUAUAUAAAAAUAAUAAUAUAAAAAAUUUUAAUACGGAGAGCUGAACUUAGCUUGGAUUUUAACAUUUUUAUUUGGGCCGAACUUAGACAAAAUUUUAAGCCCAUUUUUAAACCGAGCCUACAAUUCUAUUGAGGCCCUACCCGACCCAUUAUCACCAUUACCUAAAUAUAUUUGUAUCAUUAUUGUUUUAUAUAUAUAUAUAUUUGUAUUUCUAAUUUUUUUUAAAUAUUCUUUCUCAAGAAUUAGUUAUCUUCCUCCGAUUAUAACAGCAGAACAAAGAAUCAAAAGUUGGAUCUCAUACAAGCAUACAUAUAUAUAUUGUUCAAAACCCUGUUUUCCACAUAUAUUAUCCAGUUAAAAAAGAACCUUAUAUGAUUAACUGUGAAGCGGCAACAAGUUUAGCCAAACCCUAUCCAAUUAAACCCCAAAAAAACAAAAAAGAAGAAGAAGCCAUAGCUGUUACCAUACAAGUUUCUGACCGGCUUUGUACUGUUUCAUGUACCGUUUAUCUCGAAGGUGUUUUUAGAUUUUGUUAAAGCUGACCUAUCUGAUCUGUAUAUAUAAAAACUCCAUUAGCAUAAAGACACAAACAAAACCAGUAAAAUUUUGUUCACUGCUGCGUUUAUUACAAUGGAAUGAAGAAACAUUCUUGCAUUGACCAACCAUGUUUUGUGUUUUUGCAAUGGAGGAUAAAAAUCUUAUAUUAAAUUGGGUUAAUUUCAUCAAACGUCCCUAAACUAUUAUUUAGAUUCUAAAUUGAUCCUAAACUUCAAAAUUUUCUAAUUGGAUAUUCAAUGUAUCAAUAUUGUUUCAAUCUUAGGUUGAUUGAGCAGUAAAAGUAUCAUGGAAGCCUCUAUAUUAGGAGUCGAAUGUCAUUUUACCACCCCAAAACUUAAAAAAUGGGUAAAUUAGUUCUUAUACAUUAGAUCAAAAAGUAAAUUGGUCAUUCUGUUAAAAAUUAUAUUCAUUUAUAUUGUUAAAAAUUGGUCCACAUACAUCGGCAUAAGGUACACAUGGCAUGUCACAUGUCAUUGUCUAGUUAUUCUGUCAACCACACCAGUUUUUAACAAUACAAAUGAAUAAAGUUUUUAAUAUAAAUGACCAAUUUGUUAUUUAAUCUAAUGUAUAGGGAAUAGUUUGCCCAUUUUCUGAGUAGAUGGGGCAAAAUGCAAUUUGAUUCCUAGUAUAAAGGCCUCAAUGGUACAUUUACCUUAAUUGAGCUUUAGCUCAGUUGACAUCAUUGCUAUUACAAUAACAAGGAAGACAUGAAUUCAAGUGGGCUUAAGCGUGUUUUUCCUGCAAUUUAAAAGUUUAUACUUUAUAGGUAGAACUAAGCAUUGUAUAAAAAAGAAUAUUGUAUCAAUCUAGUACUUUUGUCAGCCUACCUGUCAAUUUAGGCACUAAUGUUAGUUGAUUAGGAGGGUUUACAAAUAAAAGUAGCCAUCCAAUAAAAAAAUAUAUUGUAACAAUCUAGUACUUUUGUUAGCCUAGUUGUCGAUUUAGACACUAAUGUUUAUUCGAAUUUGACAUAUAAUAUUAUUUAAAAUAUAUGAAUCAAAUUGAAUCUGGCACAUUAAAAAGAAAAAGAAUGGUGUCAAUAAAAUUUAGAAAUGUUAUUUUUUUUAACAGAUAAGAUCCAAUUUCUCCAUGCAACAAGUACACAUAUUUUACAAAUUGGCUCGCGUGUUUUAAUGAUGUUAUUGAAAUUGUCCAUAUAAUAAAUACACAUAUUUUAUAAUUUGAUUAACGUAUUUUAAACAUUCUUUACAUUAAUUUUGAACUGAGAAAAUGUCAUAAUUGAGGCAAUAUUGAUAUUUUUUAACUCAAUUAAAACAUUUUAAAAUUUGGAAAAAUGAUUAAGAAUAUGAGCUUAUGACUUGAGGAUGUCUAAUAUAAUUAACCCUAUAAAAUUUAUAAAAUCACAAAUAAGUCAAUGUUGUUUAAAUUCAAAUGGACCGUGAACUGGUGAGGAUAUCAGUUGAAAGAGAGGAAUUAGACCAAUUGAAUCAUUUGUUUUUUUUUUAAUAAUUUAUUUAAUUAAACUAGACAAAUUAAAAAUCGAUGAUUUGACUGGUUCAAUUAUCGAUCUAGUUUUGAAAACUUUAAAAUAAAUUGGAUUCGAAUACCUGAAUUUAAAAUACCAUUAAGAAAAAGGCAAAAAUCAAAGGAAAAUCUGAAUAAAUUCUGAUUCAUGGGAGAGGAUAGAGCUAAAAAAAAGAAAAAUCUGACCCUAUGAUUCUUUUUUCUUUUUUGCCCAAACCCACUUCCCAAACCUCAUUUGUCCUUCGAUUCCAUGGAAGGGACACUUUGAGAAUAAAAAGGGGAAAUUGUUUUUGUAUGCUGUGAAGGAAAGCACCAAAGCUCGAAAACGUCACACAUUUCACCCAAUCUUAGGCUCUUUUCUUUGUGGUUUCAAAUAACGCCAAGCCUUGCCUGACCCUGACCACAUUCAUUUCUUUUUUUUUUGUUGGGGGGAGGGGGGGGGGGGGAGAGGGUCAUGCAGGGACGAAAGCAAUGAAAAGUUAAAGCCAAUGGUGAUGGAUUAGAAUCCCAUUCCCCACCCAACAAAAACAAUUAAUAAAUAAAUAACUUUGAUCAAUUUUGAUUGUAAUAUAUUUGGAUUGAGUCCUAGCUUAAUUGGUAUGGAUAUUGUUGUCAAUGUAAGAGGAUAUGAGUUCGAGUGUGUUGAAAUGCAUUAUCUUCCUAUUUAUAGGUAGGGGUGUGCAAAUUUUGGAUAAAACCGAAUUAAUUCGGUCAGGGUCGGUUAAUAAUUUUUUGAAAGUUCGGUUCGGUUAAUUUUUUUUUUAAAUUUCGAUUUGGUUAACAGUUUAAAAGGGUCGGUUAAUUUAGUUAAUGAUAGUUCGGGUCGAUUAAUCGGUCGGUUAACCGAUUGAACACCCCUAUUUAUAGGUUGGAGUGAGGCUAUGGAUAGCUUUAGGUUUUGUGUAAAAAAGAGCACAUAUAUGAUUUGUUGGUAUGAGAUUACCUAUAGUGGUUAAAAUAUGUUCCAAAUUUUUGUAUUUUUCAUAUAUUUAAAAUUUAAAUCUAAUUAUUUACGUUGGUAAAGUUCUUCUAUUAAAUUUGUUGGUAUGACAUUCUAAAAUUAAAAGAAAAAUUACUUAGUAGUCAUACAAAAAAAAUGAAGAAAUAUUAACAUUACAAUUAGGGGUUUAAAUGACACAGUUGUACUUAUAAGCUAUUAAAGUUCGACUAUAAAAAAACUUGAAUUUGAUUUGGUAAUUAUUGGGUUCAAUUGAGUUUAAUUAUGAAAGUUCGAGCGACUUGCAAGUCUAAUUGAAUUUUCUUUUGUUUUUAGUAUAUUUUUAUAUCAUGAAAAUUCAGUUUUACCUUUAUUACUAGAAAGAGCUUAAUUGUGAAUAAGCUUGAGCUUAAAUAUGAAUAAACUUAAUCGAGUUCAAGUAACUCAAUUUUGUCUCAAGCCGAGCGCAGAAAUUGAUGCUCAAGCUCAAGCUCAAGCUUAUCACUGUUUGAGCUUGACUUGAUUCGAUUACACCCUUAGCUGUAAUAAGACUGAAUUUAGCAAAAGAAAUUUAACUGGGUUAACAAUAAGACUUACAUUUUUUAACUUGAAAGUAGAAGGAUUGAAUUCUUUAAAAUAAAAAAUAAGAAAACUAAUAUAUAAAAAUACAAGAGCUUAAAACAUAUUUUAACCAUUAUAUGUAUAUAUUUAUGUUUGAAUGUAAUGUUUGUGGACCAAACUGAAGAAUCGGAUAAAGACGGUGGAUGAGUGGGGAGGUGCGUGUGGGGGGUGACUAAAACUUCAAUGUGUGUGUCGGCUUAUAAAUCUAUAAACAUCGUCAUCCUCGUCCCCCUCUCAACAUCACCACCCCACCUUAUUUAUUUUCUUCCUAGUUUCCGCACUUCGUAAGUACAGUCACUUUGAUUCUAUGUUCUCCUUAUUAACCCCUUUCUCGUUAUUAAUCUUAUCCCAAUCCAACUUAUGAUUCUUUUUAAGGCUAAUUAUAUCAAAUGUCCUUAAAGUGUGGUUUCGAUUUUAAAUUGAUCACUGAACUUUAAAAUUCAAAGUAUUGAUAUUGUAUCAAUUAGACCCUCCCUCUCAUUGGACGUUAAAAUAUUAGCUCUAUUGAUACAGUGUAUCAACAGAGAUCAAGAUGGAGAGGGAAAUGGUGUUCUGGUAGGAAAAUAGAGUCGGACCCCCCUAAUAGAAUGUGUUUGAAAUUACCUAAAUCAUGAGUACAGGAUCCCGAAUCGAGUUAUUAUAUAUUUUAUUUUAUUAUAAUAGUUAUAACUCUUACUUUAUAAUCAUCUUUAUAUUUCAAACUUAUCACCAAAUUUAAAUCAAGUAUUUAAAGGUGAAAGCCAGCUGGAUUGAUGGAUUAACCCCUUUUUUCCCAAAAUAGGCUAACCCCAUUUUAUUUAAAAACAAUUAGGGUUCAACCAAAUGAAACUUCCAAAUCAAACAUUAGAUGAAACUAAUUCUUUUAUCUUUCUAAAGCUAAAAUCCAACAGAAAGAUGUAUGAAUAAUUCCGAAUAAAAAACAAAGGGUAAAUUACACCCAAAAGUACUAAAUUGUUAGUAAAUUUACGUUUUGGUCACUUAAUUUUAAAAAGUUACAAAAUAUCAUUGAACAGUUCAAAAGUUUUCAUUUAAGUCACCAAACUAUAAAAAUUAUUGUUAUAUGACAUUUGUUUGCACCAAUCAAAAGCUCUCCUUCUUUCCCUUCUUUUAUACAACUCAAUAUUUUUUACAUGAAACAAUUUGAACAUUAAGAUUUAGGGUUUAGGGACAAAAGGCGGGAGGAUGGCAAGGGCGUUGGCCUCUCUAAAUGAGAAAUUGCUUCUUUAGACCCCCAAAGAAGUAUAAAAUCUUAAUAUAUGACAAAAUUAUAGUUUCUCCCCAAAAUGCUAAAAUUUCAAUUUAGAUAUUUUGAAAACCAUUAAAAUAUAAGCUAAUACAAUGGUGAAAUUGUAUUUUAGUUCUCAUGUAAAUAUAUAAAUUAAUCUUGGGCUGUUAAAAAAAUUUCUAACCUUGCUCUUGUUGAACGUCAUGAAUUUACAAACUAAAAUCCAAAUAGUUUUAUCCUCCGAUCUCCAACAUUGAUCGUCAGAUUGACUUGAAAUUAAUGUAUGUUAUUUUACUUAUUAAUGAGUAUUAAUCCACUAUAUUAAUCAUCGAAUUGUCGUUCUGAGCUCGUUAACCAAAUUGAAUAAUAAUUAAAUCAACUUGGAUGUAAUUUAUUCUAAAAAUCAUUUGUCAGAAACUUCCAGAUCAAACAUUAGAUGAAACUAAAUCAUUUAUCAUUCUAAAGCUAAAAAUCCAAUAAAAAAUUUAUGAAUAAUGCCAAGUAAAUAUACAAGGAAAGAAUCUAACGGUCAUAGAUAUCCACGAAACAGAAUCCAACGGCUCUGCCAACUUGCCUAGGACCUCUCCAAUCUUCUCCUUCCGCGGAGACCCGGAGCCGCCUCUCUCUCUCACCCAAUUUCUUUGGAACCCCCAAAAACCCCACACCUCAAAUUUCCCCCAGUUUAACCAUAGUUAACUAUCCAAAUAAUAAAAAAGUAAACCAUGGUUAACCACCAACACUCUAUAUAUUCCUCUGGUUAGCUUCUCUUUUUAUUAUUGGCUUCAAUUAUUCUUUUCCUACCAGUCUUUUCAAACACCAUAAUAAACCUUCCUCAUUUCUUGUUCUUAUGCUAAGAGUACAAGGUUUAUCAAAAUGAGCUGCAAUGGCUGUAGAAUUCUUCGAAAAGGUUGCAGUGAAAAUUGUAUGCUUAGACAAAGCUUACAAUGUAUAGAGAACCCACAAGCUCAAGCACACGCCACCGUUUUUGUUGCUAAGUUCUUUGGCCGUGCCGGACUUAUGUCAUUUCUCUCCUCCGUCGCCAGUCCUCAAAGACCUGGUAAUUUUUUAAUGGCUUUUGUUGGAUUUUUGUUUUGGUUUUUGAUUUUUUUUUACUGAUGUGUGUGCAUACAUAUAUAUAUUUGCAGCUUUGUUUCAGUCGCUUUUGUUUGAAGCAGUGGGACGGGCAAUUAAUCCGGUGAGUGGAGCCGUGGGGUUGUUAUGGACAGGGAACUGGAACGUCUGUCAGUCGGCGGUACAAACGGUGCUCCAAGGCGGCACGUUGCAGCCGUUGCCUGAAUUUAGUGGUGGGGUUUCAGGAUCGGAUUUUGAGGAUGUUGGAGAAACGGUCGGUGUUGGUGGCGGCGGCGGCGCUGGGGGGCCGUGUAUCCAGUCGGGAGGUUUCGUUGACGUUGUUGAAUGUAAAGCAUCUGAUCUCAAUCUCUGCCUGAUGAUCGGCGACGAUGAUAGAGCGGUUAAAAGGAGAAGGGAAUCUACAUCGUCGGAAGAGUCCGAAACGACGACGUUGGGAAGCCGGUUUUCUGGAGAUGGUAAUAGUUCAAAUGACAGCUGCGGCGCCGACGGUGAAAGAAAGCUUUUAAGACUGUUCAUUUGAGAGUUUUUUUUUUCUUCUUCACAUUUUGUCUAUGUAAUUUUGAUUAUAAUUGAACGCCUGUAUGAGCUAUGAUCUUUUGUUUCUAUUUUCGGCUAUGAAGGAUGAAGUUCGAUCAAAUUUUAUAAAAUUUCGAAUUUCCCAUAAUUUUCGUAUUAUAAUUUUUGUUUUGCUCCUUCAUUGAUUUCCCAAAAAAUGAAAGAUGUGAGUGAGAAACGUUUAUGCCUUUUAUGGUUCAUGAGUUGCAAGUGAGUGGGCACUACUUCCUAUCGUGAAAUAUGAACAGGAGAAAUUGUAAAACUUGGGGCAAUCUUAAGGGGUGGCUUGGAACGUGAGAUUGCCCUUUGGCUACCCUAAAGAGUCAUUUUUAUUCUACUAUUUUGAAUGGCUUUAAAAGAAUAACUUUUUUCUAUCUAGUAUGAGACUCUUCGAUAUCCUAUACUUUUUGACACGAAAAUUCUUUGAAAUUUUAUAUUUAUUAAAUUCAUAUCGAAUCAAUCCAAGUAGAAAAACAUUAAACUCCUUGUUACAUUGAUUCAACAAUACUAUCAAACUUAUUUUGAUUGUAUUAAGAAUGUCUCGUACAAAACAAGGUCAAACAUUAUAGGUUCUGAUAAUAUAUAUUCUUUUUCUUCCCAAACCAAUAAAUAGGAGGAUAAUGCACUUCAGCCACUCGAACUCACGUUCUCCUACAUUGGUAAUAAUAUCCUUACUAAUCGAACUAAGACUCAACUCACACACAUAAUAACACUUAAAAUAAAAUAAAAUAUAGACUCAUAACUCAAUCAUAAUUAAAACAUGAAGAUAUUAAAAUAUGAAGGUGAACCACUUAAAAUUAACACCAUUAAACAUAAUCAUUUUGGUCUCUUUGUGAAACCACCCUUUGUUGGUUUGGGAUUUGGGGUCCAUUAUACCCAAUAUAUAUAAUAUUGGUGCUGUUAUUUUUCCCCGCAUCAUCACAGUCCACAAAUCAAAAUAAUGGAACCACCUUCCCCAUUUCUCUAUAUCCAUAUUCCAUGGCCGUCCUUUUCUUUCUUUUUUUGUUUGUCUGGAUUAUAAUGCCAAUAGGGUCCCCUUCCUAAUUUAUUUUUCAAUAACUGGAGACAAGGAUAACACGAGUUUCCCAAACUUCAUAGCCUCUCAACAAAUCUUAAAAAUUUCAUGCAAAAUAAUAUAUAUAUAUAUAUAUAGAUAAAUAUAAAAGGACCAUUGAUUUGCUUGGAUGGAGACACCCCUAUGCUGGUGUUGGAGUCUCUUAAAUCUCCACUUGCUUCCAUGUAAGAAAUUGACUUGUGUUGAGCAUCAAAUAUCUUGAAAUUCGGAUCCUGUCUGUAUUUAUAUUCUUUGGACUUUUAAGUAGGGGUUUAAUGAGAAUUUCUAAAAAUUUUGAGGGGUAAGUUAAAAUUUUUAAAGAUUUUGAAGGGGUUAAUGAAAAAAUGUUAAUUUUUUUCUCGUGUUUGAAGAAACAAGAAAUUGUUGCACAAUCCACAGUUACUGUUGCUGCAAAUAUUUGAUAGAUUUGCAUGGAAUAAGAGGAAAGCUGGACAAUCAAGUUGCAAUAUCAAUAGCUAAUAAUCCAAUAUUCCAUGGUAGAACUAAUCACUUCAAAAUAAAAUUUUACUUUCUUCGUGAUGUUCAAAGGGAAGAAGUGUAACUAGUUACAAAAAAUGAAUAUGCUGGUAUUUUCGGACAAGCAUUGCCUAAAGCCAAAUUCGAGUUCUUAAGACAAAAGCUUGGAGUUAAUUUGCAGCUCCAACAUCAAGAAAGAGUGUUAACUUUUAUGAUUUUUGAAGUUGCAUUAGUUAUAAUUUAUCUUUGUCUUUAAGCAAAUAUCAGCCCUUAUUUUUAGGCAAAUAAAAUAGUCAAAAGUCAAUUUAGAUUAUGAUUUGUAGACUUUUCUAAAUUUUAAUUUAAAAUUUUUACUGUAUAAAUAGAUAGUUUGGCAAUUCAAUAAAUAGUAUGAUUUCUACAAAUCCUUUAAAAACUUUCGAAUUCAAAAUGUUUAAAAAAUCCGAAAGCUCUAACUAAAUUUUUAAAACUUUUGGAAGCUUUAAUUAGAAAUUUUAAAAGUUUUGAAGGACCUAAUUAAAAUAUUUAAAAAAUUUGGAAGGCAUAAUGAUGUUGAAUAUGAAUAAGUAUUGUGAAUUGAAUUUUAAAUAUUUAAAUACCACAUAUUAAAUUCAACAAAAUUUCAUUAGCAAUAUUAUUAUUCACUACACCUUAAUUUUCAAAUCAAACUAGUAAAAAGAAAUUAAUUUCAAUUAAUUCCAAAUGUAUAAAAAGUACAGGGAUUAGAUACAUAAUUAAACCUAAUUAUAAAGUUUAAAAUAUGUUGAUGAUCUUCAUAAAAACUUAAAAGCAAGUUUAAGAAUCUUCUUCUCUUAUAUGUUUAUCCACAUAAACAAGUUUUUGCUGCUUUUCUUGCAUAAUUGAACAAAGAAUCAGUAUGUUUGAUUUGUUGGACAAAUUAAAAGAGAAAACCGGGCUUUUAAAUUGUAGCACAUGAUGCAAUAAAGAAACAUGUUCAAAAGGCAAAAGAUAGUAACGGAGGUGGAGGAGGUCAAAAAGAAAACAGAGCAGCCGGUAAAGGCGGCGGCAAUGGCAGGGAAACGCAGCCCGUGUUAGUGGUGGGGGCUUGGGGUUUUAAGUUCCCUAUGCGCCGUAACUUAAACGUGAGUUGUCGCUGACUGGCUACUUUGGUUGUGUAGUCAAGAUACAUUUUAAGUUGUCGCUGUCUUGUCUCCUAUUUUUCUUGCUGUUAGGUGUUCUUCUAGAAAACAAAAUAUUAUUUCUUAAGUGAGUUGCAGACUAGAAGGUUUAGGGUAAAUUAAGAGCUUUUAAAAAAUAUAUAAGUUGGUCAAUAGCUCUGCUUCAACUGGCUUACAUGUUAGAGCGACGAUUGGACAGAUUAUCAAUCACUUUAGAUGAAACGUAAUAGUUGGUGUAGUAAAUGACGAUUGUCGUGUGAGUCCCGCAUGACUUGACAUGAAGAAGUUAUUUUUCGAGAAUUUCUCCGAAAAGUUAUUACAAGAGUUGCUUGUGCUCCGCAUAUGCGAGGAGUUAUUUUAAUAGGCUCGCUCCGAGGGGUGAUUCCGAAGAACGAAAAUCUAACAGGCUUGUCUGAGAAGUAGGGGUAUAACAAUAUGCUAAGUUACUACUAUAAUAUAAUUCAUCAUUCCAAGUAAUAAUUUCAUUAGACAUUGUUGACCAAUACUUCCAAAAUUUGGAAAAGAUUGUGAGUGCGAAAAACUUGAAUCAUUAUAUUUAACAGAUAAAUUAAUAUGACACAAGAAUCAUGUCGUGUAGGAUAGGUUGAUGUUUUUGGUGGACAACAACAUAAUUCUUGUCAAGUAUCUAUAUCAUAUGUAUUGAGAGUUUGACUAAUAUCACUCAUUAAUCGAGUCUUAAUUCAGUUGUGAAUUUACUGUAUUUUUUUUAUAAAGGGUAAAUAUUAUUUUGAGAGUAAUUUCUUUUAUCUUUUUAUGUUUUUAAAACAAAAUUUAUAAAAUACACUCAAAACAUUAUGAAAUUUUUUCUCUAAAUUUUACUAUCUCUACUAAAGAUAUUUAGUAUUUAUAUCAACUUUUUUAUAAAUUUAUUAGAUAACAAUGGUUUUAGCCCAUAUCUUAGGUCAAGUGAAAUUACCAAAAAAUUACUUUUUUACAUGGCAAUAAAUAUUACUUUAAAGACAUUUUUAUAUUUUUAGAUAAAAUUUUUAAAAAUACAUAUAUAUAUAUAAAACAAUAUUAAAAUAAAAAACACCAUGACAUUCACUCCUUUUAACUUCAUCAUUUCAACAAAUUUCAUAUUUAAUUUUUAUAUUAACUUUUGAAAAUUUUAUUACAUAAUUGGUUAUGAAUUUGUUCGAAUCAUAGUUUGGUAAUAGUAUCAUUUUUUACACAUAUUUUAUUAUAUAGGUUAGCAAUAAACUAAUUUAAUUAGUAAUAUUUAAUCAUUCCGGUGACUUUUUUUUAAUGAAGAGAAAGAAAUUUUUCACUUAUUUCGAAAAAGUUUUAUUUUUUACAAGAGUUAUUACUCAUGUUUCUAAUUUUAAGUUUAAAUUUGUACUAACUAUUAAUUUAUUUUAUAUCUAUUACAUAUGUAAUAAAUAAUUUUUUCGUAUAUUAUUACACUAGUAACUAAACGAGGUAUGAUGUUAAUCUAACUCCUCCAAUAAUUUACCCUUCAUAUUUUAAAAUGAUGUUUUUUUUUUGGUAUAAUGAUUUAUUUAGCUUUCGAAGUUUAAAAAAAUUCAUUGUUCUUAAUUUAAUUUUUUGUCUCUUUUUAACCGUUGAACUUAUAAUAUUUGUCAAAUCAUUCCAAAAUUAAUGGAUAAGAUAUCCACGUGGUCCACGUGUAUUAAUAAUUAUAUAUUUUUAUAAUAUUAAUAAAUAUAUUUUUUUUAAUUUUUUUUUAAAAACGAUUAAUUAUUAACAUGACAUGCACAUGUAUGCCACAUCAAUAAAGUUGUUAGACGUUAAUUUUUUCAUUCAUUUUAAGAUAAUUUGACAAACAACACAAAUUUAAAUGCUAAAAAAUAAAAAAAUAAAAUUAUUAUUUUAUAAAAUUUAAAAAUUAAAUAAAUCGUUAUCGCUUUUUUUAUAUUAGUAUAUAUUCAUUUUACUAUUUAUAUUUUCAAAUCCAGUAAUUUCGUAAAAGAUGAAAAUGCACACUGUUCUAUAGUAUCAUAACAUUACAAGUUGCAACUGGAACAGAGCUUGCUCCACUGAAAACACCAGGGUUAUGUUGGGAAACAUUGAAUGUGGUAAUAAAAGAAAUCAUGAACUAGAAUUUUGGUAAUGUCAGCCCCUAUCAGCAUGCCUCUCGUGAUUCUCCAUGAUUCAUGAACGCAGUACGUUCAUGUCAGAUGCACGGCAUGAGAUACACGUUAAUUGUAUUAUUUUGUUAAUUAGACUAAUUUUUAACAGAAACGACUAAUUUAAUUUUUAAUAUAAUAUUUUGAGACUAAUUUGUUAUUUUUGUAUAAAUUAAAAUAAAAUAUAAUCUAAUUCCAAGACAGAAAAAGACAAAAUAAACCAUGGGUCAUAGCUUCAUGAUGAAGAAAGUUCAUUCAAUUCCAUUUGGUGCACUGAAUCUUGAUUACAAUCACACAACAUCAACGUGAAUGCAGUUAAUAUGAAUAUAAGGAUAAAAAUGGAAAUGGGGACUGUAUCUAUAAGUUGAACAAGCAUCAACAAACAUUAUACAUAGAUGAUUAAAUCAAACCAGGCCAAGAAAAUACAAUGAUAUUUUUGGUUAUUAAAAUAUUUACAUAUACAAUGCUUUUUUCCUUUGCAAGUAUGCAGAAAUCAGUUGAAAAGGAAAAGCCACAUUCUAAAAUGAGAAACCCGAACCUAACUAUAUUCGAUCCGCUCGUGUUUUGUCCAGUGACCGCAUCCAGACAUCAGAAAAAACAUUGAGUUUGAAUGUAAUGUUAGGAUUUACGGUGAGUAGUCAAAUAAAGAUCAGUUCUAUGCAUGUGUUGUCAAGCAGCCGGUAGUGGGUACACGGUUUAGUAGUAUUAUAUGUGACCUCAAGCUACAUUCGUUAACCUAAUUGAAAAAAAUGGACCUUUAAUGAUAAGCAACAAUGAGCAGAUCAAGUGCAGAAUAGUUUGGAAUGUAAAACGGAAUGUCGUAAUUACCUGGAUGGCAGCUAGCGUGGACAAAUGUUCUUUACAUUGUUCGAGCAAAAUCCUUUCGUUUGUGGCCACACUCACGAGUUCGUUCACCAAAGAAUUCAUUUCCUUCACCUGCAAAGGACAAAUGGUACUGUUAAUUUGGAAGGUUUGAUUUGCCACUUUUAUGAAAUGCAAAUUCGGGUGGAAUAUAAAUAAGCAUGAGGAUUUUCUUCUGUCCGGUGGUAUUCGUUACAGCUCUUUUUUUUUUUGGUAACGCUAACCUUUGAUGAUAAUGAGCAUAUUGAGGAUGCCAUUGCGUGCAUCACAUCAACCGCUGAACCGACGGCAUCCUUCAGAUUCUGGAUGUCUACCUAUUAAGAGAGAAAAACGGAUUGUCAUAAGAGGAAGAAUUAACAGAUUGUAUAUUCAAAUGCAGAGAAAAACGGGAAAAAGGAAGAAACUUACUAUCGCUUUUCCAACAAUUGGAAGACGAAGAGUACUGGCCUUUAAAGCUUCAGUUGCUCCUAGAAAAGAACUCGAGUGAUCUCUAUCGAGGACUGCCCACGCUUCUAAAUGAGCUAUCUACAGUCGUCAAUCGUAACAAGUUUUAGUCAUGACGAAGAGUCAAAUUUAUCCGUCUUGAUUAGGACCAACCAAUAUUCGCUAACUACUAAUGUGGUGAUAAAAGUGAACGGUGAUUGCUUCUAAAGCAUGUUUCUAAAGGGAUUGGUAAAGCCCGAGUCAAUGUAUGUAUGGUCAAGCAGCCCCCUUAAACCCUUGCAGAAAGCUUAAAAUUUCCUCGUUAUAAUACCCAAGUCCCGGUUUUGAUAAUUUCGUUCUCAUCAAAUAGUAUUUCUAAAAGUAGUGCUUUUUUACUUUCAUCAAUUGAGACCGAUGCAGCAUGUGGUUUCUUCUGGACUAAGCAAAGCAUGGAUACAGACAUAAAUAACAUGUUCUAUAUGAUAAAUACGAAGAAAGUAAAAAUAGAAGCAGUUGUAUCUAUGAAAAGAUCUACACAAUUCGAUGCUUAAAUGAAGUCGAAGUUUCGGAUCUUACUUGUCCCUUCAGGAUGGAAGUCAGUUUCAACUUUUGCCUCAGUAAUAGAAACUUCAUUCUCUUAAGAGUGAUGGAAUGCAGCAGUUCCGAUAUUGUUACCCACACAUUCCACAGAUUUUUCUGCUACAAAAGAAGGAACAUUCACCAUGAACAUACCGGACUUAUUAGAGAGCAUCACGAAAGUGAUAACCCCAAAUUCACAAAUUUAUUUUCCGAACCGGCUAUUGCAUAGAAAACCUAGCCAUUCAUGCUCAUUGUAUAGCAAAACCCUGCAGCUCAACUUUAGUACUAGCUCAUAUUAUUAGCAAGUAACGAAACUAACCAAUCAUUAAUCGCAUUUACCAUUCAAAAACAUGACCAUUAUAUGCAAGAACUAUGCUGUCACUUGCAGUACAAGUAAUCUUUAUAGUAAAAUAGUUGGGUUCGGCUUGUUUGACAAACUAUUACAAUGAAGUAAAUCGAAAAAUUCAUCAUCGAACAUCUUUGGCAACAACAAGAUGGACAAGGAGGAUUAACCAUACCUCUGCACUGAGUUCCUGCACCAUGAAAGUAGCUUCGGCCCUUGCAUUCGCGAAUCUCCAUUGCAAAUAACGGUUAUAAAGAAGUCUCAACGUGUGUGCAUCGACAAUCCGAUCCUCCCCCAUUCUCCCUCUCCGAAUAUCAGCAGAAAAGCUGAGAAUUGAAGGAGAAUUAACCGAAUUACCAAGCAUCUGACCACCACCAACUGCAUUUCUCACCCGAGCAGGACUUAGCCCCCUUAAAGGAGACGAAGCCGAAGACGUCCAAAGCUUACUAGGAGAAGCAGGUCUAGUACUACCUAAACUUUUUGGAGCACUGAUUCUAGACCCGGGGCUCGUAAACAACGGUGAACCUGGAUCCUGCAACUGCCUUAACCGGCUAUUCGUUUCUUGCCAAAACCGAGCAGAUACAAGGAUAUUAUGGGAACCAUUCCUCCCUUUGGAAACCCCAUUUCCUCCAUUGGUGCUACCAGAUGACACACUAUCAGUAUCAGAUGCAGUGAGAUCAUAAGAAACCUCAUUUACAUAAUUGGCAUCAAGCAUUAAUGAUUGUUGCAAUGACUUAACCAUCACUGCACCAGAUCCGAGCAUUUUCCUUUCACCAUAACAAUCCAAGCUCCUCGACAGCGGAUUCGAACCCGAACCCGAACCCGAAUUCGAAUUCCCUUCCCGGGUUCUCCCCGGCCAACGGUGCCGAUCCACCGGUUUUGAGUUCUCAGCGUGAUCUCUCACUGGAGUAGUUUUACGCCUCUCGGGAGUUACUGCUUUCCUAGUACAACCCACUUGGGGCUUAGCCUUACUAACCGGAAUCGAAAACGACUCACCUUGAAACGAAACGGAUAAGCUCCUCGAUGAAGUGAUUAACAUCUUGGUAGCAGCUGAUAAUUCAGUGGACACCUGGUCACCAGGCCGCCUCCGGUCCACGGAUUGAGACCGUUUAGGAAGCACCGUCGCCGUUUUAUUCCCCGUCGUCGCCACCGCUGUCGUAUUAGUAGAACGGGAAAGAAGAGGAGAAGGGAAUCUCGUCGGCAACUUGGCUGCUGCUGCCGCCGCCAUUGUUGUUGCCGCUGAAGAAGAAGGAGACAAGUACCGUGAAGGAACUUGUCUACCUCUGGGUUUUCUUUUAACGGUGGAGCCAUUAUCGUUAAGAGGAGACCAUUUUUUCGGGGUGUCUUCGUGAUGGGUACUUUCUGGGGGAGUUUGUGAAUGAGAAAAUGCAGCCACCAUCAUCAUUAGAGACUGCCAAAAAGGAAAUUAAUCUUCUCUUCUACAUUUCCUUGGAAAGAAAAUUCUCAGUAUUAACAACCAUGGGUCUUCCUUUUCAUGGCUGAUAAACCUGAAAAAUAAUCAAAAUAUACAAGAUUUUAAGCAAUUCUCACGAUAAUGGAGAAGAACCCAUAAAGGGAUUCCAAAUGAUUCUGCAUUUAAACUCCAAUAGCAGUGAAAAACCCACAAAGAUUUUCUGGGUUUUCUAAGAUACUGAAGAAAAUAGUAUGUAUGAGGUGAGAUUUGGAAGAAGAAAAACUAAAAAAAGAGUUCUUAUGAAUCUUUGGAAAGAUGUUUAGGUUAAUUAGUUAUUCAUAAAUUAUAUUUGAGUUCUAAUGAAUUGAAAGCAUUAUAAAUGAAACUUUAUGGUGUAAAAUCAUAUAGAAAUCCAUUCAGAAACUGAUUAUAAAAUAAUAAACUUGCUUCUUCUUUUUCCCUUAAUUUUUCAGAUUUCUCGAUAAAUCAAUCUCAUAACUAUUUCAGGUUAACUGUCCCCAUUCCCAUUCUUUAAAAACUUGAAUACAUUUUAUUCUUUUGAAAUUAAUUAGUAUUGGGUAUGGUAGGUACAUCAAUUGAAUACUUAUGUUUACAAUGUUUGAUGCAAUUACUUGGUUUUUGGUUUAUAUUUUAAUCGUUUAAUUUUAAAAAGUUAAAAAAUAAUUAUUAAAUUAUUUGAAAUUUUUAUUUAAAUCACCAAAUUAUUAAAAUUGUUAUUGUAUGACCUUUUUUAUUUGCACCGCAUGCACCAAUCGAAAGUUUUCAUUCCCUUUUUCUUCUAUAGUUUAGUAUUUUUUUUUUAUAAAACAAGUUUGAACGUCACGAAUCUGCAAAGCAAAAUCAAAACAGUUUUCCUCUCCGAUCUUCUGCAUUGACCACCAAAUCGACUUGGAGUUAAGGUAUGUUCUUCUAUUCGUUGAUGGGUACUUAUCCAUCGUACCGAUCGUCGAAUCAUUACUUGGAGCUCACUAGCCUGGCUUAUGAAAAAAAAAAACUCAACACUCCGGUGACUUAAAUGAAGACUCUUGAAUAGUUUAGUAACUAUUUUAUAACAUUUUGAACUUAAGUGAACCUUAACAUAUAUUUACUAAUAAUUUAAUAUUUUUGGGUGUAGUUUACCCUUACAAAAUAACAAUGUAUCAAAUAUAAAAUAGACAGAUCUCAAAAUUAUACAUGAACUUUGAUUUUGUGUAAUUAUACAGACGAAAUUUUGAUCGUGGUUCAAAUGCAUAAAUGAAACUUUGAUUUUAAUUCAAUUAUAAAUAUUUAAAGAAACGAAGAAAUCGAUAUAUUUUUAUAUUGGAUAAAUUCAAUUGUCUGUGUAUGCAAUAUAAAUAUAAAAUGAUGAUAUAUCGAUAAUUAUAUUAAAAGUUUGUAAAAAUUAUAUCAGAUUAAAAUUUCAUGUAUAAAAUUAUAUAUUAAAUUAAAAUUUAUAUAAAAUUAUAAAAUAAUGAGAAUAUAUAAUCUUAUUAUUAUAAGUAUGAAAUAGAAGAGAUAAAUGAUGAAUGCCAAUGUUAUAUUUUACAACUUUUUGUAUAAAAUCUCUAAAAGUAAAAUUAUAUGAAUAUGAAGAUGACCUUUCAAAAUUAAAUUUUUGUUUUCUUUUUUGUAGUACAAAAAUUGAGUACUUUUCAAUCACAUUAAGCAACUAUCUACUUCUUCAAUUUGAAGCAUACAUCAAUGAGGACCAUGAAUUAUUUAGGGAAAAAAUUAUAAAUAUUAAAAUUACACAUUAAUUUCAGUUUAAUGUGUAAUUUGAUAUAUAAAAUUUAAUCUGAUAUAAUUAUACACGUAAAUUUUUUUAUCAUGAUUUAUAUAUACACAAUCAAAAUUUUGUUUUGAUUUCAAAAACGUUGAUGAUGUUAUUAGCCUUUUGUGAAAAUUGAAUCAAAUUACACAAAAUCAAAGUUCAUGUAUGGCAUUACACGUUGAACUGAAAUUUUUUAUAUAGUUUUUUUAUAUUUACCCAUUAGUUAUAAAAUGUAAGUUUUGUUAUUUAAAUUUUUUUUUUACAUUCUCAUAGUUAAAUUUGGAUGAGACUGGACCUAAAUUUAAAAUAUCAUGUUUACAAGUUUGAUCUAAUUUGAACCGAAUAAACAUAGGUGAAGCUAGAAAAAAAAUUUAGGGGAGGCUAGAUUUAGGUUAUGCAUUUUUUAUGAGAGUUGAAAUGUAAUUUCAUCAUUGUAUUAAAUUAUAUUUUUCUUAAUUUUUUAAACAAUUAAAUUAAUUUUUUAUUAUUUUGGGGGUCAAAAUACAAUUUAACUAUUUAUUAACUUAUAAUUUAUAAACUUUAUAGGGCCAAAAAUGUUAUAUUCUUAUUUUAGGAGGCCCUCGCUUUGGCACCUGCCACCUCCUCAACAUCACCCCAGUCAAUGAAUAUCCUGACCAUUAAACAUGUUUAAUUUUAAAUCGAACAAUAAAUCAUAAAAAAAUAACAACUAUUUACAGUCCAAUAAAAUAUAAUUAUUAGAAUUUAAAUUUGAAAUGUAUUAAUUAAUAUCUUUUAAAAAUAAUUUUACAAACCAACUAAUUUAACCUAUGAAAAUAAAAAGCACAAAUCUUUGUAUUAAUGUUACAUUAACUUGAUUAAAAGGUUGAACAAUUUAAGCAAAGGAGGGACAUGAAUGAGCUACCCCCCAUGAAAAGAGCUUCCAAGCAGCUGAGGUUGAUGCAAGUAACUGAGCCCUUGUAUUAUUUUUUUUACUAUUGUUCACGUGUUUACAUUUGAUUGACUUAAACAGUCACGUGAGAUUUAUUUUUAAUGCAAAUGGGGGCUAACAUGAUGGAUGGAAUAAAAGUAAUGAACGUAAAGUGAUAAAAAAAAUGUAGUAAAAGGGCCAAAGUAAAAAAUUCACUAUAAUACAAGGGCUAAAAUAAGCAUUAACCCAUUUAAGAAAAAAAUUUAUUAAAAAGAAGGAAUGGGAUUGUGAUUAUUGCAAGCAAAGCUAUAACCCAUUUGUUAAUUUUAGUUUAAUAUAAGAUGGAAUGUCUCUAUUUCUCUCUCUCAAUCUCUAUUCUUCCUUCCUUCCAACUCUUUUUUUAAUUAUUUUUCCCCUUUUUUUUAAGUUUCUAAUAUGUCAACUUAUCCUUCUGUUGUCAUUUUAUAUAUAUUAAUUUUCAUUAUUCAACUUUAAAAAGUUACAAAAUAGUCACUAAAUUAUUUAAAAUUUUUUAUUUAAGUCAUUGACCUAUUAAAUUUUUUUAAAAGUUCGGCUGAUGAGCUCCAAGCGACAAUUUGACGAUUGGUAUGGUGGAUUAGUGCCCAUCGACAAUGAAGAACAUAUAUUAGAUCUAAGUUGAGCGGACGGUCAGUGUUGGAGAUCGGAGAAAAAAGUUGUUUUAAUUUGGGUUCGCAAAUUCAUGACGUUAAAGAUUGUUUCAUAAUAAUAAAAAAUAUAUACUAUAGAAGAAAAGAAGAAGGAGAACUUUCGGUUAGUGCAUGUGGUGUGAAUAGAGAAGGCUAAACAAUAACGAUUUCAAUAGUUUGAUAACUUAAACGAAAACUUUCGAAUAGUUCAGUGACCAAAAUAUACAUUCUAAUAGUUUACUAACUUUAAUUUACCCGGAAGAUAUUAAUAUAAAAAAUAUAAGUUAUAUAUAAAAUAAAUAUAUACUCCAUAUAUGUAUGAAAGUUGAAACCCAAGGAAGUGAAAAACAAUGAUAUUAGUCAACUAUAAGAAAAUAUAGGAAAGGUGGUGGGUCGUUUAUUUGAUUGUUCCACACUUGUAAUCAUAUGAAAAUGACCCAAGCAAAAUGCUUAAAUUAUUAUUUUUAUAAUUAUUUAUUAAAAAAAAUGGGUGUUAUGAUCCAUAUGUCUAAAAACAAAUAGAAGUUUCUGCUUUGCUGCUGGGUUUACAUCAAAGCCCUUUUUAUAUAAACAUUCUUUUACAUUUUUAAUUCCCUUAUAUUCUGGAAAAUAUAUGAAGUUUAUGAACUAAUAUUUUGUUAUCAUCUACUUUAAUUUGGAUAGUAACGAUGGUGGUAUCAAAUAUUAUUAGUUUUAUUCGAGAAAUUUUUGAAGUGUUAUUCACUUAGACGAAUGCUAUUAUUCCCGAUCAAGGUUUUCUUGGUAGUAUAGUUGCGCAUACUCUUAUAUGCUCACAAUUUCUUGGUAGGCUCAAGCACUCGGCUCUUGUCAAAGUAAAGACAAAGCUGUGACGGAUUAUAAUUAAAUUGGAACUAUUGAUGAAUUUUUAAAUUUAACCAUUGAAAAAAAUGAAAGGGAGGUUGCAACUGAAGAAGGGAAAGAAAAGGAAAAAAAAGGGUGAAGGCGUGAAUGAGAACACACACAUUCAUGAUUAAACCAAAUGCAUGAUUAAACUAAUUAACCAACAAUUAGACUUUCUAAUUAGAGGCUGUUAAGACUUUGUAAUUGGUCAGCUGACUUUAGCUUGCAAUUUCGUCAGCAAAUUGUUGAUGUUGUUAAGCUAUGACUUACGAAAUGAUGGUGGCUAGAUGAAGGAUGAAAACUUUUCAAACAUUGCAGCCAUGUGGCAUAGAAUAAUUGGUUUGGAAAUGAAAAAGACGUCAUCAUCCACUAAGUCAUGUUCUAAUUUGUUUGUUUAUUUUGGCGUUGUAUCAGUCUAACCAACUUUCUAAGUGAUUACAUACCUGUGAAAUGAAAAUGAUUGUUGUUGCUUUCCAACUAUGCUUCUCUUUUCCACUUUCGCCUCACGGUAUCAGAAUACAAAUUAUUCGAGUUUGAUUCGAAAAAAACUCAAAUCCCAUUCAAUAACUAUCAAACCAAGCUUAAACUAUCAUACUUGAUCUCGAGUACGCAAAUUGAUACACAAGUUUAACUAAACUCAAGUAGUUCAAUUAUGUCUCAAACAAAAUUUAAGCUUAAAAAUUAAUGUUUGAUCAAGCAUGAGCUUACAAAUAUUGAACCGAAUUUUGGCUCGAUUACAUCCUAUUAUUAUGACUCUUUUAGAGGAUCCCAAUUAAAUCUGGAGCCAAACUCAAUCAAACUCAACUCAAUUUUCUACAUUCAUCUAAAGUCUUAAAAAAAACAUUCGUCUCCACCCGAUUUAAACAAACAUGGGUUCAUUCGUUUCUUCUUUGAUCUUUCUUUCCUACCAUUCAAGCAAAACCCAAGACUAUUUUACUGAUUCCGCAUGCGCAAAAGCAUGUAUCUUAGUUUAUUUAUGCCAUUGUUCUAUGGCACCACCUGUCUUGGGAUCUAAGAUACAAAAUAAAUAACAAACAUGUUUUUAAAAAGGAUUUAAUUUAAAAAAAAAAUCAUUCAUCUUCACAUCUCAACUAAAUAAUUGUGAUUGGUUACCAACAAAUUUCACCACGUGCUUUUAAUUCGAUUUCUAACCUUUAAAAAGAGACAAUAACACAAACAAGAUUAAAGACAAAGGUUUGGUCUGAAUCAGUGUAGGAAUUUAAAGAACAUCUAAGGGAAGAAAGCCAAUUUGACAAUUAUUUGAACCAUUGUUAAGCAUAAAUUCUAUCAUGAAGAAAGGUACAGAGAGGGUACAAAAGAUAACUUGAAGAUGAAGGAACUUAAUGAAGGAAGUUGGUGAAAUAGACAAUUUGCAGAUACCCUUUUUUUGCUAGUUGUUGAACUCACUUUUAAAUCUUGUCAACUUCUAUAUAUAUAUAUGAAAACAUGACCUCAUCUCUCACUGAAUAUCACACAAAGAACUUUGUUAAGCAACAUCUUAACAGGAGAAGUUGAUAUCUUAGCUCUCUUACAAGGAGUAUUCUAUGUUUAAGACAUAUUGCCUACUGUUUAGGAAAAAAAAGGGACCAUUAUGCAUAAAUAAACUUAAAAGCUAAGUUAUGGUGCAAUAGGGUAGCAUUACAAACCUAUUAUAAACGUGCUAUAGAGGCCCACAAGUUAAGUAAACUUCUAGAUUAAAUUGGGAUUUUACAAUCCCUCUGUUCUCUAAUGAGAGACCUUGGAUGACCCAAGAGAAAAUGAUUCUAACAUGCAUGAACCAUACUAAAACCGAAUCGCCCAAAGCAAUAGCAUAUUUUACAUAAAGACUACAAUUUUGACGGUUUCAAUGAGUAACUAAUAACUGCUAAAUGCUAAUCGUUUUUCGAAUAUCAAAUGUGACAGUAAGACUUCAGAACCAUACAUUCUGUGGGUUUUAAGGAAUAAAUAAUUUAAGCCAGCAUCUUAAUUCCAUUUAGAGAACACAGGAAAUGCCAAUAACCAACAAGAUCAUCACCUUGCAAGGACAAUCAAUAAGCACACUUAACAAUAUGCAGUCACUCCAUGGACCAUACUAAUCAAACGCCUUUAACACCAUAACAAGACCAAACAAUAAGACUUCAAAACUAUAUGUACUGUGGUUUUUAAUGAAUAAACUACGUAAGCCAACAUCUAAAUCCAUUUAGAGAACACAUAAAAUGCCAAUAAUCAACAGGAUCAUCACAUUGCAUAGACAAUAAGCACACUUAACAAUAUGCAGCCAUUCCAUGGACCAUACUAAUCAAAGUCCUUUAACACCAUAGCCUAUGACCAAAUAUGACAAUAAGACUUCAGAACCAUACAUUCUGUGGUUUUUAAUGAAUAAACAAUUUAAGCCAACAUCUUAAUUCCAUUUAGAGAACACAUGAAAUGCCAAUAAUCAACAAGAUCAUCACAUUGCAAUGACAAUCAAUAAGCGCACUUAACAAUAAAGAAAAUACCAAAUUAAACCAGUAUGAUUACUUCAUUGAGGAACCACAAAGUAUUCUUAGUUCAACAAUCACUUUGGUAAUUCACCAAAACAAAACAGCAUCUUGUUCUUUCAAAUUCAAAAAAAUAAAAAUACUAACAUACUACAGAAGGCUCAUAGAGGGACAAAGUCCUUCCUACUUUACACCAUACAAAAUUCUUCAACGGUACUGCAAAGGAAAAAAAGACAAGAAAACACCCAAGUUUAAGAAACUGUUGAUAUGAACAAUUAUGAAGAUUGAAGAUUAAGAUAACGUUAACCAUCAAAAGAGUAAUACCUUGAUGAAUCCGAUUUCCUUGGCAUUGCUACGGAAGCACUGCCUGCAACACAUGAGACCGUACUUCCUGAUGAUGGCAUGGGGGUUCCCACAAACACGGCUAUCAAAACAAAACAAAACAAAACAAACAACCCUAAGUCAUUGUAACAUAAUAAAACACAACAAGACAAUAACAGAUUUGACAAAAGCCUAAGAUGCUACUACUCUCACAUUUAUUACUAAUAAUCUCGAACAAAGCAAAUUCCCAGCCACUAACACUUAUAUGCAAAAAUAAAAUUGCUACAUCGUUCGAUUAGGUAUCGAAGAAAUCAACAACCUAAAUUUUGAUUUCAUUCCGUUGUACUACUAUAUGCCUAAAAUAAAACAUCAGUCGGAAAACUAGUAAUACAUGCUAAGGAGUUAACAAAAAUAGCUCUUGGGAAUUUUGCAAUGCAAUGCAAUGCAAAAAAAAAAAACAGAGAGAGAUGAAACAGUUACCAGGCGCGAGAGCCAGGGCCGUAGGUUUGGGGGUGAGAGUUCCAGACGUUAGAGUGACCCAUGAUUGCUCUGAAAAUGCGAGAGAAAUGAGACUGGAAUUGAAAACCCUAGAUUUCACGGAGGUGUUUGGAUCAUUUAGAAAAUGAUUAUAUAUAUGCGGAGCCUAAAACCCUAGUUUCCGAAUUAAGCGGGGCCCCGAUUUGCUGACCCGUAUACAGCUGUGGGUUUGAUUGUUCCAUAAAAGCCUAUUUAGGCCCAAUAACAUCUCCUGGCCAAACUAGUUUAUAAAUGGCCCAAUAAUAUGAUUAAAUUAAAGAUGAUAUAUAAAUGAUUUAAAUUGAAGUUGCAUUUUUAAAUCGGAAAAACACAUUAUUUAAUUAAAAAACAUAGGGUAAACUAUAUUAUUAGUUACUAAAUUAUGAUUAAGUUUUAUUUUUAGUCACUUAACUAAAAAAAGUUACAAAUUGGUGACUGAAUUAUUCUAAAGUUUUCAUUUAAGUUUUUAAACCGUUAAAAUCGAUGUUAUAUGGCUUUCUCUGUUCGAAAUAACUAAACCAGUUGGAAGCUCUCUUCCCCCUUCUCAUCUACAGUUUAGUUUUUGUCAUGAAAUAACUUUGGACAUCAUGAAUAUGCAAACCGAAAUUCAAACAACUUUUUUCUCUAAUAUCUGACAUUGACCGUUAGAUCGACUUGGAUUUAAGGGAUGCUCUUCUACUCAUUGAUUGGUACUAAUCUACCGAACUGAUCGUCAAAUCGUCACUUGGAGCUCACUGACGGAACUUUUUUUAAGAAAAAGCUUAAUAGCUCAAUGACUUAGAUAAAAACUUUUGUAUAGUUUAGUGACUUAAAUGAAAACUUUUGAAUGGUUUAGUGAUCAAGUUGUAACUUUUUUUAGUUAAAUGAUCAAAAUGAAAAUUUAACCAUAAUUUAGUGACUAAGGGUAGAAUGUACCCAAAAAUAAAAGCAUGGAACUAAAUUGAAGGAUAUUUUAACCCUAAAAGACUCGUCUUUUGCUGGCAGGCUUCAUGGCGAACCGAGCGGGCUCUUCAUCGUCACGCCUGGUAACCAUUGAUUUCAUCACUAAUUGAUCUCUAAAUACAGCUUCACUUGAAAAAUAACCAUCGACACAUUUGUUCUUUAACACUUCUGCAACUAUUCUGCUACUGAAUUUUCUUGAGCAUUCCAUUUCCCAGUAGUUUCUUCCAUUUUCACUAGUUUUUUUUUUUAAUUCAUUUGCGUUUUCAGGAAACCCUUCACGAAGAAGAUGAUUACGACUCAUACGGCGCCGAAUCAGGAUGGGUGGAAGCUAAAACGCACUGUGAUCACUUGCCUUCCCUAUCUUCUGAUCUCACUCACAUUCCAAUCCCUAGCACUCCCUGCAGCAGGUCAUUAUCCCCUAUGUUUUUUGAAUUCUAUAAUUCUUGUUAAACUUCUUUAAUUCAUGUCCUUGUUUGGUUGAUUAUUUUGAUACUUCUAAUAAAAAAUUGGGUUUAGACAUUUAGUUUUGUAACAUAUUUGCAGUUAAUUUUUUGGCUUAAUUGCCUAUACCUGAAGUGAUCUUCUGAUUCAUAUUGAGGGACUAUUAAUAAUUGGCGAAUCUAGGAAUACAUGGUUAAGGGGAUCCAAGAUUAAAUUAUAAAUUUUUGUGUUAAAUUGAAUCAUUAAGCUUUUAGAAUAGCUAAAAUGCAAUUUUUAUAUUUUAAUCAAGGGAGGCUAAGGUCCUGCCUAUGGCAUGUAAAUGAGAUACCAGUGCUUAUAAGGGAUUCGAGUUCAACUUGAAAAUUUUGAAUUCAAUUUGGUAUUUAUAGAGUGAGCUCAAGCUUGCUAUCAAUCAAGCCAGCAAAAUUUGAGCAUUUUAAUACUCAAUUCAAAUGGAUCAUGAGCCUAAUCGAGUUUUCUUUUUUAGUACAUUUUUAUAUUAUCAUGUAGAAAGAGCUUAACUCCGAACAAGCUUAAUCAAGCUAGAGUUCGAGCUUGAAUACGAAAAUUGAUCAACAAGCUUAGUUUAAGCUCAAGCUUGAGUUUAGAAAUUCAUGUUCAAGUUGAGCUUGAGACAAGUAUUGAGUCCUGAACUUUGAGUCGAGUUUGAGCUUGAACUUGUCACUAAUCGAGUUCUGCUUGACUCGAUUACACCUGUAGGCCCCUGCUUGCCCUCCUUUGCAUCCACCUCUGCUAUUAGUAUUUUAAGUAAUUGAGCUACUAAAACAUCUCUGAAGUUUGCAUUUUUAGGAUUCUUUAAUGUAGAUUUUUAGGGCAAGAUCAUACGAAUUCAUUAUCCUAAUCUUACAAAACAUUUUAUGCAUACAAGGUGCCAGCACCCAAGUGAGAAUUGGUUAUGCUUGUCCUGCAAAGUUGUGCUUUGUAGCCGUUUUGUGAAUAAGCAUAUGCUUGAGCAUUAUCAGCAAACAACCCAUUCCAUAGCGCUCAGUUUUAGGUAUGUAGUUAUAAUUGCCUUCUUUUUUAACUUCCCAUUUUGCUAUAUAUUUGUUGCUCGAGAAAGAGAAAGUAUCUACGGAAGUUUUUCUCGGUAACUUCUUUUUUCUUGGUUGUGUGAAUCCAGUGACCUGUCAGUUUGGUGUUUUGCUUGUGAUUCUUAUCUCGAUGCUCAAUUGAUUCAGCAACUGCGACCUUUUCAUGAGACAGCUUACAUAUUGAAAUUUGGUCAAGCCCCUCCUUUUCGGUCUGUUGAAUCUUCUCGGGUGGAAGAUAAACCGGCCAUGGAUGUGCCAUCAAGCAGUUGAAUCUGGUAUGGUUUUUAGACCGAAGGGCUGUAAUGGCAAAAGAAGGCUAGUUUGGAAUUGAAUCAAACAAUAAAUUAGUUGAAUUUAAUUAUAUGAGUUCUGUUCUAUGCAUACUGAUGGCUAGAAAUAGAUGGCUUUUUCAGGUUCAUAUUGCCUCUUCCAAAUACAAAACCACAUAUAUUUACUCAGUCUAGGUUAAGGCAGAGAAAAUUUUGCAUACCUUAUUCAGCUGUUGAGAUCUUGCUGCCCUUAUGAAUUGUUUCAAUCUCAACACAUUUAAUAAUUUACACAAACAUUUGAUCUUCUGCCCAUAUAAAUUUACUCAGUCUAGGUUUUUAUCUGAAUUGUUCUUUGAUAUUGAAUAAGUCUUCAUUAGACGACCAGGCAUUCUGUUACACAGAAUUUGCUGCCAUGUCAUAGACCUUGUAUUACUAAGGUAACCUGUGUGUUUCGGUUGUCGAGCAUUUGUUCAAGUUUCACUAAUGCACCUGCAUUCGUGUAGACGGAUUAUUUUCCGAUAGGGUAGUGAGUUCCCUCGGAAUGGAUCCCUGUUAGAUUUUUGUUUAGAUGAUUGUCUGAUAGAUUCGAGCACGACAACUUAUCGAUGUUUAAGUUAGGGGAAUCUCAGUGACUUAUGUGAAAGAUACAAAUCCAUGAUUGAACACAAACAUUAAGUUUGCACGAAAAAAAUCAGCUAGUGAGUUUUUUACAGGCUUGUGAAAGAGAAUUUAAGAUAAAUUAUAGAGUACCAAGAUACAACAUAGAUAGAUGAUAUGCAUUACAAGCUGUCUUGACAUCUCCGUUCUUUCUGUGGAGUUUCGAUGUUUAUUUUUUAAGAUGAGGAAAGCACGCGUACACGUCGGACUUUGGAUGCUUCGCCUCAGCGUGCUCCCGGCAUUUCACUUCCGUUGUGGUACACAUGAAUGUUUGCAUACACACCUUGCACUGUUUUCAGGCACCAUCAUAAACCAGUUAUGUUAUCAGAGGAAACCCAAGCAAAGGACGACAAUGAUAUGAACAAGAAACCAAAACCCGAGUCAUGUAUCUGAUAAUGUAGUUCAAUGUGUCUAAAUUCAUUUUGACAGUAUCAACUAGUGAUGUAACAUGAUGAAUGUUCGAAGUUAAGAAAUGUUAUUUCUGGAAUUCUCAAGUGCAUUUAUUACCAAAUUCCACUCAAACAGAACACUAGAAAGGCAGUUUUUGCAAUCAAUGAUUACUUAUAAGAAUUUUAGGAAGGCUCAGACAAUCAUACAAAUUCUUCUCAUCAAUAUUUGUAACUUGAGAAAGUUCAUGCAAGAGAAGCUUAAAUUCAAGUAUUGUGUCUGCUCGUGGUUUUCUUCAAUGGAAGAUGUAGAGAAAAGGCCAAUUCCUCCCUAAAAUGUCUUCCAAGUGUCAUCUGUUGGGAGUCGAUAAAUCCCUCAACAGGUAGGUAUUGCCCUCGGUUGGAAUUUGUCUCCCAACUCUAACGAGAGAUCAAGUGCUUGAGGCAAUGGUUCAUAGAGCGGGAGUAACUUUUCUUCUAAGUGGCAUACACCACGCACGGUCCAUCUCAACGAGGUGCUCCAGCUGUGUGAACCUAUCACCUCAAGCAUUCAAGCUCUCGACUUUCCGAAGACAAACUCUUAUCACUUUGAAGACUUCGGUCUCCCUCGACAAAACAAAAUAAUGACCAAAAGUCUACUGACAAUGAACAAUUGACAAGCGAAAAACACUCUCAAAUCGUAAUUCGCGCGUAGGAACUACGCAAUAAGUUCCCAUGAAACCAUACAAAGCUUUAAUCCAAGAAUCUCUCUCAAGAAUUUCAACAAACACUCUCUUCAAAAUACAUCACAACAAAAAUAGUCAAACUACAAACACAGAAAACUAGCGAAGGAAAUCCCAACUUUUUCAAAGGAAGAUAAACAAAUAAAUCAUAAACCACUGGACAAAAACAACAGAUCAAGCAAAGUAUAGUUUUAAAAUCAAAGAAAGAAAUGAAAACCAGAGCAUCCAAAGAUACUACCUGGAUGGACAUGGCCUUCUUGUUAGACUCAAGCUGGCUUCCUAUCAAAAAACCAAAGCUUAAAGAUCAAUGAUGGAUCUAACUAAAAAGAUGGUCUAAAAAAAACAGACCCAAAGAUUAGCAAAGAGAUGGAGAAAGAAAGAAAAAGUGGAAAGGAAGGAUUUGGGGAGCACCUUUGCCAGCAGCUUUUUGCUUUUCCAAGUUCUUCUCACGGGCCAUCUUGGAUUUUUGGCCAUUUCCUCCUCCCAUGGUGGAUUGAUGAGGGAAAAAAAGAAGGGUUUUUUGAUCGAAUUGGAAGUGAAAACUUGGAAGAGGGAACUAUCAGAGAUGAUUAAGGCAAAAUAAGGGAAAUGGGGGGCAGAAUAGAGACAAGACUAUGAACCACAAAGAAAGUAGAUUCGAAUAAAGUAAUGCAAGUGGGGCCAAAAGGAUAAAGGCUGGAAAUCGCCGAUAAAGGAAAACGCCAACUAGUUGAAUUUAGGUACAUCAGUCAGAUCUGUUACUGUUCUAUAUAUCACCCGAUUGUGAGGUGGAAUUACAGGGUAUUAUGGGGGAGUUUGGGUUCCGAGCGAGUUUAUUUAAGGUAUUUAGAUUAAUUAUUUAAGUUCGAAUUUAGUCAAAAAAUAAUUUUUUUUAUCUAAAUUUAAUCUAAUUUAAAAAAAAAUUAGAUCUAAUUUGAUCCGUAUAUAUUUAAUUUUUUUAAGUUACUUUUGUUAUACAAUUAUAAUAAAAUAUAUAAUAAUUCAGCCUGAAGUCCGACCCGAUAAAUCUCUCUCUAUAUAUAUAUUUAAAGAUUCUCUUUGAGAGGAGGGUACUUCAUACACUCUUUUUCUUUUAUCUUCUUCUUCUCUAUUGCUUCACCAGAAUGUCUUUCCCUUCUUUUUCCACGUACUAAGAAUGAUAAAAUAAAAAUUUUUUAACACAUUAAAAAUUAUUUAUAUUAAAAAAACACUAUCUUAAAUAUAAUAAAUAUUUUUUAUAUUAAAAAACAUAAAUAAAAAUAUUAAAUAUUUUAUUGUAUUAAAUAUAAAUUUUAAAAUUUUAUAUUUUGGUUUAGGUUAUUUAGUUGAAUAAGUUUUUUUAAAAGUUUUGAGUAAUGAGUUUAAUUGUUAUUGGGUUAAUGAUUUAAUAUAAGUAUAAAUAUAUAUAAUUAUUAUUUAACAUAUAUAUAAUUAAUAUAAUAUUAUUUUAUAACAUAAUAUUCGGGCUGAAUCGAGCUCGGGCCAAGAAAAUCUUACUAAAAGCUCAAAUCAUAUAGAAAAUAGACCUUAAUUUUACCUAAGCUCAUUUUUUGGGUGGAUCUUGAGGCUUGGGCUAGCGGUCCAGCCCAUGAGUAGGUCUAGGUGGAAUAAUAAAUAAAUAUUUAAUGUUUGAAUUUAUUUUUUAGUAAAUAAGUACCGUUAAACAAUAUUUUUUAAAUUGAAUUGGUGGUCGAACCGGUUAGGCCAUCAAUUCACUGGUCCAAUCGAUUUAAUUAAAAAAUUAUUAAUUAAAAAUUUUUUUCUAUUCAACUGAUUUAAUCGUUGAUUAACGAUUCAACUGAUUUUUUACUUAAUUUAUACUGAUUCUUAUAUACAAAAAAAUAUAAAAAAUAGUUAUAAUAUUAUAAAAUUUAUAAUUUUAAUCAAGAUAUGUAAAUUUAAAAGAGGGGUAUUUUGAUAGUUUUUAGGGGUGGGCCGAUGCAGGCUUGAUCAAAACUGAGAUCAAUUUCAUCCUGACCCAAAACUCGAUUUUCUUUUCAAUUUCAUCCCCUCUCUAACCAAAUCGGGUUGAAAUCCAAUAGAUUUGGGUUAAUUUGCUAGUCAUCAAUUAUUGCUUGGACCCUGUCAACUCUAAGAUCAACUGGAUCUUCAUCAAUUGCCCUCAAACAUUUUACAUGAAUGUUUCCAAAAAAUAAUAGCAAUUGGAAUUGAAAAAUUAUUUUUGUGUCGUUUUAGUUCGAUUGGUAUCGGUAUUAUUGUCAGUGCAGGAGGAUGUGGGUUCAAGUGCGUUGAAAUGUAUUAUCCUCCUAUUUAAGGGUUGAGAAUGGGCUAUGGGUAGUUUUAGACUUAUUAUAUCAAAAAGAGCAAAUAUGAUUAAUGUUAAAAAAUAGACCCUAAAAACUUGACCAUUUUUUUCUCUUCUUUUUUACUUGAGAAUAUUACGGGUAAAUUUCAAUUCCAAUCCUUCUAUUUUUUAAUUACAAAAAAUGGUUAAAUUUUAAUCUGAUCCCUAUAUUUCACUCAAUUUUGAGAUUUAAUUUAUAUAUUUUAAAAUUGACAUGACUUGAUAUCUCAACUUUUAUAAUGUCAUUGGUUAGUCUAAAUAUUUUUUUCUCGUUAAAACAAUGGUGUGAAUUUUUAAGAAUUGUUAGCACCAUGAAAAAUCUUUGUUAAAUUCGGGUUUAUUACAAUGUUAUUUUUUUGUUAUGUGGAUACCAAUUUAUUUUAUUUUAUUUUUUUGAAAAUGCCACACCAACACAAUAAUUAAGACAAUGUUAACAAAUAGACCUAAAUUUUUAAAUUUGAAAAGUAAAGAGACUAAAUUUUUUAAAAUAAAAAUUUAGAGAUUAAAUUCUAAAUAUACGAAUAAUACAAAAAUUUCAAACAAAUUAUAAUUUUUAAAUUUUUACACUAUAAAUUAAUUAAUAAUUAAUUAAUAAACUCAACAAAAAUUGUGGGUGAAACCAUACUAGUAAGUAGUAACUAUACAUAAAAUGUAUUGGACUUGCUGCCACGUGUCACACCCAACUAUAUUCAUUUUCUAUUCUUUUUGCAUUUUUACCAAAAACUGUUAAAUUUCAGCUUUGGUCCCUUUAAUAGGCCUAAAUUUGAGAUUUAAUCUAUAUACGUUAAUUUCUAAAAUAAUAUGUCCCUUAUAGUUUUAUAAUGUUAUUAUUUAGUACAAAUAGUUAAUAUUGUUUACUUUUUUAUUAAAACAUUAUGUGGUUAUAUAUAAAUUGAAUACCCUAAGUCUUAGAGACUAACUUGUGGCUUCCCAAAAUAUUUGCGUUAUUUUUUCUUUUUUACAUUAUAAGACAAUGGUCAAAUUUUAAUUUUAACCCUAAACUGUAUUGAAACUUGAGAUUUAAUCUAUAUACUUUAUUUAUCUUUUACAUAAUUCGGUCCCUCUAAUUUUAUAAAGUCAUUAGUUUGUCUAAAUAGUUAAUAUUGGUCAACUAUUUCAAUCAAAAUGUUGGCGUCAAUCUAGAAAAAAAUAUUUCAUCAUGACGAUUUUGAAUGGGUAUUUUUAAGAAAAAUUGUAAUAAAUAUUUUCAAUGUUUUUUUUAAUAUAUGGCUACGAAGUGAAUAUAUAUUUUUUAAUUUCAAAAUGUCAUACUUGAGAAUUAAUAAAAGAAAUUUAACGAUGGUAUCAAUUGGACCUGGAAUUUUAAAUCCAAAAAGUAGAUUAGUAUAUUCUCAAAAAUAAAAGUAAGGGGACUAAAUUCCAAAUGUAUGAAGUGUAUAGGGACUUGGAGAAUAUUUUAACAUUUGAAUUUUUUACUUUAUAAUUUGACAUAAACAAAUAAUCAACCCAACACGAAGUGUGGGCUAGGAACCACGCUAGUUUAUAUUGAAUUUUAAGUUCAAGAUAAGUACAACAAAAUUACCUCUAACAUGGUCAAAGACGAAACCAAAAUAAUGUUGAUAAUUAAGAAAUAAAGAAAUAUAUAAUUGUUGAAGGGGUAUCGACUUCUUCCAGAGAUGUCUUCAAUAUGCCGUCCUCUAAGCAACCGACUGAAGCCCCCAACAACCAAAGGUAUUGUCCUUGGGAGAGAGUAUUGUCCCCAGCCUCCGCGAAGAGCCAAUGUGCCGUGAGUGGCUACCCUGAAAGUCUACUUCAUACAUGGGUGCCUCGAUUAUACGUAGACAUAUGACCACUCAUUGAGAGGCAAUGAAAGCAUCUCGCCCUUGGUGGAGUUUAAACCCCUCACCAAUAACAUAUAAGUCACUUAUUGGGGUAUAUCUGACCCAUAUAGAUCACAAUGACAAUCUUUUUUAAUUCAUUUUCUUCUUCUUCUUCUUUAUCAAGCACCGUCAAUUUUAUUUUCUAUCCACAUUUUCGCUGUCAAUUUUUUUAUUCUAUUUUUUCAUUUAACUAAACGUACCUUAAAUGUCAGUUUGAAUAUGACGCGGAGCACGUGUAAAAUACAUGAAUCAAAUUGUAAUUAAAGACAUGUUUAUAAUGUAUUUGUCACAUAAAUAACUUGAAUUUGACAUGUUAAAAGAAACAUAUAGCAUCAUUAAUAGGGGUGAAUUUAGAAAUUUUCUAAACAUUGGAAUUGAAUUAUAAAAUUUUUGAGAGUUCAAAGUGUAAUUUUAUAAUGUAUUAACUUAUAAUUUCAUCAUUUUAAAAAAAUACAUUUUUUUAGAGAUGUAAAGCAUAAUUUUAUCAUUACAAAAUUUUAAUUUAAUCAUUUAUAAUAAAACUAUAAAGAAACUUCUUAGGGGUGGGUUUCAAAGCCCACAUAUCCCCCACAUUGUAUUAUCCUCUUAACGUCCAAUGAAUGUCCGAAAUUAACCUAUAUUAUUUUUUUGGUAAAAAAGUAGCAGAAAUCAGCUACAUCAACAUAGUUCUAAUGAGAAUUUCCCAUGGUUUCGAUUUGCUGAAGAUCAGCUAACAACAAUCCUCUAAUAUUCAUUGGAGGCUAUUUAAAAGUGCAAAUCAUAUUUAAAUCUUCAGCAUCCAUCUUCGCCAAGUAAUCCACAACCUUAUUUUGUUCCAUUGGAAUAUGUCGAAAUUAAUAGCUAAAUUGAUGGAAGGAGCUAAUUAUAUGAAACCAUAUUUUGAAGACUUAAUCAAAAUUCUUUGAAGAUUAGGACCAAAUUAAAAUCUAAAUUAUAAAUUGAGAACCACUGCUGCAAUUAAUCUAAAGAGUAUCAUAUAAAGCCAAAUUUGGCGUUAAAACUUUAAAUUUUCUAUUUAUUUAUCAGUUUCCCACCGUACAAGUUUUUUCCCGCGUUUCUUCGAAGGUUUCUAAUAACUUCUAUUGGUUUCCAUUUCUUAAUCCAAAAUAUAAUUUACAAAGUAUGAAGUUAAUUAUUUUUGUAAAAAAUGGAAGCUUAGUUUGCAAAUCAGAUCAAAACAUUCGGGAUUUUAGCCAUUUUUUCAGGUGAAUUACGAGCGCAUCGGAGUUAUUCUACACUCGAAGGUCGAGUGGGCCGACGACCCGACCCGCAUUCAGGAUUUGGGUCCUUAAUUGAUCGGAAUUACAAUCGCGCCGGAAAUCAUUUCAGUCACCAUAAUCGGAGGCUUGAUUUGGACGGCCGUGAUCCUCUCCGCCGUAUUCUCUACGCUCACGUGGCUUCUCCCUUUCCCUACGCUCAUUGCACAUAAUGUUUUUUUUUCGUUUGGUUGCUUAGAAAAGAAAAACGGAAAAAGGAAAAAAAUAAGUAUACGAAUUAAUAGAUGUUCUUGGAAGUGAAAAUAGAUUGAAUUUUCAUUUUGUUGAAAUAAAUUUUGAUUAAUUAAUUUAUUUUGCUUUGAAAAUCAGUAGCUUAAAGAUAAAUCUAUUAGUUGAAUUACUGAAAGUAGUUAUGAAAUGUAAAAUUUUCUCGAUAAUUUAUCUGAGUUCUGAGCCCUAAGCUAAAUUGCUGUAAAUUUCAUCCAAUAACAUAUAAUAUGUAUACAGAUAGAUAAGAUUGCUUGAUAUUGCAUUACCUUGUGAUUUGCUUUUACUUUGGGGAAAUUACUUAACAGUUAAGUGCAUUGAGCUAGUGUUGCUAGUACCUCUUCUUCAGUAAUGAAUAUUUUGAGUGUCUUUCAGAGAAAUGCUAUAAUGAAUUUGGCUUUGUCAUGCAGCAACCAGUUUGUGUAAGUAGUUCAAGUAGGCCACGUUUAAGUUCGAACUAGCGACUUCCCGGAGUUUUGCUGCGAGUAAGAGGCGCGUCCAUUUCUUCAAACAGGUUGGUGCUUAGAGCUCUCUGCAAGUUUCAAAUUCAUAGCACUUGCAUUGGUUGUAUUUACUGUGAUUAUUUACCUUGUCAAGUAGAGCUAGUAAUUCUGCAAGUUCAUAGCAUUUGCAUUAAUGCACUUAUGGCACUUUUAGUGCUUUUGCUGCACUAGUUGGACUAAAAAUAUAUCCACCAUUCUUGCUUUGACACCAAUUUCCAUUCAACCCGUUUAAAUUCUCGAAGGACAGCAUAUCUAUAACUUUCUCAACUCUACUAGAAUCCAAAUCAUGAUUUUGCUUUUUUGUUCUACUUUUAUUUCGUGGAUAUGUUGAGUGGUGCAAAAUGAUCAAAAGGGGGGCAACUAUUAAACUAUCAACUUGUGUCAUAAUCUGUAUAGGACGAUUCAGUGUCAUAUAUGGUUGAUUGUGAUCCAUUAUUGUUGCUGCAUCCAUAAAAUGAAAUUGUGGGUCUGACUGGGUUUAGCAAUAAGGAAAAGAGGUACCAUGUGAUCUUUUAGGAAGAUAGAUGGCUUGGGUUAUCACCGGUUUAUGCAUAGAUCAAUUUCAUAGGAGUAACCUAAAAUGCACUCUGAUGCAGCAAUUUGUCGGUUGCAUUGUCACUAGUGUAUUCAAUUUUCAAUAAUUGUUUUGGCGCUUGAUACCCUAGCUAUUUUUUUAUAGAAUUGCCUGCUAUAAUCAUCAUGUUUCAACAGACUUUUUUUUGUCCCUCUUUAGACAUUAGAUAUUCUGGUAAAAUUUUGCUAUUAGUCCAUAUACUAUGCACAAGUUGCAAAUUUUUGUACUUAUACUCUAAUUUGGUUAUUUUUAGUCUUUGUACUUUUCAAAUUUUGAAAAUUUAGUCCUGAACAAUGGCUGACAAAUUCAUUAAGUUAAAAUUUGUUAUUUCCAACAUCUUAUGCCACAAACAUAUUAUCACAUUUGUAAUUCUAUGUUAACUUGCUAUUUUCACAUAAUACUUCAAGAAAAUCGUUUCAUAUUAGUUAAUAAAUUUAAUAGCUCUUGUUUGAGUCAAGAUCGAAAUUUUAAAAUUUGAAAAAUAUAAAGAUUAAAAAUGAUCAAUUUGAAGGACGUGGAUUAAAUCCACAAUUUAACGCCAUAGUAUGGAACUAAUAGCAGAAAUUUUAGAGUACAUAGACUAAAACCUGCAACUUACAUAUAGAACAUGGACCAAUAGCAGAAUUUGACCACUUAUUUAUAUUCUUGAACAGAUUAAAUUCACUCUUUUUAUGCUCAAAAAAAAUCUGUCAUUACUUUGAGCCUACUUCUGUUAAUGCAUUAAAUCAGAUAUUUCUUUUGCUACUCCCCAGCUAUUAGUAGUACCAUAAUUUCCAGGCCCACUGCUGCUUGACUUGCAUCACUAACAACCAAAACGGUCCAGUCCCACUGCCGGUGUGCUUCCCAUGUAGUAUAUUAUUGUUAUUUACAUCACUUUCCACUACCACUAUUACCCAGCUAACUUCCUAGUAAAUUAGCAUUUCUAACCAUGUGGACCACUAGAACUUGUGGCACUCAGUAAUGAAGAUAUUUAUGUUUCUGUCUUUCAUUACGCAGUGGACUACUUCAAGGUCCGAACUGCGGUUUAAACAUUUUAUACUUUUUUUCCCUUUUUCGUUUUCUAAUUUACUUAUUUUGUCCUUGUUUUAAUUUUUUGAAUUUUCUUUUGACUGAAUCAGAAAUCAGUAUUUUGAUUGAUUUGAACGUCGAUUUAAUUUUUGUGACACAGCUAUCAUGUAGGCAGAGGUUUCGUUCACUAGACUUGCUUAGAUCUUGGGUUAGAGCUUGUGGGAACUGACCUUACUAUAGAAAAAGCAUAUACUAUCUCUAUUAUGUACCCAGUUGCAAGGUAUUUGAAUUAAAUCCCACUUAAAAAGUAUGAGAUUUUUAGUGAAAUUUAUAUGAACCAUGUUUGUCUCAACUUCAACAACUAGCUUUUGAGGUAUAAUUCUCCAUUGAUCUAUUUUUGUUAGUGCUUCAGUUUCCUUAACAUUGAUAGCGUGUGAACUUUAAAAUGUAAAGUAUCUAUCGGUUUCAAUGUCCCUUUCCUUGCUUGACCAACCUGCCCUACUUGUUUUCCAAAAUGGACUGAAACCAAAUUGUUUUAUGUUGUUGUCAGCUACAGUAUUGGUACUCACCAUGCUCAGAGUCUCAACCUCUAUGUUAAAACCUUUUUCCUUGAAAUUUCCUAGGCAAUUUUGGACACAUAACAUACAUAAAAAACAAUACAAAUAUAUAAUAUUAAUAUAAAAGUAUGUCAAUAGUAAGUUUAAGGUUAAAAUAUAUCAUAAGUCCUCAUGUUUUUCAAAAAUCUAAAAUUUAAUCUUUGUAUUUUGUUAAAUUUAGAUUUAUUAUAAUGUCUUUUUUUUAGUUACAUAGCUAUCAAAUGGAUAUUUUUUUAUUUUAAAAUAUUAUACUAAUAAAUUUAAUAAAAAAAUUUAACUAUAUUAAUAAUUAAAUCUGAAUCUUAAAAUAAAAAAAGUGAUACAAUUACUGAAAUAGGGAUUAAAUUCUAAAUUAGGUAGAAAGAAUUUACCUAAUCUGAUAUGACAUUUAUCAUGAUUUGAAAGUUUUGUAUUAAAAUGCCAAUUUCCCCACACGAGAAAUGUCACAUGUAUCACAACUUGUUAGGAUCAUUAUUUAUAAUAAACAUAAAAGCAGAUGUAAAUCAUAUCCCUCAUUUGACUCUCUAGAGGCAAAAAGAGGGAAGCAUAUUAUACUCCACUUAAUACAUUGAACAUAUACUCUUCCUUUUUCAAUUGUAUAAAAUAUUCAUUUAAGAUAAUCUUUAUCAUGAAGAAAGCUAAAAAGAAACUUAAAGGAAAAAAUGAAAAAAAGGGGAAAAUGAAAGUUUAAGUUUUACAGAAGAUCCUUAUACUAUGAAUUUUUUGUAUAUCUAGUCCUAUAUAAUUUAAUAUUUCUACUCCUAUUUUACCAAACAGGUAUUUUUAGUUUGGAUGUCAACUUUUUCUUCUAAUUUUGCUAAAUAUUAUAAUAGGAUAUAGCACUUGACUGUACAUCUACAUUUUGUACAAUUAGAUAUUAUUUUUGUAUAUUUAGAAAAAGAAUAAAAUUAUAAUAAAGUGUAUAAAAAAAUGCAAAAGUGAUAAUGUAUUUAAAUAUUAAGGUAAAAUUAAUCUCAAGUUAGACCCAUGACAACCCACUACCUCUACCCCUAUAAGCAUUACAAAAAAGUGAUUGAGGGUUAAAAAUUAUCAAAGUAUAGAAAAAGGACUAAAUCCGAAAAAAUGAAAAAUGCAGAGUCCUUUAUGAAAUUUUACCAAAAUGAAAACGGAAACUUAAACGCGGAGAGUACAGCAGUAUUCGGGUCUUUGGUCAUCUUCCUCUUCACGCGGCAUCUUCCUCUUUAAUCGCCAUUUUCGCUUUCUCUCUCAUUAUAUAUCUUUAAAAACCAUUCUUCAACCUAACAAAAAAAACCACAGCAACAAAAAAGAAAACCAUACAAACAAAUCCUAAAAGACUCUCUUUACAACGUAAAGAGCAAAAACCCCAACAGCAAAACGUGUAGUAAUAAGGCAAAAACACGGUAGGGAAGGAAGGUUGUUAAUAUAUACAUAUAAAAGUUAUAACGGAAGAAAGGUCGAACGAUUCAAAAAAACCCAACGAUGGCUAUGAUGUUACGGUCGCUCGCUAGGCCGCUUGAACGUUGCCUUGGGUUAAGGGCCGGUGGGGAUGGUCUCAUGUGGCACACUGAUCUUAAACCUCAUGCUUCGGGCGAGUACUCAAUCGCCGUCGUUCAAGCCAAUAAAAACCUUGAAGAUCAAGGCCAAGUCUUUACAUCUCCUUUAGGUACCUAUGUUGGUGUUUAUGAUGGUCAUGGCGGACCCGAAGCUUCCAGAUUUGUAAACAAGCAUCUUUUCCCAUUUCUCCACAGUAAUUGUUCUUUGACCCUUUUAAUCUUUUUCUUAAUUAUUUUUCUGGGUUUUUUUUUAGAUUAUCUGAAAUGGGGUUUUCUUUGCGUCUAAUUUUUCAAGAUUCAAAUAUUCUUUUGUGUUUUAAUGGUCAAAGAGAAUUUUGGGUUUUUGUCAGUUAAUGAUAUUUUGAACAACUUACAAAGUGUCUAUCAUGCACGUUUAUUUAGUUAUUAUUUGUGUAUCUGAAUGAAUAUGAAUUACUUUGUCUAAAUAUAAAUCUUUAUGCGUUUGAAAUUGGAAUUUGGUUCUCAAGAUUCUAAAACCAUUCAGUUUAAUUUCAAUUUUUGGCACCUUUCACCUCCUUGCUUUAUUGGGUUUUGUCAGUGAAUGGUUGUGUUCUUGUUUUAAUUUUUCUGUCUUAAUUGUAGAAUUUGCUACAGAGCAAGGGGGAUUAUCUGCAGACGUGAUAAAGAAGGCGUUCAAUGCUACUGAAGAAGAGUUUUUACAUUUGGUGAAGCAAUCAUUGCCCGUAAGGCCUCAAAUUGCUUCAGUUGGAUCAUGUUGCCUUGUUGGUGCGAUAUCCAACGAUGUGUUGUAUGUGGCGAAUCUCGGCGACUCGAGAGCAGUUCUUGGCAAAAGAGUUUCGGAGGAUAAGAAAAACAAGGUUGUGGCAGAGAGGCUAUCAACAGAUCACAAUGUUGGAGUUGAGGAAGUGAGGAAAGAGGUUGAGGCUCUUCAUCCUGAUGAUUCGCAUGUCGUGGUUUACACUCGCGGAGUUUGGAGGAUUAAGGGCAUAAUCCAGGUACUUAACAAAAUCUAUUGGCAAACCCAAUUAUAAGAGUUUUAAGUUGAAUCAGACAGGUUGAAGAACAGUUCAUGUUUUGGUUCAAUGAAUUCGAUGGAUAUACAUGUUUCUUUCCAUCAAUUGCUUGUAUGUUUGUAGAAAAGGUAUAUUUACAAAACAAAUAAACAUUGUGCAUCCUCUGAAUCAUAAUGCUAAGCUUAUGUGACUAUAUGGAGUCUUCUCUCUUUUCUUUUUCGGGUUUUUUGGGUUCCUUUUGUUGAUUUCUUUCCCCUUUAACUUCAGCAGUUAAAUGGUUCUCUGUAAUGGAUAAUGUUGGUCUAAGCAUUGAACUUGUUUCUUUAUUCAGGUGUCAAGAUCUAUCGGUGAUGUUUACUUGAAGAAACCCGAUUUUUAUAGAGAUCCAAUCUUUCAACGAUUCGGAAACCCUGUUCCCCUUAAAAGACCAGUUAUCACGGCAGAACCCUCCAUCCUUAUUAGAAAGCUUAAGCCCCAAGACUUAUUUCUGAUAUUUGCAUCAGAUGGCCUAUGGGAACAGUUGAGCGAUGAAACCGCGGUAGACAUUGUUUUCAGAAACCCCCGAGCUGUGAGUAUUUACCUUUGUCUUAUUGGUUAAUUUAGUCUUCAUUAGCAGCUGGACCGAAUGACAGAGUAUUGAUUUUAAGUUUGCUUGUAUUACUUGCAGGGUAUUGCUAAGAGACUGGUAAGUGCCGCACUUAGAGAAGUUGCAAAGAAAAGAGAGAUGAGAUACGGCGAUAUUAAGAAAAUCGAGAAGGGAAUAAGACGGCAUUUCCAUGACGAUAUAACCGUGAUCGUCAUUUACCUAGAUCAACACCGAGGCUCUUCACAUAACAUAGUUAAACAUAAUGCCAUGGGGUGCACGACGGCGCCAGUCGACAUCUAUUCAUACAAUGCAGAUGAAGGAUAUGAAGGAGAUUUACUUCAAACAGUUUCUUGAAUACACAACAGAAUGAGUUAAUAUUAGGUUUAGCACACUGACUUUUUAUUCUUUUUCAAGUCUUAUUCAUGUAUAGAGAAACCAAAUGAUGGGGUGGGAUUGGUUCUUAAACCAAUGUUUCAUUGGGAGAAAAAUCGAGAGUUUGGAAGGUAAUUUUAGUCACCUCAGACGGAUUCCGACACAGGCGGCUAUAGGUGUUCCGGUUGAAGUUCUAACGGUUACCGAAAAGGCUACAUUGUUUUAUUGGUUUAUUAAAUUCAUUGCUUAUAUUAUAUUUAAUUCGAAGUGAGUAACUAAAGACAAUUAAUUACGUUAUUAAUUUUUCUUGUCAAUUAUACAUAAUUUUGAUUGGUGUAAUAACAAAUUUAACCCUUAAUAUUUAUAUAUUUUGUGCAAAUGUUGACAGAAUAUGUAAAUGUUGUAGGUUAAUUUCGUUAAAUCGUGAUUAAAUUGACAGAACAUGUAAGUGUUAUGGGUUAAAUUUGUUAAAUCAAUGUUAAAUUGACAAGAAGUAUAAACUUUAAGGGCGAAUUUUGUUACUAUACCGAUAGAAAAAGUAUAAUUGAUGAAAAAAUAUUGAUGUUAUGAUUAAUGGUCAUUAGUUGCUCACUUUUAAAAUCGACAAGAUUAAAUUGUUAUAGUUUUUUUGAGAGGGACCAAUUUGUUCAAAAUGAAAAUUGAGAAGAAUCAAAAUGUCAUUGUACCUGGUUCUUAUACAUACCAUAUCUAAGUUGUGAAUUUAGUUUUUGUACAUUAAUUUACUCAAUUUCAGUCUCUUUACUUUUUAAAUUUAAAAUUUUAGUUAUGAUUUAGAUUGUAAAUUAAAUUCGUUUCAUUCUAUUAUGUUAUUAGUCUUAUACUAUUAUUACAGUUGUGAAUUUAAUUCAUGUUUUUUAAUUUUAUCAUUUUUAGUCGUUAUACUUUUCAAAUUUUAAUGCAAACGAAAAUAGUUAAAUCCAUUAAACGUAGGUUUUCUAUGUGUGCAAUAUAUGAAAAUAGCAAAUUGCAACUAUUAUUUGAUCGAGACUAAAAUUGAAUAAUACAAAAAAUACAAAAAUUAAAAUUAAAUAAAUUAAAAGAUAGAUAUUAAACUCACAAUUUAUUCAUAUACAUAAACUAAUAACAUAAUUCUUAAUACUCUUAAAUUAAAAACAACACUUAAUAAACUACGAGAGUUAGGUGAGAUGACAAAUAUCUCUCCUAUAUUAACCAGUGGUUGAAAGUUUGAUCCUCGCAUUGGGUAUAGAAUAACUUUAAAAACUCGUAGUCGGCAUCUAUUAUUUUAAUAGACCUAAAAAUGCGGAGAAUUAAUUACUGAACUCGCUCUAAGCAUGACAUAACACGACAAAGUUGGCUUGUAAUUUGUAUAUCUAAACCAAAAGGGAAAAAAUGUUUUGCGAGACAAAUUCCUUAAACUGAAAGACAUGGGAAUUUUGGCAACUAGAUAGCAAUAACCAAACUUGUUAGGUGAAACGAACCAAACUAAAGCACAAAACGACAAUCAGUUGCGCUAAAGUUAGGAUGUCUUGUCACUUUUAAAUUUUUAUUAUACAACUUGCUUCACUAAACAAAUACUAUUUAAUGAACUUUUUAAUAUUCUUACUCUACUUUUCAAUAAUUCAUAAAGCUAAUAAAUAUAUUAUAUUCUUUCAAAUUACUUUUCUUUAAAUUAUUUUUUCUUUAUUUUAAUUGAAAAUUUUUAUUGUAUUAAUUGCAUAAAAAUACUCAAAAUUUUAAUUUAUUCUUUAAUUUCGAAAUAUGUUUAAACGUUAAAACGUUAAUUUUGAUAUGAUGUAAAGUACAUUUAAAAUGCCCGAAUUAAAUUGUAAAUUUAUGUAUACUUACAUCAUUAAUAACUUGGAUCUUACGUAUUAAAAAAAUAGUGUUAAUAAAUUUUAGGAGGGUUAACACUUUUAACUGUUAGAACGAUUUUUUUAAGUAGAAAUCAUGUUGGUACUCUAACUAGAAUGGUUAUACUUUAGUUACUUGGGUUAACUGUUAAUAUUAUAAAAAGUAGAAGAUUAAAUUACAUUAAAUAAAAUUAUGGAGAUUAAAUUUUAAAUUUGAGCACAAUAAAGGGACCAAAACUAUAAUUUAACUCUUUUUAAAUUCAAUAUUUUGUUGAAGGAUUAAAUUGGGGUUGAACUUGAAACCUACUUCUAUAUUGGGGCUUGAACUUUUUUUUUGUCUAAGUUGCUCCCUAAACUUAGCAAUUUUUCUCAUAUUGAAGUUUGAACUAGGCCAUUGUUCUAAGGGGCGAAGCCAAAAUUUUUUUUUUUGGGAGUUGGAAUUAAAUUGUAUAUUUUUAUGGUAGUAAGAAUGUAAUUUUACCAUUUUAAUAGCCUAUGUCAUUAUAAUUUUAAAGGAUUAAAUCAAUUUUGUAUUAUUUAAGAGGUUAAAGUUCAAAUUUAUCAUUACUAAUUUAAAAUUUUAUAAAUUAUAAAAAGUUUAAAUAGAAAAUUUUUCAUUUUAGGGGGAACUGGGGGCCUUGCCAACCUCUCUGGCUUUGCCAUUGAUUGUUUCCAUAUUGGAGCUAAACUUGACAAUUGUUCCUACAUUGAUGCCUAAGUUUUAGGGUUUUCAAAGAAACAUCAUGGAUUAAUUUGGAUCAAAAAAGGUUCAAGCCCCAAUAUAAAAACAAUUACCACAAAAAAAUUCAGGUCUCAAUAUGAAAAUAAUUACCAAUUUCAGGCCCAAAAAGGUGAUUUAACCCUUUGCCCAACCCCAUUCAAGUUACCAAACGAGAGGAAAAUAACAAAUUCCUAGAAAAUCUACAAUUUUGUGCGCUAAAAAAGAAAAUACAAAUAGUCGUUUCAGUAUAAUUUUCUCGGAAAAUAACCAAAACCCAGUCCUUUAAGCUUCAACAUCCAAAGAAAAAAGAAUGACUGCAAGUCAUUUGGUUGCUGAAUCCGUGUGGAAAACAAUAGAGUCAACUCAUUCAGGUCUUUCUUUUUUUCCCCCCUUAUUUAUUCUUUCUAUGUAGAAACUAAAUUCCAUCUUCUUCUUUUUUCCUUUUUUAAAUCCCUAAAUUUUGUGAUCUUAUGACCCAAAUUGGCCAGUAAAUGAAGAGCAACUAUCAAUGUAAGCAAUACUCAUUUUCUUUUAAAUCUUUUAUUCUUGGGCUUUUUAAAAUAAAAAUAAAAAUAAAAAUGGUGGGUAUUGAUUAAUUUUGAAUUUUCUUUUAUUGUAGCUUGCAUUUUCUGUUUGGUAAAAACUUCGAGAGAGCAACAAGGAUAGUUGACCAAAGGGGUGUCAAGAAAAUCUCCGGUGAACCCAGCGGUCGUUUUAUCUUUCAGGUUCAUUCUCUUUGUUGCUAUCUCAAUUUUUGAAUAUUGGUCGAAUUCUCCUAUUAGUCCAUGCACUCUGCAUAAAUUGCAGAUUUAAUCCAUGUUCCUCGAUUUAAUGUUUUUAAUGAUUUGUUUUUCAAAUUGUAAUUUUAGUAUCAUGUUAUAUCUAUUUAAUUUAAUUAUUUUAUUUCAGUUAAUAAAUUUCACUGCUAUUGGAUAUAAGAAUAAAAAUGAUAAAAUUUUAGAACAAAUAUUAAAUCUAUAAGGUUAGGACAGAAAAAUCCAAAUAUUAUAAAAUUAAAAUUGACCAAAUUAAAAUAUGUAGACUAAAUCUGUAAUUUAGACUUAGUAUAUAUACUAAGGGAAGAAUUUGUCAUAGAAUAUUUGGACGAGUUGUCGGCUACCUUAUGUGUAAAAUAUGGUCAUUUUGGCAAAUAUUCCAUUUUAAGAACUUUCCUGGAAACUUUUCUGAAACUGUGAGCCUUGAGAUAAAACCCGAAGCAGAAUUGAGACACAUCAGUAUAUAUCCAUUUGUAUAUCUCAAUAUAUAUAUAUAACAUACGCCUGUCUAGUUAGAAUAUUUGGACAAGUUGUCGGCCACCUUAUCUGUAAAAUGUGAUCAUUUUGGCAAAUAUUCCAUAUUUAAGAACUUUCCUGGAAAAUUUCUGAAACUAUGACCCAUCAAGGCUCUUGGCAGAAUCGUGAGAUAAAACCUGAAGCAGAAUUGAGACACAUCAAUAUAUAUAUCCAUUUGUAUAUCUCAAUAUAUAUAUACAGACGCAUGUGUAGUUAGAAUAUUUGGACAAGUUGUCCUCUACCUUUUCUGUAAAAUGUGAUCAUUUUAGCAAAUAUUCCAUCUUAAGAACUUUCCUGGAAAUUUUUCUUAACUAUGACCCAUCAAGGCUCUUAGCAGAAUGGUGAGAUAAAACCCGAAGCAGAAUUGCGACACUUCAAUAUGUAUCCAAUUGUAUAUCUCAAUAUAUAUAUAUACAUAGGCAUGUCUAGUUAGACUAUUUGGACAAGUUGUCAUCUACCUUAUCUGUAAAAUGUGAUUAUUUUAGCAAAUAUUCCAUCUUAAGAACUUUCCUGGAAAAUUUUCUGAAACUAUGACCCAUCAAGACUCUUAGCAGAGUCGUGAGAUAGAACCCGAAGCAGAGUUGAGACACAUCAAUAUAUAUAUCCAUUUGUUAUAUAUAUACAUACGCAUGUCUAGUUAGAAUAUUUGGUCAAGUUGUCAUCUACCUUAUCUGUAAAAUGUGAUCAUUUUAGCAAAUAUUCCAUCUUAAGAACUUUGCUGGAAAAUUUUCUGAAACUAUGACCCAUCAAGGCUCUUAGCAGAGUCGUGAGAUAAAACCCAAAGCAGAAUUGAGCCACAUCAAUAUAUAUAUAUCCAUUUGUAUAUCUCAAUAUAUAUAUACAUACGCGUGUCUAGUUAGAAUUUUGGACAAGUUGUCAUCAACCUUAUCUGUAAAAUGUGAUCAUUUUAGCAAAUAUUCCAUCUUAAGAACUUUCCUGGAAAUUUUUCUGAAACUUUUUUUUCCCAUUGUUUGGUGCUUUAGGUUGUGGGAGAAUCUAGAAGAAAAGAAGAAUAUUUCUGUUUUGCUGAACAUUAUUGUGCUUGUUAUUCAUUCUUUUAUGAUGUAAUUAACAGAGCAGAACAGCUUUGUGUAAGAUUUCUUUAUUCCUUUAUUCCCCUUAUUUUAUUGCAUUUAAUAUAUAGGUAAAAUUUUUGAAAUUGAGCAAAUUGGUCCCUCUAAAAAAUUAUAGCAAUUUAUCUUUGUCAAUUCCAAAAGUGAGCAACUAAAAAUAAUUAAUCAAGACGUUGAUAUCAUUUGUCAAUUGUACAUAGUUUUGAUUGGUAUAAUAACAAAUUUAGCCUUGUUAUUUACAUGUUUAUACAAAUAUUGAGUUGCAUUUAUUAAAUCAGGACAAAAUUGAAAGAAUAUGUAACUUUGAGAGCUAAAUUAUUUAUUAUACCAAUCAAAUUUAUGUACAAUUGAUGAUCAAAAUAUUAAUGUUGUGAUUAAUUAUUCUUAGUUGCUCACUUUUGAAUUAAAACGGAUUAAAUUACUUCAAAUUUUUUAGAGGAUUCAAUAUGCUCAAUUUACUUAAAUUUUUUUAGAGGAUUCAAUAUGUUCAAUUUUAAAAUUAAAAGGGAUUAAAUUACUUUAAUUUUUUUAGAAGAUUCAAUAUGCUCAAUUUCAAAAUUGAGAGGGACUCACCUAUAUAUAUUUGCUGUAUUUUCAUAUUUUGUUUUGCUUUUGUGUAGUGUAAGCAUCAAUUAGCUGCAAGGCUUGCUGGAUCAUUGGGAGCUUGUAUUGAAGUUAAAGUGUCUGAUGAACAGCUAGCUGUAUUACUUUCUGAGCUCUAAAUUUUUGUAGUAAAAUCGUAGCGGGUCGGAUCCGAAAUUUAAUCUAGUUGGUUCAUGCAGUUACAUUUAAAGAAAUGACAUUCAAUAAAUAUGAUUCAAUUUUUGAUAAAUAAAAAUAUUGUUUGUAUGUUUAACAACAAAAAGAAUGAACAAAUUAUAAUCAUCAAAUCAAGGAACAAUAUUGUGAGUUUUCAUCUUUUUAAUCCAUGAAUUGAACGACGUUUUCGAGUUUCGGAACCCGACAAAUCCAUGUUCUUUGCUCUUGUUCAUGCUAUCCAACAGUGACUUCCCCGAAAGCACCGAAUCAACGAACUGCCAUGCUCCGGCAUUGCUCAAUUUCAUCGGCAAAAGACCGUUCUCCCUCACGAUGUUGUCCCACACCGGACCUUUGUCUUUCAUCAUUUCAACCAAGCUUGGCACCUUCUCUUCGGUUUCUUGAAAUCCGUAGUGUUCGAUACCGAACUGGUCAGCUAACACUUUCCAUAAGUCCUUCCACUUAAACACAUCUCCAUUGCUACAAUUAAAGGCUUCGUUUUUCGCUCGCCGGCUCAUUGCUGCCCAUAUUUGAUGUUCUGCAAUCAAAUCCGCAUCCGAUGCAUCCCAGUACCCUUCCCACGCUUGUCGGUUCCCCGGAAACCUCAACGGCUCGCUUUCAUGCUUACAUAUCGACGCGUAAAUGCAUAAACUCCGAACUAUAUUCAUCGAACUAAACGGAGAAAACCCAAAAACCAAUCCCGGCCUAUGAACAGACCAUGUCAAGUUCUCCUUCUGCUUCACUUCUUCCAACAAAACAUCCUCGAGCGUAUAACACAAGUUUGACGACUUAAGCCUCGGAAGAUCCUCGCGAAAAGGAGGAUCAUGGGGCUGAACAUGAUAUUUUCCGUACAAAUCAAUCGGACCGGUGUAAUGCCGACGACCGGUUUGCAAGCAUAUAUGUUUCAACUUGGGUGAAUUCGGGAUUACCGCUUUCAACACGUUCCGUAACAUAGUACCAUUGAUAACGCAGUUUUCAUCUUCAGUUGAUCUCUUAUCCCAUGCAACAUAAAACACAUGAGUCACAUCGUUAAGCUUUGAUAAUUUAUCACAUGUUUCUUCUUCAUCUAAAACAUCGCAUUGUAUGUACUCAAUAGGCAAAUGACUAGUCGAGGCUGGUCGAGGCUGACGAGCAACACCGUAGACCUUCCACGGUCCGCCGGGAAUACCGGAGAACGGAAGAAUCUCGGCGAGACUGUUACCGACUAUGCCGGUGAUGCCAAUGACCAAAGCAACACUCUUGUACUUGGAUUGUUUAUCAUGUUCUUCCAUUUUCUUCUGUAAAAAAAAAAAAAAUCUGGGUUCAUUAGAUUAAAUGCAGAGAAAGAGAACCCAAAAAAAUGAAUGAGCAUUAACGUACCUUGGCAGCACCAAUGGCUCCUGCCCACCACCAACUCAUUGUAUGUUUUUCUUUUGCUGUUAAUGAAAAAAAAUGCUGAAUUACAUCCUUAAACUUUGUCUGCAAUGUUUUUAUAGUGAUCCGCUUUGAUAAAAGUGACGUCUGGGAAUUUAAAAAAGGAAAAAAAAACCAAUCUUAUCUAUUUACAUGUAUCAACUACAGCUCAACAAGAACUUGUUAUCAAUUUGAUUUCUUUAUAAUAAUAAUAAUAAUAAUAAUUUUAGUUGGGAUAAAUUACAAGAAUAGUCACUCUUGUUUGUCUUAGAUUAUAUUUUAGUCAAUUAUGUUAUCGUUUUGUUACGAAGUGGUCACUCUACCGCUAAACUCCGUUACCUCCCUAGCGGUAGUUCUACGUGACAGUUAAAAUUAAAUUUAUUUAAUUAAAAACAUAUUUUCAUCCCAGUAGCUGGACAUCCAAGUUGGCAUUUAAAACAUGUUUGGAUUGCUACGUAGGACAAUCGUUAGGGAGGUAACGGAGCUUAACGGUAGAGCGACCAUUUCAUAACAAAAUGAUAACAUAUGUGACUAAAAUAUAACAUUUUAAACAUAAAUGAUUAAAAUGUAAUAUGAUUCAAACAAAAGUAACUAUUUUUAUAGUUUACCAUUUUAUUUUUAAUUUGUUUGAAUAAACAUGGAUACAACACAUAUAUUUUAUAUAAAAUAAUUUAAGUGGCGGAAUUUUUUAAAAGAAAAUCAGAAAGGACGUGGAAAAUGGGUUAAUUGGUGAAUAUGUGUAAAUCCUUCAAUAAUUGAAUUGGUCAGCCAACACUUAAAGACUAAGGAUUAGACAGCUAGUAAACACAUCAGCAUAUAAUCAAGCUUGCGUGGAGAACCUAGCGUGUAAGGAAACAAUACAUCCUUAUCUAUUCACUAAAUCUUCUAAUGCUAUGAAAAAAAAGGAUAGAAUUUUGUGAAUUUUAUAAUUGGAAAGUUUAAGGAUAGGAAAUUAAUAUGAAAUUUGGCUUUUUUGUUUUUUUAAUUUGUAUUCCAAGUUAGUUUUUUACUAUUUAAGUCAAACAUUUCUAUUGGGUAUUGUUAAAUUAACAUGAGUAUUAUUGUUAAUAUAGAGGAAUGUGUGUUUGAGUGCGUUGAAGUGUUAGGUCUGUUCUUGACGUUUUUGGGCCUUAACAAAACAAUAAAAUGGGUUUCAAGUUCCUUAAAAGUUGAAGAAAAAAAAUUUGGUCCCUAAAAGUUGGUAAAAAAAAUUUGGCCUUUAAAAGUUAAAAAUAAGAAUUUUGGGCCCCUUAACAAUUGGAGAAUAAUAUUUUAGACCCCUUUCAGCCUUGGGCUCUGGGAAGCCGCACCUCUAGACGACCUCUAGAGCCAGGCCUGUGAAGCGCAUUAUCCUCUUAUUUAUGGGUUGGAGUAUAAUCAGAACCUAUAAUGAGAUUGUUAAAAAAAAUUUUAAAACAAAAAAGUUUUAAGAUGGAUUGUGAAUUUAAGGUUUUUUUUUAAUGGUUACAAGUUGCUUGGAAACAAAAUAUUAGUAAAUCAGAAUAGAAAAAUAAAUAAAUAAAUAAAUUGAAAACAAUUAGUCUCUCGAUAUGAUAAAUUAAUUUUGUUUAACAUUCGUUGUAACGACGGUUAGAAAGAAAACAAGCAGCGAAAAAAAUAAAAGAAGAAAAGAAUUGACACAACCGAUCUUUGUUAAUACAGUUUAGACACAGUGGUCCUAUAUUUGCGGAGCCUCUCCCAGUGAAUGAUUUUAUUCAACAAUCGUUCGGAUCACCUAUUGGCUUAAGCCCGAUUACCUUUACACAAAGAAAUAAUUCAAGCUUCAAUAUUGACCCCAAUUGUCACAAAUCACUCACCCAAAUACCUCACAAUAUGAUAGACUUUAAACUCCUAUUUAAAAGUUGAAAUUAUCCCAUUAAUUAUCUUUAGUACCCCAGGGUGAAUCAAACUCAGUAUAAACGAAACCUAUUUAAGGCCCAAGUCAAUAACUUAAGUAGAGAAACAGUUUCGUUAUAAUUGGACAUAAAACAAACAGCAAUUUUCCCAACAAAAACAUAAUGGGGAGAGCGAGACUUAUUCCUAAGUUGGCAAAUGCAAUUGCUCAGCUGUUUGUUUCAUGCAAAACUUAGUUGGCAAUUAACAAAUUCAAAUAGGCUCAACAUCUUUAACCUAUGGAUAGAAUUUCUAAUGCCAAUUUGAAUUCCUUCCUUCCAAGAAAUCCUUCAACAUUUUUAUCUCUUUGUGCAAGCAUUAUUGUAACAAGUCCAUCUUCUUAACUUUCACUAGAGAAUCUGUGGUGAUAUGGAGUUUACAGUAAACCCUAUUCGAAUGGGGAGUAACAAUCCUCUUUUGUCCGAUGAUUCUUUUGUUUUGGGUAAGAAUUCCAAAAUUCAUUUUACAAAGAGUAAACGAAAGUUGUGUUAUUGUUUAUGGGAAUACAUGAAAGUAAUCUAGAGUCGAGCAUUUUAUACCAUUUGUCUUAUAGAAUUUUGGGUUAACUUCGUUUGGUCGGUAAAUUUGACGAUAUAUGUCAUGUUAAUCUUUCUAAAAAAGUAAAUGGUGAAUUACAUUAAUGGUUAUCUAAUUAUGAUUUUUUUUUAUCACCCAACCAUAAAAAAUUACAAAAUAGUUAGUCAAUUAUUAGUAUUUUUUUUAUCAUCCAAUUAUAAAAAAGUGACAAAAUAAUCUUCAUUUUCAUGUUAACCGACUAAUAACUAAAAAAUUAAUUGAAUAAUUAGAUGAUCAUUUUGUAAAAUUUUCAUAGUUAGGUGAUAAAUGAAACUAUAAUCUGAGUGUCCUCUAUUAUAGUUUUGAGUAUAUAAAUAAUAAAAUUGCACAUCCUAUUUGAUAUUUUUGAGCAAAAGAAAAGAAAAGAAUAAUGAACUUGGAUACAUGGUAUUAGAGCGACUUAUGAUUGCAAUUGCACAUCCUAUAUGAUAUUUUUUUAGCAAAAAAAAAAAAGAGAAAAGAAUAAUAACCUUAAAUACAUGGUAUUAGAGCGACCUAUGAUUGCAAUUCCACAUUGACUUCCCAUAGGAUGGAUCAAUAGGUACUCCAAGUCAAACUCCUAAAGUGUGCAGUAGGAGAAAAUAACAACAAAACCCAUGACAAACGCAACACGAGUUUAGAUGGAGAAGAAUAUUAAGCGAAACACUAAAAAAAUUAGAUAACAUUAUUAAUCCCAUAUCAAAAAACAAAUAAGAAAACAAGUAGACUUGUACGCUCUAGGAAAGCAUAUGACUAAUAUCACUAGGGGGGUUUAGCUAGGUACAGCUGAUGGUCCCAAGUUGAAAGGGACUCUUGAGUAUCGCUGAUGUUUUGACCUUAGUCCUAUAUAAUAGGGGCAAAACACUAUCUAUCCGGCGCGUCCACACCCAAUGAGAUAGAUUUUUGGUCACCUAGACUGAAUGGUCUAUGGACGCCUCUAAUCCAGCUGACUUAUCCUAUUUUAUACACAAAAAUGUUGAAAUCUCUAAAUAAUGAAGAGUAAACUAAAAUCAAAUAGCUUCCAUUAACAAGACAUGGGGUUAGAGCUUAGGGUUUAGAAUUAAUAAAGAAUCAUGAUUGCAAGCCAAACCUGGAUCAUUCAUAUACAUUAGAUGACAAUGAUAUCUCUAUAAGUUUUAGCAUUAAAACUAGGUUUGAGGAAACAUCAAAACAGAAAAUCCAAUUUGCAGACAUAAAAUACUUCAUUAAUUACAUUAACAAAAAGCUUAUCAAACAUUCCUUUGGAAAACAAUUUUGCAAAGACACUGUUAACUGCACAUAAUGAUUUAUAUUUGACUUGUAUAAAAGCAAUUGUACAUACCUUUUCAAGAUUUUCAAUUCCCCUCUUUCUUGUUUCAUCUGCUAUAUAAUACAAAAUUCCCCAUCAGCUACAUGCAUAGCUAAAUAGAGCUUUAGGCAUUCAAAAAGCUAAAGAACACAUGUUGGCCUCGAGGAAACACACAGAACCGUGCACAACGUCACAUUUCCACUUUCUCAGCAUGCUCGAAUUGAUGAACACAACGAACAGUGCUAACACAAUACUAAAAAGGUUUUCUUUAUGGAAGACAACUUUCUAUGACCAUUUUUCCACGACACGCUCUGAUAAUCUAAUUUCCUCAUCCUUGGAAAUAUGUGGAUCUAGCUUCUGAAGGUUGUCAAUAAAUGUCUUUGCCUCAUCACGCUGAUUGAGUUUACAAUAUCCAUCAACUAUGGAAUUGUAUGUAUUCUGGUUUGGUUUACAGCCGUGCUUGAUCAUGAAUUGGACAACAUCUAUGGCUUCCUCAAACAAGGAAUCAGCUGCAUAGCUUGCAACAAAGGUAUUGUAAGUGAUAACAUCUGGAACAAGGCCAGAAUCACCCAUUUCUGAAAAUAUCCGAGAAGCCUCUUUCAUUCGACCGUUUCUACAAUAGGCAUAAAUAACAGUGUUAUACGAGAUUAUAUCUGGUUUUAUUCCUUUUGCCUGAACUUCCCUUAAAAUUUGUUCUGAUUCCUCGAACUUUUCAGAGCGGCUAUACAUAUACAUCAAACUGUUGUAGGUCGUCAAGCUCGGAGUAUACCCACACUCAUUCAUGAAGUUCAAGAUCUCAUUUGUCUUGGAAACCAUCUGCCUCCUGCCAUAUAUUGAGAGCAUGGCAUUUAGAGUAGUUAUGUCAGGUGGAAAUCCUUUCUUCCUCAAUUCCAAGAAAGCACGCUCUGUAUCCGCAAGAAGGUCGCAUUUACUAUUAACCAAAACAAGAGUCUUUAACAGCACAGCAUGAGGUUCGAUGAUACCGGAGUAUAUCUCUUCCGCUAGGGCAUGCAUCCGAUCUACCUGCUUCCCAUUGGCAUAAACAUGAAGCAAAGAACAGUAGGUUAGCUCAUUGGGUUUGCAACGACCGUCUCUCAUUUCAGCCAGUAUUUUCUCAGACUGCUUCCAAAGCCCUCCCCGUGCCAAUGCCGCCAAAACAGCAUUAUAUGUAGAAAGGUCGGGGGUAACUCCAGCUUCCAGCAUUCUCUUAUAAAUAGCCAUGGCUUGAUCAAAAGCACCACAGCGACUGUAUGCACUAAUUAAAGUGUUGAAUGUGUCCCUUUCAGGUACAAACCCUGCCCUCUUCAUCUCCUUGAACACUCCAGACACUUCUACAUCCAUUCCAUUUUGCCCAAAUACUGCCAGUAGUGUAUUCCAAGUAACAAUAUCCGGUGCACCAUUGCAUGCCUUGAUCUCGUCAAAAAUCUUCAUCAUCUCAGUGAACUUCCCGCGGUUACCGUGCAUCUUAAUUAGAGCAUUGAAAGUGCAAAUAUUCGGCUUGCAACCAGAAGUUCUCAUCUCCUCAAAAACCGCCAUUGCAGACUCAUCUUUUCCGGCCUUGGCAAAUCCCGACAAAAGAGUGGUAUAGGUAAAAACAUCAGGCUUAAUCCCUUUUCCCUCCAUCUGUGUUUUCAAGUCCAUUGCUUCCUGCAACAGACCAUCCCUAGCAUAAGCGGAAAUCAACGAAUUAUAAGUCACAGUGCUAGGGGCAAACCCAUUAAGCUCCAUCUCUUUUAAAACCUCCAUAGCUUCCUUCGGACGCCGAGACUUACCAUAAACAUCCAACAAUGCAUUGUAAGUAACAUUAUCUGGAGUAAAACCAGCCAAUUUCAUUUCAUCGAAAACCGAAGCCGCUUCCUCAUGCAAAGACCCUCGACGACAGCUACUUAUAAGCGUAUUAUAAGUAUAAGCAUCAGGGGCAAUUCCAUCACUUUUCAUUCCAUCAAAAAGAGCCAUGACCUUACUCCAAGGCAUGCCCAUUUUACCAUACACAUUCAAAACCACAUUAUAAGUUAUCAAAGUAGGUUUACAACCCUCUUCCUCCAUUUUCUUAAAAACCACCAUGGCUUCCCUAUACCUCCCACUACCAGCAUAAGCAGUUAUCAAUGAAGUAUAAGCAUAAACAUCAAGACUAAACCCUUCUUUGUGCAAACCAUUAAACAAAUUAGCUGCAACAGAAACCCUCCCCUCUUUCCCUAACAUACUAAUAAUAAUAGCAACAACAGAGCUAUUCAACACCAAUCCACAAUCAUUUCUAGCUCUAACCCAAUUGAAAACACCCAAAGCCAAGUUAGAUUUCUUGUAAAAACCCAAAGCUUUAACAAUUCCCACCACUUCCGCAGCCAAAAAAUCAGCUUUCACAUCUGGGUUUUCUUGGUAUUGCUCAAACAACUUACUCAAAACAACAUCAAGUUGAUUAGAAUCAAAAGAAGGUUCAAUUAAGGAAUUAAGAACCUGCUGACCUUGAGCAGAGAGGUUGUUAUGAGUCCAACGCUUCCCACGGUUGACGUCACGUGACCGGCCGAGACGGUUCCGGGUCCGGACUUGUGGGUCGAUGGGUUGUUGGGACUUAGAAUUAUGUCGAAGAAGGAGGUCUUGAAAGACUGGAGUCGAGGGAGCAGGUGAAUUGGGUUGUGAAGUUGGGUUUUGUUGAGUGAAGUGAGUUUGGUUUGAUAAUGGGGUUUUAACAGGUGGGGGAUUUGGAAGGAGAAGAGGGAGAGCAAGCCUCUCUGCCAUUAAAGAGAGGAUAAGAAAGUUGCAGCCUUUGUAUCUAUGGUUGAGUUAGAAACAGAGAGGGAGAAAAAGAAAAGGGUAAUUGAUAAUUUUAGUGCGCUUUCGUUAUUACUUGCAGAGUCCACAACUUUUUUUUUUAGAAGUCUAAGGCUUAAAGGGGGACAUGACAAAGAUAUGCGGAGGAUAUUUUAGGAGGUAAAAGGGAGAUUAUAUUCUUCUGUGGUUAAGAAUGAACUAUUGAAAUACUAUGACCAAUAAAAGGUUGCCACGUAAACUCUGAAAGCGGACUCUUAAGUCAAAAUUGGUGACGUUUGCCCUCUUCAAAAUUAGUUCGAUUAGACAAAUUAUACUUAUUUAAACAUUUUCUCUUUUAUUUUUAUAUAAAAAUUAAUUUAAAGUGAAGCUUAAUAUUAUUAUAUUAAUAAUAUUUUUUAUUUUAAAAAAUAUUUAAAAUUAAUAAAAUAUUUAUAAUUUUCAAUAUUAUUAAUCAUACUUAUUUAAUUAUCUAUUUCUAAUCAUAUUAAUAACUUAUUAUUUUAAUAAUUUAUUUAAUAAUUUAAUUUUAUUUUAAAAAUAAAUUUGAAAAAUAAUAAUUUUAAAUAAUAUUCUUCAUAUAGUAUUGAAAAAUAUUCAAUGUUAAUAUUUUAAUAAUAAAUAUUUAUUACAAUUAUAAAUAUAUUACAGAUAAAUAUUUUGUAGUAUAAAUGUUAAAAUAUGUCAUAAAUAUAUAUACUCCUCACAAAUUUGAAAUUUAGUCCCUAUUCUUUUAUUUUCAAGAAUUUAAUCAUUCUACUGUUCAUAUUUAAAAAUCAAGUCCAAUUGUUAACAUUGUUAAAUUUUUUUUGUCAAUUUUGUUGAUGUCAAUUUUUAAAUAAAAAAUACUUGAUAUUCAUGUAACUAAAAGAUGACGUUACAAUUAACAUGAAUUUAACAAAAUAUUUUUAAUAAUGCUAUCAGAUGAACCUUAAUUUUGAUAUAUAAAAGGUAGGACUAACCCAAAAAUAAAAGCACAUGGACUAAAUUUCAAAUUUACGAAAAGUACAAUGACUUAUGACAUAUUUUAACCUAGUAUAAAAAUAUGAAUAUUUUAAUUAUAUAAAUUUGAAUAUUUGUUUAAGUAAUGUUUAGCUUCAUUUAUCCUUUACAACUCUAAUGUGUCAAUAUCUAUUCUCACAUAUCUAAUAUAUAUAAUUAAAAUUAAGUUUUAAUUAAGCAUUAUUUAUUAUUAAGUUUAUAUAUGACACUGAUUAUUACAAAAUAUUUUCUUAUUAUAAAAUAAAUUUCAAUUGUUAAAAGGAAAUUGCACUGUAAUAUUUUAUAACAAAUAUAUUUAUGUCAUGUUUGUUUUACAAAGAACAAUGUAAAAUAUAAAUUUAUAGAUAUAAAAUAAACUCAAUUAAACAAUGAAAAUAUAAGAAAAUCUCAUAUGUAUGUUUGUUUCAUUGAAAACAACUUUUAUGAAAUAUUUAUAGUAAAUCUGUCAAAUAACAGAAAAUAUUAAUUUUUCAAAAAAGUAAGUCAUUUUCCAGAAAUCAUUUUUCGGAAGUCAUUUUCAGUGAAACAAAUGGAACCUAAACUUGAAAAUCGUAAGUUAACUUGAUAUUUUUUUAGGCACCUAAUACUAUUAAAAUAUACUGACAUAACACUGACGAUCAAUUGGAUGGUGACACGUGAUAACCUCACAUUUUUUAUUAUAAAUAUUAUAUUUUUUUAUUUUGCCACGUGUCAAAAUAUAAGGCUAUCACGUGUCACCAUUCUAUUAGUAGUCAACGUCACAUCAGCGUAUUUUAAUGAUGUUAGUCAAGUAGCUAAAAAAACACAAAGUUGACUUAUAAUUUUUAAGUUUAGGUACCAGUCAGGGCCAAAAUUAAACUAUGUAAUUGAUAUUUAUGUCAUUAUUGUUGUUUAUUUGUGUAACUAAGAAUUGAUGACUUUAUUGUUUCAACCACUAAUUCGGUUUCCAAAAAACAUUGAUUCAAAGGAAACUAACCUAAACCGAACUAUAUAAUUGAUGUUUAUGCCAUUAUUAUAUAUGUGUUUAUAAUAACUAGAAUCGAUAACUUAACCGUUUCAACCACCUCUUCCAACUUCUAAAAAAAACAUUGGUAAAUGGAAGUUAGAUUAUUUUCAAAUCUUCAAGCUUUAUAAGUUAUUGAAUCGAGUGAUAAAAUACUUAUUAAUUCAUAAAAAGUUGAUGAAUCGUUUGAAAAGAAAGAAAAAGAAAAAGAAAAACCAAUGCUAAAAAAUGCUUGUUUCUUAUUUAGAAGUCCAAUUCAACUCAAGUUGUGUUUAGUAUUACUUUUAAGAAGUAUUUUUGAGAAAAAAAUACUUUUGAGAUAAAAACAUUAUUAAAUAAAAUGCUAAAUUGACCCGCAAUCGAUACCUGUGGGNNNNNNNNNNNNNNNNNNNNNNNNNNNNNNNNNNNNNNNNNNNNNNNNNNNNNNNNNNNNNNNNNNNNNNNNNNNNNNNNNNNNNNNNNNNNNNNNNNNNNNNNNNNNNNNNNNNNNNNNNNNNNNNNNNNNNNNNNNNNNNNNNNNNNNNNNNNNNNNNNNNNNNNNNNNNNNNNNNNNNNNNNNNNNNNNNNNNNNNNNNNNNNNNNNNNNNNNNNNNNNNNNNNNNNNNNNNNNNNNNNNNNNNNNNNNNNNNNNNNNNNNNNNNNNNNNNNNNNNNNNNNNNNNNNNNNNNNNNNNNNNNNNNNNNNNNNNNNNNNNNNNNNNNNNNNNNNNNNNNNNNNNNNNNNNNNNNNNNNNNNNNNNNNNNNNNNNNNNNNNNNNNNNNNNNNNNNNNNNNNNNNNNNNNNNNNNNNNNNNNNNNNNNNNNNNNNNNNNNNNNNNNNNNNNNNNNNNNNNNNNNNNNNNNNNNNNNNNNNNNNNNNNNNNNNNNNNNNNNNAAUAUAUCUUAAAUUUUAUUUUAUUGUAAUUUUAUAUGAAUUGAUUAUAAUUUUAAUUGACCGAAUAUAUAUCCUUUAUUAUUUAUAUUAUAUUUGUACUUGUAAUUUUUUUAAAAAUUUAAAUUAAACAUGCCCUUUUUUUAAAAAUGUAAAUAUAAAUAUUUGUUUAUAUUAUAAUGUGUUUAUAAUAAGAGUCAGAUUAUAUAUAUAUAUAUUUGUAAUAGAGUCAGAUUAUAUUUUACAUCUUCUGUUCGAAAAAAUUGGAAAAUUAAUCAACAGAUAAAAAUUAAAUCUAUUCUUAUUAUUAAAAAUUAUUUAAUUUCUGAAAAAAUUCUUAUAGGUAACCUUUUAGAUCUUUUUUAGCUGUGUUUAUUAAAAAAAAUAAAAAAAUAUAAAAGUAGUUUUUUUAGAGUAAAUGUAAAACUUUAAAAUAAUUGUAAUAUGUAAAAUUAAAAAUAUUAAACUAUUUACAACCGUCGGAUUAAAAAUGAUAUAUUUUUGAAUGAUGAUGAAGAUCGAUUCCUGAUGUAUAUAAAUACUGCCUUCUAUUCCCUUCAGUCUUCGCUUCACCCACUUUCUCAUUUCACACGGGUUGUGGCGUAGUUUAAGCAGAGAGGGUGCGCAGGAUAAAGCUAUUCACCAUUGUUUCAACAUGAAGGUUUGUAAUAAAAAUUUGUUUCUAUCAGCAUUGCUUUGCAUUGCUGUUGCAGGAGUUUUGGGUCAAGCUCCUAGUAAUCCUCCUACGUCUACGCCGGCGCCACCCACACCACCGGCUUCUACUCCUCCUCCGACGACUCAAGCACCGCCUACACCAACCGCCACUCCGCCACCGGUUUCUACUCCUCCUCCCACUUCAUCACCGCCCCCAGUGACAGCUUCUCCACCCCCAGUUUCAACUCCUCCACCCAGUUCUCCUCCUCCUGCAACUCCACCACCUGCUUCUCCUCCUCCUGCAACUCCACCUCCAGCUUCUCCACCUCCUGCCACUCCUCCACCAGCUUCUCCACCUCCCGCCACUCCACCACCUGCAACCCCACCGCCAGCAACUCCUCCUCCUGCUACCCCACCACCAGCUCCAUUGGCUUCUCCUCCAGCCACAGUCCCAGCUAUCUCUCCAGUACAAACACCAUUGACAUCGCCACCAGCUCCGCCGACCGAGGCCCCAGCACCUACCCUCGGGGCUGCUACGCCAGGUCCAGCUGGAACUGACACGGUACAUUUUCUCUUAUUCCACCAUUUUAUAUCCUUCUUCUCCACCUACGAUCAAGCUUUAUUAUCGGUUGAAAUUUAAGCCUUUACAGCAAGACUUAAAAUAUAAUUUUAUUAAUGGUUUUAUAAUAUUAAAUUAUAAUUUUAUCAUUCUUACACAUUAAUAUAUAAUGUGAUAAAAUUUUUUACUUUGGGUACCGUGCCAACUUCCUAACGUCGCCCUUAAUCUUACAUAAACAACGAUCUGAGCUUGUCUCGAUAUUAGCUAACCCUUAAGCCAUUAGAGAUGGCUAUUGGUUCCGUCUCGACAUACCUUCAACAUAAUCUGAUUUAAAAUUAAAUACUUAUAUCUAUUUUUUAACACAAUAUUUAAAAUUAUCUAUAAUUUCUUCUCAACUUAUAAUUAAAAUAACAAUACUUCAGCGUAUUCAAAUUUACGUACCUAUGUUAAUCUAAUUUGACAAUAAUAUUUAUGUUAAUUGAAUUAAAGCUUGAGAUAUUAAAUUUAAUUAAGACUCAACAUUGACGACAGUACGAUUCAACGUAUUAGAUUUAAUUAAUGUUGAUUUUGAACCUAUUAUUGCAGAGUGGAGCAAAUCAAAUGUGGACCGUACAAAAGAUGAUGGGAAGCUUAGCCAUGGGAUGGGCUCUGCUCAAUCUGAUGGUUUAAAACAAAAGAGUGCCUCACAUUUGAUGCAAUAGCUCUGUAAUGUUUCAUUCAUUUGCUUAUUUCGGCCUUGUUUUUCUCGUAUUCUAUGGGCUGAUGUCUCAUAUGGGACUUUUCUACUAGAGAGCCUACGUUACUUUACCAUUAUAUUGUAUUCUUUGAGACAUUAUUAUUAUUUUUUUACCUUUUGAGGACACUCUUUUUUUGUAUUUGAAGGAAUUUAUUGUUUAUUUUGUUUGGAAUAUGUUUGGUUGGAUUUAUUCGAUUCAUAUAUAUUAUAUAAAAGUAAUUAUGUUAUUAAGAAACGUAGUAAGAACUUACAAAUAUAAGGAUCGAAUCCCGAACUUCAUGCAAAUCAAUUUACAACCCACACAAGUUUAACAUUAAAUUAACGUGAUUGGUUAGUAAAUUCAUGUUUCUCUGUUUAAUUUGUUGAAUUCUUAUCAACUUUUUCAAUUAACAACAUGGAUCACAUCGACUGAUUGAAUCAGUUAUCUAAUCAAUUGAAUUAGUUAUCUGUUGUAAACUUGUGAAAAGAUAAUAAAAAAUUUAAAAAUUGAUAAUUGAAUUCACGAUCUGAACAAUUAAAUUAAAAAUGCAACAUCUUAUAACAUUGGGAGGAAGGGAAAACUGAUUUCUUAAGCAACUUAGGAUUGGAAGUGUAAUUAUAAUGUGAAUUACUUACGGUAGAAAAAGUGUGUCCAAAAUUGGAGAGCAUGCAUGUGGAAAGAAAUGAUUAAGAAUGAUAAUGACUUUAGUUGGUUAUAGUCAUAAAGACUUAUAGAUGAAGUUAAACCAUUAGGUCCACCAUUUAUGGGUUCCCUUUAUUUGCUUUGGAGUAGCUUUGAGAGUUGAGAUCCAUGGGAUGUGAGAAGUAGACUUUGAUUCAUUGGGAACUAGCUACAUUUUUCUUAGUCCUACCAUCAAUCCUAUUAGUGAUUAAAUUAUUAGUGGUAGCUAAUCCAAUAUAAUUAUUUAAUUAAUUAAAAUUUUAUAAAUAAUUUAUUUCUUAUCUCAACUUUUAAUUUUUUUAUAUAUUAAUUAAUUUUUUAUCUAGGUAAUUGGUUCGAAUAACACCAUAUAUUAUGAAUGAAUGUGUGGGGAUAGUUUGUUUUGUUGUUUUGUGAGAACUCAUGCUCUUGCACUUUUAAAGGACAAUCUCUAUAAACCGUAUUGGCUGUUGUGCUUUGGCCAAAUGGGUUGCUAACUAUCAUAUUAUUUUCAGUAAAAUCUAAUUGAAAGCCUUUCUCUUUUACGAUAGAAGUGCAUAUGUAAGAGUGUGUGUACCCUGAGUCUAUCAAUGCAUGCACACAAGAGUCAAGUAAAGAGAAAGUAUCAAUAAUAACGUCAGGUACAUCCUGCUCCUCUUGUGGCUUAAUACAAUAGCAUCGUUCUGGUACCAGAGUACUUGAUUUAAUCGGAAUCUCUUUCUUAGCUCUCUGACUACUCCCAGCAUUGCCAUUCCUAAUAAACUUUCUAUUUCUUUGAGAAGUGGGGGCAGAUCUCUCUGUUUGUGUAGGGUUACUGGCUAUCUUCUUAGCACAAUCUUUGAAGAGGUGAUCUUUGGAGCCACACCCAAAGCAUGCUCCUGUAACUCUCCAACACUCCCCAGAGUGGCUAUUGUUGCAGUGCUCACAAAUCAACUGAGAUGAUCUUCUCACUAACCUUCCUGUACUGGCCACAGAUGUCACCUGCUGUACGGACCUAGCUACUCAACCCUGACUCAGCCUCUGACCAUGCCUUUGAGUGUGAAUUGGUGUAGAAUAUGAUUGACCCUGAGAAUCCCUAGCCUUUUGGUAGCUGGAAAUGAUGCAUAACUAGUCUGUCCCUGACCUCGCUUAAUCUGGCUCCAAUUCUUUCUUUUCUGCUCUUCUUGCUUAACUUGCUCUACUUUCAAAGCUCUCUCCACUAAGGUAGAAAACUCUUGAAUAUUCAAAGCUGCAAGGGGUACCCUAAUCCCAUUAUUGAGGCCACGCUCAAAUCUUGCGCACUUAUCUGCUUCUAUAGAUACCAAUUCUUUGGCAUACCAGCUGAGUCGUAUAAACUCUCUCUCAUACUCAACAACAGUCAUAUCAUUCUGCUGAAGAUACAAAAACUCUGCCCUCCUCUUUUCUAAAUAGAUAGCACCAAUGUACUUUUUCUUGAAUUUAGCUAAGAAAAACUCCCAAAUCAAUAAUUCAUUAUUUGACAUUUUGAAACUAAUAAAAAAAAUUCCCCCUUUAUUUCAAAAACAAAAUAAAUCAUGUGACAAAAAAAUUUAAUGAUAUUAAUACAUUUUAAAAUUCACGUCAACAUUUUAACUAGAAUAAAAUAUUUAGUAUAAUUAAUAAUAUUAUAAAAGUUGAACUAACAAAUUAUAUAAAAAAGUAAAGUAUAAAAAUUUAAAUUUAAAUUUAAUCAUUAUUAUACAAUCUCAAAUAUAUAAACGGAUGAUAAUUGAAAAUUAAUUAUUAUUUUAAUGUAAAUAAAAUUUUAUUUUAUUUUUCUCCCUAAGCUAUUAAUCAUAACUUCUAAUUUGUCUGGAAUGAAAUGAAAUUUUAUUUUAGCCAUGGAGGCAGGGAACACGGUCAAGGAACAAGGUACAAAUGGUACACAAAACGUUGAGGUUCACUAGGGCUGUUGGCUAUGGCGGGACUUAGGGAUCAUGGACAAAUUACAAGAAACGAGGCUAAUUGUAUUUUGUCUCUUUAAUUUAAAAAAUGAGUAAAUUAGUCUUUAUAUAUUAAAUUAAAUAGUAAAUUAAUCAAUCUAUUAAAAUUUUUAUCUAUUUUUAUUGUUAAAAACUAAUUCCUAUAUGUUAGCAUGAAAUACACACGGUUAUUCCGUCAACCACAACCGAUUUUUAAUAGUAGAAGUGAUGAAAUUUUUAACAGUUUGCUCUUUGAUCUUACAUAUAGAGAUUACUUUAUCCAUUUUUUAAGUAAAGAGAAUAAAAUACAAUUUGACUCAUAAUAUAGGGACUUCCAUAAUACUUUUACCCUCCGCACCGAUAAGGUUUAUAAAAUAUUCAUGAAACCCGGGGAAAAUGAAACAUUAAGAGAAGAUAUACUUCAAUACAACUAUGCAAAUAAUCUUGGCCAUUCACAGAUUGAAAAAACAAUGAAAUUCCAAACGCUUCAUUCAAAGAGACAAUUCAAGAAAUAUGUGACUGAUGAAAAAAACUAUAUUUUGUAUUUACAUUUUACUUUCACCAGCACUAUGAAACUGCAACCAUACAGCAAUCAUUUAACACAUUUUACAGCAGGCGAGGCAAUAAAACUAGUUAAUUCCACCUCAUUUACCAUGCCUUGUAUUCAAAAAAAAUUCUCACAGAGGAUCACAAAUCCAUAAAUAUUUGGAAACCUGUGAAUGAAGAUGCUCAAAUUUGAGAUUAAUAGGCUUAAAGUAACGUAUGAAAAAUGAUUUGUACCUUGUAACUUCUGAGGGGUUUUACUCAAAUGCAGUAGCUACCAAUAUGAACCAUUGCCAACAUGUGAUGAUUCUAUCUAUGGUUUAUCAUACAUCCGUUCUCCGAAUCAUGAUGUCAGUGCCGCCAUUCUGCGCUUCUUCUAAAGGUGGAUUGCGUUCUCUCCCCUUUCAUCCUGAGGGAAUUCACAGGUUUCAGUGAUGGAUAAAUCACUUGGGGGGAUAAAACAAUCAACAGAAAGGCCUGGUAUGUUAAAGGCAACCUCUUCGAUCGUCCAAGUUUCUUCCAUCUUUGUUUUCGUAUGGUUCAUUGCAACUUCUCCAAACCUGAAAAGUGUAACGACGGUAUGUCCAGAAUGUGCUAUCACGAUACCUUCGACAGGAUGGUAAUCUUCGAGAAAUGUAUUGAUUGUAGUUUGCCAAUAAACCGUAUCACCGCCAGUAGAUUGAACGCGAGUUAAAUGUGAAUCUUCCAUUUGAACAAGUAGUCCAGUCUUCUGACUGAAGUAGCCAAAUAAAACAUGCCUUAUGAUCUCUGCAGGGCCUUCACUUCUUGCCUUGAGUGUCCGAGGACCGGCACAUAGCUUGAGGAUGAAGCAAUCUUCACCAUUAAUAUUUUUUUCUCCUAUGCAUCUUGCAUUAGCAAACAUGAUAGCUGUAGUUCUAGGGUCAAGACCCUAAAGCAGGAAUAUCAGAAAACUGAGAAGCAGCCAACGAUCAACAAUCGAAUAAAGGGAGGAAAUUUCUCACCUGAAGUGCACGACGCAAGGGUCUAACCGGCCCCUUUGCGGUGUGUGCACCAAGCCAAGGUGUAUACCUCCAUACAAGGUUCCCAUUACAACCAGCAUGAACCUUGCAGCCACUGACCGCAAGUUCGACAUACCACAUGUCCGGAUUCAUUUGCCAGAGUACAAACCAACCGGACUCGGCACCUCUAGAGACAUUACAGCUCUUAACAAUUCUCGUGGCGGUUUCGUAUUCACAAGCUAUCAUUUUGAGCUUUCCCAUUGCAUACGCAUUCUUAAUGGAGCUUUGUAACUUUUGAACCCCAGUGGCAGCUAUAUACUGCUGCAAUAUGUAGUGAGCAGAGGAAGUUUCCUGCACACCAUACCGCAAUCAAUGGAAAAAGAAUAGAAAAAAGAAAAAUUAAUAAUGGGAAAAGUGACAGCAUUUUAGCACUUGAAAUACAGCAAGGAAUAAACCCUAAUAAUGAUCCCUGCAGCCGUUAAAACCCUGUUUUUGCGCCUGAAAUUCUAAGUUCUAACAAUAUCUUUUGUAUCCAUCUGUUUGGAACCCAAGAAAAUUGUAUAUUUCUACAUGAUUUUUUGCAUUAAACAGGUAAUUAAAAAGAGAAAGAAUAAAAGGAGGACUAACAAUGGAAGUAUCUUUGAUGCUCAAGUGAGACAAAGGAUCAUUGGAGCUAACAUGAAUUGGAGCUAAAGGGGCGCCCAUGAUUCCAAGCAACAGCCUUAGAUUAGACCUUCUGUGGUUCGUGGAAGUACAAAACUGUCCUUUAACCCAUUGUCCUGUCACCGACCCAACCCACUUCGGAUCCCCGGAUUUCCCUCGGUCCGGCUCCGGACCUUCCAUGAGAGGAGAUAACGCUUCACCGACUGGCCUUACAGUCCCGGAUCUCGCCAUCAACGGUUCCGGUUUCACCACGUGAGCACCGCCAUGGUGGUUGUCUUUGUUUCCACGUAACGUAGUGGACAUGAGUGAAAGGGGUCUUGCAGGGCUGUUGGACCGCGAGCGGGAAGGUGAAAGCCCGCGAACUAUAUCUUCUUUGAGAGCUGAGAGAAAACCUUGCUUUUUCUCCAUUACUGGCCUGGUUCUUUUUCCUUUCCUUAAAAAAUUCAAAAUAAAUAAGUUUCCUUCUCUGAUUUGGAGCUGAAUAAAAAAAAAAGAAAACCAGAGACAAGAAAAAGGGCGAAAGUAUUAGAGAGGAGAAGGUGAGUGCCCAAGUUCCUUCAUGAUUAUGGAGAGAGUAAGAAGUGAGAACCCGAGAGCAGAAAUAUAUGCAUGUAUGCAUAAUAUUUAUCUUCUUUAUUUCAAAAAUUAGUAAAUUAGGCAUUAUUCACUAAAUUAGUAAAUUAAAAUUAGUAAAACUUACGUGUCACUGUUUAGUUAUUUUAUUAGUUAUAUCAAUUUUAAUAAUAAAAAUUGAUAAAAUUCUUAACAAAAAUGAUCAAUUCACUAUUUGAUCUAAUAUACCGAGACUAAUUUUUUCCUAUUUUUAAAUAGAGAGAGUAAAAUGCAAUUAAACACUAGUACAGUAGCCUAGAACCAACAAGUGUUGGUGCAGUGGUAAGGCAUACUGCAUUUUCAGAUAAAGAAAUUGGAUUCAAACAUUAGAUAUGAUAUUAUUGAAAAAAUCAAUCACAAAUUCAGGAAAGACUAACUUUCAUGAACCAUGAAACCGACCUAAUGAUAUCUCAACAAAACGACUAGUUUAAUUAUAAUAUGAAUUAUUGAUGCUAAUUUAUGUUGCACCGUGAGCGAAAAAUGUAAUAUUAAAAUCAUAUUUAUAUAAAAACUAAUCAACAAUUGAGUUAUUGUUAAAAUAGUAAAGUAUUUAUGAUUAAAUUUUAUUUAAAUAUUUCACAUAAAAUAAUUAAAAAAAUAUUAUUCUAAAUAUUCAAUCUUUUAUUAAAUAAAGACUUCUAAGCAAUUUAUUUGAUUAAAUUGGUAUACAUUAUAUAUAAUAUAAAUACCAAAUUUCAUAUAAAUAUAUAAUACAAAUAAUAAUUAGAAAUGAGAAUUUAUACGGAUUAGGUGAGCCACUUUUUUUCCUAUUACGUUUAUAGAUUUAUAUAUAAUAAAUUUUAUAUGUAUUAUUUAAUUCUUAUUUUGCACUUAUAAAAUGAGAUAAUUAGUCGAUUGAGUAUUAGCUUAACUGAUAUGAACAUUAUUACCAGUGUAAGAGGACGCGAGUUCGAAUGCGCUGAAAUGUAUUGUCCUCCUAUUUAUAUGUUAAAAAAGAACUUUGAGUAAUUUUAAACAUUAGUUUAUGUUAAAAAGAAGAUACAAUAAAAAUACAAAAUAAUUAAAUAAUAAUAAUAUGGCAGAACAAAUUGGGAAAUCCAAAGCAGAGUGUGAACAAAUUAUAUAGGAAUGGUAUUGAAAACUUAGUCGUAAAAUUAAAGCAAUAUCAUGACAUUGGUUAUCUUAGAUUUGGAACUUGUUGCUCUUACCAAACAAAUCCUUUGUCCAAUCAACAAAUUUCGUGAUGUCAUGAUGUGACUAAAUUAAACUAAAUUCGAUGUUUUUUAAGUAAAGUCUCGUUUUUAAGUUAUGUGGAUCUAAAAAAAAUUAUUUAGGAGAAUUUUAUUUCGAUUUAGGAAUUUAAUUUUUACAUUUAAUCGAGACUUAAUAUAAAGUUAUAGUAUUUGGGAGGUUCAUAUAUUAUAGGGAUUGGAUUAAAUUAGUAUCUCUAUUGUUAAAUGAAUUAAUUUAGUCCAUAUACUAUUAAAAAUAAUUAAAUAAGCCUAAAUUGUACCAAAAUUAACAUUUAUUGUAUAAUAAAUGUCUUAAUUUUUUUUUCAAUCACACUUCAAUUUUAAAUAAAAGAUUUAAUUUAUAGAUCCAUAAAAAGUUUAAAAUUAUUACUCUAUUAGACAAUAAAUGAUAUUUUUUAAACAAUAAAUGUUAACUCUGUUCCGGUUUAGCCUUAUUAGAUUCUUUUUAAUGGCAUAGGGAUUAAAUUGAUCCAUUUAAUAGUAAAAGAACUAAUUUGAUUAAGUUCCUAUAAUAGAGGUCUGAAUUUUGGAAUUAUUAUCGUUAGAAGAGUCUUACCUGAAUAGCACCCUCGGCCUAAAUAAGGUUAAGCUUAGAUUGUAAAACGAACGAAGGCACCCGUAAUUAUAAGAAAAAAAGUUCAUUGUAUAAAUAUAAUUAUAACGGCUAAAUCAAAUUAAUCCAUUUGUUAUUAAAUGGAUCAAUUUAGUCCUUAUACUAUUUAAAAGAAUCAAAUAAAUCUAAAUUACAACAGAGUUAACAUUUACUGUAUAAAAAUGUCUUGAAUUUUUUUUUCAACUACAAUUUAAUUCCAAAACCAAAAAUUUAAUUUACAAAACCAUGAAAACUUUAAAAUGUUAACUUUGUUUCAAUUUAACCGUAUUUAAUUCUUUUUAACAGUACCGAAAUUAAACUGAUCCGUUUAAUAAUAGAGGGACUAAUUUGAUCACAUCUAUAUUCACCUAUAAAAUUCUAACCCUUUUCAUUAAAUUGUAUUUGUACUCUUUUCGUAAAUAUGUUGAAUGCGUAGAUGGUGAAUGUAACAUUCCAUCCUCUACUUAUCUUUAAAUUCACAACACGUUAUAAUAAACACAUCUCACCUUUCACUUUUUUUUCUUAAAAUUACUUUGCAACAACUUGUUUUACUGCAAAUUAUGUCAUUGAUUAUUGUUUGCAAGUAAUCAUAUUAUCAUUAUUACUUGGCUUUGCUUAAAAAAUAUAGGGUAAAUUGUUAAAAUAGUCACUUUUAUUUUUCUCAAGUUAUAUUUUAGUUAUUUACGUUAAUAUAUUGUAACAUUUUAGUCAUUGAGUCAUUAAUUGCUAUUAACGGUGUAACGGUAAGCUGAUGUGGUACAUUAAAUAAUCAUUUCAAACAAAAUUUUUAGGUUAAAUUACACAAUUAGUCCCCAUAUUUUUUUCUUUUAUGUUCUUUUAAUUUUUUUUUCUUUAUUUCCAUUAUCUUCUACUUAUCCCUCUAUUUUCCUUCCUCCUCCAUCUCUUUUAACAUAAAAUGAACAAAAUUAAAUUGCUCAAAACGAAAAAAAUAUAGGGACUAAUUGUAUAAUUUAACCUAAAAUUUCCAUUUAAAAUGAUGAUUUAACGUGCCACGUCAGCUUACCCUUACACCGUUAACGACAAUUAACGUUCGGUGACUAAAAUGUUACAACAUGAUAACGUAAGUGACUAAAACGUAACAUUUCGAACAUAAGUAACUAAAAGAUGACCGAGAGAAACAAAAACGACUAUUUCGAUAGUUUACCCAAAAAUGUAUAUUUUAUAAUUAUUUGAUGUUGUUUUUAACUCUAUCCAUAUAUUUAAAGUUUCUAACAAAAUGACACCUAUUUUUUAUAAAUGUAAUAAAAAUAUUUAACAGAAUUUUAAAUUCAAAUGCGAAUAUUUAAAAAAGAUGGUAUGAGAAUCCCGUGUGUUGGCUUGAUGGUCAGGGUGUUCACCACCCUAGGUGUGAUCUGGAUUCGAGUCGCGUUAAUUAUGUUGUUGUUAAGGAUUUGGUCUCCAAUUGUAAUUAAAAAUAAUUGCUAUAAAUUGUCACCUUUAUCUCCCUUUUUUGUUUUAGUAAAUCUUAGUUGUCCAUUAAUUUUUUGUUUUUGAUGUGGAAUUGUGGGGUAUUUUGGACGGUUUGAGUCUUCUUAUUGAGUAAGGAUAUGACAAGGUGCUUAUUCAGUCUGACGGUUUUGAGGCAAUCAUCCAGGUGAAUCCUCCAAAAGGGUCCAAUUCUUUCUUGAUUUGGAAGAUCCAUCAGAUGUUAUCCCGGUUUAGACAGUGGAACAUUAGACACAUUUCUAAAAAGGAUAAUAAAGAAGCUGACUGCUUGGUCAAAUUGGUCCAACAUAUAUCACAUAAUUUACUUUUGUUUAAGACUUUCCCGUCGGAGGGGAUAGUCUAGUUUUUGUAAUUAGUUUAGUUAUGCUAUUUUUUUCACCAAAAAAAAAUCAUGGUCAACAUCUAUUCUAUUAACGAGCCUAUAGAAUGCGGAGGAUUAAUUACUGGGCUCGCUCCGAUAGAUACUUAGAAAAAUAAAAAUGAUAAUAAUAUUUUUUUUAAUAUUCACACAUAGCUUGAAAUUGUAAUUAUUUUAUCAAAAGUGAGGUUUUUGUAUAUUUAAUAGUAAGCACAUUAUUACCCAAAUUUAUUCAUGGAUUAUAUACACAAAUAUGAAUUUUUUUUGGGAAAUUAGGUGGAUUUAUGCACCCAAAAUAAAAAUGUUUAUAGAAGAUUGAGUUAAGCUUGAAUACACAUAAAUUUUUUUAUUUGAUCCGGUUUAAAUUAAAUUUGUCCGAAUAUUGCAUAACAUGAUUAAUCUAAUCGAUCGACGUAUCUUAUUAAAAGAAAAUAUAGGUGAAUAAAAUUGUAUAUGAAUCGGUCGAGUUAAAUUUGACUACAAAUAAUUUAAUUAUUUUAUCCGAUUUAAACCAAAUUUGUUGGCAUGUUAGAUGGGAUGAUUAAUCCAAUCAAACAACGUAUCUAUUAAAAUAUAGACAAAAUAGAGGGAAAAAGAAGAGAAAAUUUAGGUGAACAAACUGAUUUUAAAUAAAAUUAUUUAUGAAUUCAUCAAAUUAAAUUCGAGUCUUGAAUCAAUUCAAAUGGAAUAUGUCGAGCUAAAUGAUUAAUCGAAUCUAUAACCGUAUCUAGUGCAGAUUAACUAAUUAAUCUAAAUAAAUUGUUUAUAGAUCGAUCGAAUUAAUAACAUCUAAAUGACUUUUUAUUUAAUCUAAUUUGCUGAAUCAUAUGCUCGUGCCUAACUAAAAUGUACUAAAAAAAAGUAGACAAUUUGAUCUGAAAAAAUUACGGAUCGAAUUAAAUUUAAGUGUGAUUCUUUUUUUUUAAUUCAAUUCAAUUUAAAAUUAUUGGAUUGGAUUAUCAACCUAACUUAUAGAUAAAUCGGUUGAAUUAAAUUCUAGUCGAAUAUAUAUAUUUAUUACAUGUGCUAAAUUUAAAACUAAGACAAAACAACAAGGGGCAAAGAUCAAUAUUUGAAUAAUUAAAAAUUUUAUUUAUAAUUAUUUAAGGAUUUUAUCAUCAAAACGAAGGGCAAGUUUCGUUUUUUUUUUUAAUGCAUGAAAAGCUUAAACAUAACAUAAAUCAAAUAAUCAAACAACACUACUUCAAGCUUUAGCAUUUUUGGCUUCCUCACCGUCUUUGGUCUUCACCGAAACAUUUUUGGACGCCCCAAUUGGUGUCGAAGUUGCUGGCGGAGGAGGAGUUGGGACACGAGCCACCUUGGAUGGCAGUGCUUGAGUGGAAGGUGAAGGGUUGUUAAUCUCUGUUGCGCUGUACGAUUCGAGAGCUAAGUUGUUAUCAAAAGACCUGAAAACAAAUUGCGAGAGCUUCCUUUGACGACGAUUGCGUAUUGAAGACAUCAUAAGAGGAAAAACAAGAAGAGAAUAAAAAGCAAAGGAGAUUUUGAUAUUUUCUUGCAAUACAUAACACAAAUGAAAAAUAUAGACAUCAAAUUUUUUUAUAUAAAAAUAAAUUUAAAAAAUAUAAUAUAUCAAAUACACCAAAUAUUUUAUUAAAAAAUAGGGUACAAAAAUUACCUUGUAAUGUUAUUCUUUUUCGAGAUUAUUUGUUUUAGUUAUUCAAUUCAUUUUUUAAUUUUAUAUCAAGUUUCUUUUCAUUCCAUUUUAACUUGUGUUCAUAUUUUUUCUUCUUCCAUAUUUUUAAUAUAUUUAUAUUAUAUUCAUGUUUUUGUUAUAAUUAUAAUCAUAUGUUAGAAUACAUAAACUUUUAUAUAACUUUCACAUGUUAAAUAUUUGGUAUCUAUUAAACUCCAUGUGUUGAUCUGAUCGUGUUCAUCGCCUCAAGUGUGGCCUAAAUUUGAGUCGUGAUAGUCAUAUUGUUAUUAGGGCUUUACUCUCUUGUAAUUUACCAAAAAAAUUAUUUGUUAUAUAUAUAUAUAUAUAUAUUUACACAUUGUGUAUGCAUGUCGUAUUUAUAUUAUUUCCAUAUUGUAUUUUACUUUUUAUAUAGUUUGUCCUAGUGAUUAAAUUAAAAGAUUAAAUUAAAAAUAAGUUUUAUGUAUAUUUGUAUUGUAUUAUAUUUGAUAUAGUUUUUCAGAAUAAUUCAAUUGUUUUAAAAAUGAUUUUUGUGUUUGCCUUAUGUUUUAAGUUAUUUGUACGGUUAAAAACCGACAUACCUAAGACAUAACUAGUUAGUGACACGUGGUGUGCCACAUGUACAUCAUACUAAUAUAUGAAAACCAGUUUUUAAGAGUAAAUAUGGAUGAAAUUUUUAACAGAAGGACUGCUUUGCUUUUUUAUCUAAUGUACAGAGACUAAUUUACCUAUUUUUUAAUAAACGGGACAAAAUGCAAUCUGACUCUUAUUAUUGGAGCCUCCAUAAUAAUUUUAUUGGGAAAUAUUUAUUUAAAAUUGGAUUUUUUGGUCCGUGGAGCUCAGGAUAAAUAUGUGGCAUAAAUAAGAAAUGUGAAAAUAAAUAAAAAUUAUAUCACGAUAUGAAUAUAUGAAUAUAAAAUAUUAAUUUAAAUAAAUAAUAUAUAUACAUACGAGUUGUAAAAAUUAAGUGUGAUGUAAUCGACGUUAUAGAAAAAAUGGGUAAAAAUACCAUAAAGGACUUAUACUAGGAGUUAAAUUGUAUUUUACUCCCUUAACUAAAAAAUGAACAAAUUAAUCUUUGCAUGUUAGAUCAACAAGCAAUUUGUAAUGACCCAAAAUUCAUGGGCAUCGGAAAAGUAUAAUAUCGGGCCUCCGUCCUAGUAAAUUGAGUCCGAAAAUAAUUAUUAGAAAUAUUUACGAGACUAGUAGUGUGUUUAAUUAGGUUUUAAUUAAGUAAAUUUAGCUUAAUUUAGAGUAAUUAGUAAAAAGGAUUAAAUUGAAUAAGAGUAAAAGUUUAAUUAUAGAUUAAAGGAAAAUAACAGGGACCAAAUGGGCAAUUAAGCCACAUUUGGAAGUUGAGGCGGCAUAACAUUGUAAAAAUCUUAGAUUUUUAUAUUAUUAUUUAUAUAAAUAUAUAAAUUAAUUAUAAAGUAUAUUAUUAAAUUAAUUACAUUAUAAAUAUUAUAUUAUUAUAUAUAAAAGAAACAAAACAGAAAAGAAACAGAAUAGAAAGAACAAAGAAACAGAAUAGAAGAGACGAAACAGGGGAGAAGCAGGGGAGAAAGAAGAAAAAGAAGAAAAAAGGGAAAAUAGGGUUUUUGAAGCUUGAAAUUUAAAUUGGUAAGUCAAAUUAGCCCUUUUCUCUUAAUUCUAAUGUUUUAAAAGCUUUAAAACAAAGUUUUGAUGGAAUUAAGUUGAUAUUUUGUAAGUUCAUAGGUUUUCAAGUAUAGUUUAUGUUGAACAAAAGAGAUGAAUUAGGGAUUAACUUGAAGGAAUUUUAAGUUAGAAUUGAAAAAGGGAUUAAAUUGUAAAAGAAACUAUAAGUUUUAUGUUUUAGGGACUAAAUUGAGGGAAAUUCGAAAUUACCAAAAUAUGCUGAAAUUUUGAUAGUUAAAUUUUAGUUUGGAUGAAAUUUGAAUAGAAAUAGAGUGUGAAUUGAAUUAGGAAAGUAAGUGAAUUUAGUUAGGAUUAAAUUGAGAAUAAGAAAGAAAUUGAAUAGAAAUUUAAUUAUUAUCAUAAUUAGUGCUGAAAUUAAUAGUAUAAAUUAUUAUCAUUUUCGUAGCUAGCAAAGAACCAGAAGCGUCGGCACGGAAGGGAAAAGAGAAGAUUAUCGAGGAGUAAACUCGAGAAAAUUACGGUUUGUAUUACUAUAAUUCAAAUUAUUUAUUUUUUUUUAUGUUAAAUUUUAAUUUAUGUGUCUAGUAAAUGAAAUGUGAGGUAAGUAUUAAUAUUAGUAUUAGUAUUAUUAUUAGUAUUAUUAUUAUGAGUGGGAAUUAAAUUGAAUAGUUGAUAUGAAAUAAUAUUUGAAUUGUUUGUUGAUUGAAAGCGGGAAAUGAAUUUAAAUCGAAUAGUGACCGAUAUUAAAUUGAAUGGAAAUGUAUUGAGUUGUGAAAGUAUGUUAAUUGCGGAUUAAUUAUUGAUUGAAAGGUGGAAAAAUGAUUGAAUUGAAAGUGUGAAAAAGUGUGAUUGAAUUGAGAAUAUAUGUGAUUUAAAUACCCUAUUAACUAGUCGGGCUGAGUCGGAUAUAGUUGGCAUGCCAUAGGAUUGGAAGAGUUCAGGGAUACUUCGACCUCGAGUCGAUGAGACACUGGGUGUCACUAUAUUUCUUCGGAUAGAUUCGAUGAGGUACUGGGUACCAACUUUCUUCGGCUUUGCCGAUGAGACACUGGGUGUCAACUAUUGCUUCGAACUAUCCGAUGAGGCACUGGGUGCCAUUCUGGUGUGUUUGGUUGGAUCCGUGUAUCCGCCAAAGUCCGAGUUUUGUUAAUAGGGUAAAUGAUGAAAUGAUAAACCGAACGAGUUGGUCAAACGAGCUAUUGAAAUGAUAUGAAAAAGUUGAAUUGUGAAUUGAAAUGUGAAAUGAGAUUGAGAAAUGAACCUAAGGUUCGUGAAUUAUUCAAACUCAAAUUGUGGAUAUACGAUAUUGGUUGAUGAAUUGCUAUUGUUGAAAUAUUUAAUUUAAAUUGUAUAUACGAUUUAUGCAUUACAUGUACAUUAUUGUUAUAAUUUGAAUUAUGGUAAUACCACUGAGUAUGAAUUACUCAGCGUACGGUUGUUUCCGUGCGCAGGUCAAUAGAAGUCAAAGGUCCCGGUUCAGCAUCCAGAUUAAUCCCGGCUUCGGCAAAACUUGGUGAUGUAUUUUUCCUUUGGUAAAGGUGGCAUGUACAUAGAUUGUGUAUAAAGGUUAUUAUGUUUUAUUAUAUAAUGGUUAAAAAUGUUAGUAUUAAAAGUUUAUGGAUUUUAAUGAAAGAAGUCUAUCUAUUUUAUCUAAUUAGUACAUUGUUAAAUUUUAAAUUGGUAUUGUGUAGAUUGAGUUUGAUUAGAAGUAUUUAGAAUAGAAAAUGUGAAUGUGAAAUGAAUUGGUUGAAUUGAUGAUAUUUGGGAACUAUAUGGUUUUAAUUUGCAGGGGGUUUUAUGUAAAAAUAAGCAGAAAUGCUGCCGAGAUUUUUAUAAAAAAAAAAUGAAGUCAUUUGGUAAACAAAUUAAUAAAUUUUAUGAAUUAUUUUAAUAUAUUGGUUAUUUAUUUAAGAAUUGUUGUAAAUCGUUCGAUACGUCCGGUAAUGCCUCGUAAUUCUGUUCCGGUGACGGUUCGGGGUUAAGGGGUGUUACAUUUUAUGGUAUCAGAGCUAUCAGGUUUAGCCGAUUCUCGGCCUAAAUCGAGCUCGGAAUUGAGUCUAGAUGUACAUGCCACUGUCGAGUUAAACUGAGUCGGGAUUUUUGGAUGCUGACCUAUUUGUUUGUUUUGUUUUAUAGAUUAAAGAUGUCUGAAGAAAGAAUAAAUGAUACUGAUGAAAGAAUGUAUAGUGAAGAUAGAGAAUUAGAUGAAACAGAAUCUGUUGCACCGAGUGUGAAUCCGUUAGGCAACCAACCUUCUAAUGUAGAACGAGAAAAUGUCAGAGAUAGAGAUGAAUCCCAAUUACUGAGAAUUAUAGCUGAUGCAUUACAAAGAGUAGCAGGAACUACUCCUGUUACGACUUCAGUACCUACUGUUAGACGGGCUCCGAUAAAGGAACUGAGGAAAUAUGGUGCCACUGAAUUUAUGGGUCUAAAAGGAGUUGAUCCAUCCAUAGCUGAAAAUUGGAUGGAGUCGACUAAAAGAAUUUUGCAGCAAUUGGAUUGUACCCCCCGAGAGUGUUUAAUCUGUGCCGUAUCGUUAUUACAAGGGGAGGCUUAUCUAUGGUGGGAAUCAGUGGUUCGACAUUUACCAGAGAGUCAGAUAACGUGGGAUCUAUUUCAGAAGGAGUUUCAAAAGAAAUAUAUCGGAGAGAUGUAUAUUGAAGACAAGAAACAAGAGUUUUUGUUGCUACAACAGGGUGAUAUGUCAGUAAUAGAUUAUGAGAGGGAAUUCUCGAGACUCAGUAGAUAUGCCUCUGAGUUUAUUCCGACAGAAGCCGAUAGUUGUAAAAGAUUUUUACGGGGUUUACGAGACGAGAUCAAAGUGCAGCUAGUAUCCCAUCGGAUCACUGAGUUAGUAGAUUUGAUUGAACGAGCUAAAAUGGUGGAACAAGUUCUGGGCCUCGACAAAAAGACUGAAGUUGUUAGACCAACCGGGAAGCGUACAGGAACUACCAGUUCGAAUCCUCAGCCGAAAAGACCAAAGGAAUUCCAAAGUGGUUGGAGAUCCAGUUUCAGGUCAGACAGAGGUGGUAGAAGUAGGGGAAAACAGACGAUGACAUCUACUGGCAGUGUGAGAGGUCCUUCCCGAGAAAUAGAUAUUCCAGACUGCCAACACUGCGGAAAGAAACACAGAGGGGAAUGUUGGAAAUUAACUAGAGGCUGUUUUCGAUGUGGUUCUACAGACCAUUUCAUCAGAGACUGUCCGAAAGUUGAUAGUACUGUACCCGUGACAUCACAGAGAUCGGUAUCUACAGCUAGAAGCAGAGGGUUAGGAAGAGGUGGUUCGGUUUCAAGGGGAGGAAGUAUUAGGAGAAGCAAUGAUAUUGCUACUCAGCAGUCUGAGGCUAAAGUACCUGCCAGAGCUUAUGUGGUCAGAACACGGGAAGAAGGUGACGCCCACGAUGUAGUAACAGGUAUAUUCUUACUAUAUUCUGAGCCUGUUUAUGCUUUAAUUGAUCCCGGAUCUUCACAUUCUUAUAUAAAUUCAAAAUUAGUUGAAUUGGGAAAAUUUAAUUCUGAAAUAUCUAGAGUGACUGUAGAAGUGUCGAGUCCGUUGGGGCAAACAGUAUUAGUGAAUCAGAUCUGUCCGAGAUGCCCGUUAAUUAUACAAAAUAAAACUUUUCCUAUUGACCUGUUGAUUAUGCCAUUUGGAGAUUUUGAUAUAAUACUGGGGAUGGAUUGGUUGGCUGAGCACGGAGUGGUAUUGGAUUGUUAUAAAAAGAAGUUUAGUAUUCAGACAGAAGACGGGGACAGAAUUGAGGUAAAUGGUAUCCGUACUAAUGGGCCGACACGUAUUAUUUCGGCAAUAAAGGCUAAUAAAUUGCUUCAGCGGGGUUGUACAGCGUAUUUAGCCUAUGUUAUUAAUUCUGAUUUGGUUGGUAGUCAGUGCAGUAAGAUUAGAACCGUAUGUGAGUUUCCAGAUGUAUUUCCUGAAGAGCUACCGGGUUUACCACCUGACAGAGAGGUUGAAUUUGCUAUAGAAGUGUAUCCGGGUACAGCACCAAUCUCUAUACCACCGUAUCGAAUGUCACCCACUGAGUUGAAAGAGUUGAAAGUGCAGUUACAGGACUUGUCAGAUCGUGGAUUUAUUAGACCGAGCAUUUCACCUUGGGGAGCUCCAGUAUUGUUUGUUAAAAAGAAAGAUGGAUCGAUGCGGCUUUGUAUUGAUUACCGGCAGUUAAACAAAGUGACGAUCAAGAACCGGUAUCCGUUACCCCGUAUAGAUGAUUUAUUUGAUCAGCUAAAAGGAGCUUCAGUAUUUUCAAAGAUUGACUUAAGAUCUGGGUAUUAUCAGCUGAAGGUAAAAGAAAGUGAUGUUCCGAAGACUGCAUUUCGUACUCGAUAUGGUCAUUAUGAAUUUUUGGUGAUGCCGUUCGGGUUGACUAAUGCUCCAGCUGCUUUUAUGGAUCUGAUGAAUCGUAUUUUUCAGCCGUAUUUAGAUCAGUUUGUGGUGGUUUUUAUUGAUGACAUAUUGGUUUAUUCGAAGUCAGAGUCAGAGCAUGAUCAGCAUCUCAGAACCGUGCUACAGAUUCUGCGAGAAAAACAGUUGUACGGGAAACUAAGUAAAUGUGAAUUCUGGUUACCAGAGGUAGUUUGUUAGCUGAGUUAAGAGUCAAGCCGGUGAUGUUUGAUCAAAUCAGAGCAGCACAGUUAAAAGAUGAAAAGUUGAUGAGGAAAAGAGAAAUGGUACAGUAUGGUGCGGUAGAAAAUUUUAGUAUUGACGAGCAUGAUUGUUUGAGAUUUCGGAAUCGAAUUUGUGUUCCAUCUACUUCUGAGAUUAAAGAAUUGAUUCUCCGAGAAGCACAUGAUAGUAUUUUUGCUUUGCACCCAGGAGGAACGAAGAUGUAUCGUGAUCUACGAGAACUGUAUUGGUGGCCAGGAAUGAAGAAAGAUAUAGUUGAAUAUGUCAGUAAAUGCUUGACUUGUCAGCGGGUAAAAGCAGAACAUCAGGUACCAACAAGCCUGUUACAGCCUAUUACUAUUCCCGAGUGGAAAUGGGAUCGCAUUACCAUGGAUUUUGUUACGGGGUUGCCAUUAUCAGUGAGUAAAAAGAAUGUUAUUUGGGUGAUUGUUGAUCGACUCACAAAAUCAGCUCAUUUUAUAGCAGUUAGAACCGACUGGUCAUUACAGAAGCUUGCCGAGGUUUAUAUUCGAGAAAUUGUUAGAUUACAUGGUAUUCCGGUAUCAAUAAUUUCAGACAGAGAUCCUCGAUUCACUUCGAGAUUUUGGAAGCAGCUGCAUGAAUCAUUGGGUACUCGACUUAGUUUCAGUACAGCUUUUCAUCCUCAAACUGAUGGACAAUCUGAACGAGUAAUUCAGAUAUUAGAAGAUAUGCUUCGAGCUUGUGUCAUUGAUUUUGAAUCAGGUUGGGAACGUUAUUUACCAUUGGCCGAGUUUGUUUAUAAUAAUAGUUUUCAAUCUAGUAUUCAAAUGGCUCCAUAUGAAGCACUUUAUGGUCGAAGGUGUCGAUCACCAAUAUGUUGGACAGAAUUAAGAGAAAGAAAAGUGAUUGGGCCGGAAUUGAUUCAAGAGACAGAAGAAACAGUUAAAAAGAUUAAAGAUAGACUGAAAGCCGCUUUCGACAGACAGAAAUCUUACGCAGACUUGAAACGACGAGACAUUGAAUAUUCUGUUGGUGAUAAGGUAUUCCUCAAAGUAUCGCCGUGGAAGAAAAUUUUGAGAUUUGGUCGGAAGGGAAAAUUAAGUCCGCGCUUUAUUGGGCCGUAUGAGAUAGUGGAAAGAAUUGGGCCUGUUGCUUAUCGAUUAUCCUUACCUCCAGAGUUACAGAAAAUUCAUGAUGUUUUUCAUGUUUCGAUGCUUCGGAGAUAUAGAUCGGAUCCUUCUCAUGUUAUUCCCACUGAAGACAUUGAACUUCGAUCUGAUUUAACUUAUGAAGAAGAACCAGUUCAAAUAUUAGCACGAGAAGUGAAAGAAUUAAGAAAUAAACGGGUUCCUUUAGUAAAAGUUUUAUGGAGAAGCCAUAGUGUGGAAGAAGCAACUUGGGAACCGGAAGAGACAAUGAGAGCACAAUAUCCUCAUCUCUUCUCAGGUAAAUUUCGAGGACGAAAUUUAUUAAGAGGGGGAGAAAUGUAAUGACCCAAAAUUCAUGGGCAUCGGAAAAGUAUAAUAUCGGGCCUCCGUCCUAGUAAAUUGAGUCCGAAAAUAAUUAUUAGAAAUAUUUACGAGACUAGUAGUGUGUUUAAUUAGGUUUUAAUUAAGUAAAUUUAGCUUAAUUUAGAGUAAUUAGUAAAAAGGAUUAAAUUGAAUAAGAGUAAAAGUUUAAUUAUAGAUUAAAGGAAAAUAACAGGGACCAAAUGGGCAAUUAAGCCACAUUUGGAAGUUGAGGCGGCAUAACAUUGUAAAAAUCUUAGAUUUUUAUAUUAUUAUUUAUAUAAAUAUAUAAAUUAAUUAUAAAGUAUAUUAUUAAAUUAAUUACAUUAUAAAUAUUAUAUUAUUAUAUAUAAAAGAAACAAAACAGAAAAGAAACAGAAUAGAAAGAACAAAGAAACAGAAUAGAAGAGACGAAACAGGGGAGAAGCAGGGGAGAAAGAAGAAAAAGAAGAAAAAAGGGAAAAUAGGGUUUUUGAAGCUUGAAAUUUAAAUUGGUAAGUCAAAUUAGCCCUUUUCUCUUAAUUCUAAUGUUUUAAAAGCUUUAAAACAAAGUUUUGAUGGAAUUAAGUUGAUAUUUUGUAAGUUCAUAGGUUUUCAAGUAUAGUUUAUGUUGAACAAAAGAGAUGAAUUAGGGAUUAACUUGAAGGAAUUUUAAGUUAGAAUUGAAAAAGGGAUUAAAUUGUAAAAGAAACUAUAAGUUUUAUGUUUUAGGGACUAAAUUGAGGGAAAUUCGAAAUUACCAAAAUAUGCUGAAAUUUUGAUAGUUAAAUUUUAGUUUGGAUGAAAUUUGAAUAGAAAUAGAGUGUGAAUUGAAUUAGGAAAGUAAGUGAAUUUAGUUAGGAUUAAAUUGAGAAUAAGAAAGAAAUUGAAUAGAAAUUUAAUUAUUAUCAUAAUUAGUGCUGAAAUUAAUAGUAUAAAUUAUUAUCAUUUUCGUAGCUAGCAAAGAACCAGAAGCGUCGGCACGGAAGGGAAAAGAGAAGAUUAUCGAGGAGUAAACUCGAGAAAAUUACGGUUUGUAUUACUAUAAUUCAAAUUAUUUAUUUUUUUUAUGUUAAAUUUUAAUUUAUGUGUCUAGUAAAUGAAAUGUGAGGUAAGUAUUAAUAUUAGUAUUAGUAUUAUUAUUAGUAUUAUUAUUAUGAGUGGGAAUUAAAUUGAAUAGUUGAUAUGAAAUAAUAUUUGAAUUGUUUGUUGAUUGAAAGCGGGAAAUGAAUUUAAAUCGAAUAGUGACCGAUAUUAAAUUGAAUGGAAAUGUAUUGAGUUGUGAAAGUAUGUUAAUUGCGGAUUAAUUAUUGAUUGAAAGGUGGAAAAAUGAUUGAAUUGAAAGUGUGAAAAAGUGUGAUUGAAUUGAGAAUAUAUGUGAUUUAAAUACCCUAUUAACUAGUCGGGCUGAGUCGGAUAUAGUUGGCAUGCCAUAGGAUUGGAAGAGUUCAGGGAUACUUCGACCUCGAGUCGAUGAGACACUGGGUGUCACUAUAUUUCUUCGGAUAGAUUCGAUGAGGUACUGGGUACCAACUUUCUUCGGCUUUGCCGAUGAGACACUGGGUGUCAACUAUUGCUUCGAACUAUCCGAUGAGGCACUGGGUGCCAUUCUGGUGUGUUUGGUUGGAUCCGUGUAUCCGCCAAAGUCCGAGUUUUGUUAAUAGGGUAAAUGAUGAAAUGAUAAACCGAACGAGUUGGUCAAACGAGCUAUUGAAAUGAUAUGAAAAAGUUGAAUUGUGAAUUGAAAUGUGAAAUGAGAUUGAGAAAUGAACCUAAGGUUCGUGAAUUAUUCAAACUCAAAUUGUGGAUAUACGAUAUUGGUUGAUGAAUUGCUAUUGUUGAAAUAUUUAAUUUAAAUUGUAUAUACGAUUUAUGCAUUACAUGUACAUUAUUGUUAUAAUUUGAAUUAUGGUAAUACCACUGAGUAUGAAUUACUCAGCGUACGGUUGUUUCCGUGCGCAGGUCAAUAGAAGUCAAAGGUCCCGGUUCAGCAUCCAGAUUAAUCCCGGCUUCGGCAAAACUUGGUGAUGUAUUUUUCCUUUGGUAAAGGUGGCAUGUACAUAGAUUGUGUAUAAAGGUUAUUAUGUUUUAUUAUAUAAUGGUUAAAAAUGUUAGUAUUAAAAGUUUAUGGAUUUUAAUGAAAGAAGUCUAUCUAUUUUAUCUAAUUAGUACAUUGUUAAAUUUUAAAUUGGUAUUGUGUAGAUUGAGUUUGAUUAGAAGUAUUUAGAAUAGAAAAUGUGAAUGUGAAAUGAAUUGGUUGAAUUGAUGAUAUUUGGGAACUAUAUGGUUUUAAUUUGCAGGGGGUUUUAUGUAAAAAUAAGCAGAAAUGCUGCCGAGAUUUUUAUAAAAAAAAAAAAAUGAAGUCAUUUGGUAAACAAAUUAAUAAAUUUUAUGAAUUAUUUUAAUAUAUUGGUUAUUUAUUUAAGAAUUGUUGUAAAUCGUUCGAUACGUCCGGUAAUGCCUUGUAAUUCUGUUCCGGCGACGGUUCGGGGUUAAGGGGUGUUACACAAUUUGACCAUUUCUGUUAAAAAAUUUAUUUAUUUGUACUAUUAAAAUUUGACAUGACUAACGAAAUAACCAAAUAGUGACACAUGGUGAUGCAAGCCUCAAUGUCCAAUUCUAGACCCAUGGAUGCAAUGAGCUUUUUUUUUUUACCUCAAGGCCCAAUAACAAGAUUAAAAAAAAAGUAGAUCAAACCAAGAUUGAAUGAGAUUGCCCAAGACUUUGUUACAAAGAACUUAGAAACGCAUACGAGGAGAAAAGAAAAUCAAGAUUCACUUUAUUGUUUUCAAGAAAAUCAAGAAACCGAAACUUGAUCAAAUUUUACUUUUUUGGGAUAUAAUCAAGAAAAUCAAUAUUUUAAAUAUUGGAAUUCUUGGUCCCAGAAACUAAUUCUUGAAGCCAAUGCGCGAUGGAUCACACUGUCGAGCUUGAACGAGCCAAUUUUGGUAGCGAACGAAUCACAAUUUCAAGUUUUUGAAAAUCGACCCAUUUGGGUGUCCACAAGCCCAAGGUGUCCCUCCCCCCAAAUGUUAUUGUAUUAUUCAUCUUUUGUUUAAAUAAAUAUUCUUUGAGUUUAUCUCUCCAAGAAUUGUUCUUGAAUUUUUUUUUAGAAGUUUUACCAAUCUUUUAGAUUGUAGGAAUCAAUUGGAGGGGAGAUAAGAGUCAUUUGAAGAGUGCCGUGAUUUAUUCAAUUUCAAGACUCCUUAAUAUACCUAUCAUGCCAUUUUCAUCUUCUUCUUGCUUUCUUCUUUCUUUUGUUUAGGUUUCUGUUCGAUUCUUCUUGUUUUCAUUUUAAUCUUUAUUUGAUUCAAUUUCAUGUCAUGAACAGCCAAAAAUGACGUUCUCCCAUCACUAUUCCUUAAGAAACACUCAAAAAUACUUAUUUUAUUUUCUUCUAGUGUUGGUUUUUUUAUUAUAAAAUAAUUUUGUUUUGGCUUAAAAAUUCAUUCUAAUAAAUCGUUUUGAUUGUUUUGUUUUAGAUUUGUUUGGAGGCUUUCUUAGAGUUCAAGAACGGUUUCUUUUCUUCCAAUAAACCCUAUUAAACUCAUUCUUGAACUCUUUUUUGGCCGCCCUUCUCUUCUUUACUCUUUGAUUUUCUCUUUUCAUUCUUUUAAUUCAAGAACUAAUCUGAUUUUGUUUCUUUGUUCUAAUCUAAAUCGGUCACCUAUUAUCUCAACAAAAUCGGUUCAAAUAUUCUCCAGUUUAUUGGAUCUUCAUCAUUCUUUGUUGGCCGCACCUUCCUUACCUAUUUUCUGGAAUUUUCAUUCGAUUUAAUACUUAUUUUUUCAAAUAUGUUCUUAUUAACCUAUUUUCUCAUCUUGGCAACCUUAAUUCAAAUGGAGUUCAUUAUGAACAAGUUCUUUCCAUAACUGACUUGAUUUCAUUUGCUACUGUUGACACCAUUUUUUGGAUGAAAACGGAGUCAACUUGGGUUUUGAAAAAUGAAACGGGAGUCGCCACCAAUCCUUUUUUAUGAGGUGUGAUUGGAUCACCUUGGAAAGUGGUUGUUUUUAAUAAACGGUUUGAUUUUAUUAAAACAACAAGUUUGGUUCACGAAAUUCAGAAAAACGGGUUCGGGAGUCGGUUACGCACGAGGAAGGAUUAGCACCCUCGAUACGCCCAAAAUUGGUACCUAGUUGAUUACUUAAUGUCUUAAUGUCGAAAAUUGAGAACUUUGAAGAAUUUUAAAAAUACGAUCCUUUUAUUAAAACGUUGAAAAUUUUUAGGAAAAGGGAAAUAUUUCACGUUAUUCGAGAAAGAAAACCAUAUCCAAAAAAAUAGGACACAAUGUCUUGAAUUCCCGAUAUGCGACUGAAAAAUGCUUAUUCAAAAAGUACUUUUAGCUAUCUCGGAUUUGAAAGCGAGAUCACAACCAGUAAGUUAGGACGCAAUCCUGUUUUAAUCCCGAGAUUAUUUAAAACUUGAAUUUGAAAAGAUUCGUGUAUUUAGAUUUCUUGUGGAAAUCGAGACCCAGUAAGCUAAGGUACGGCAUUCUCAAAUCUAAACACGAGAUUUUGCUUAUUCAAAAAUCAUAAUUUAUGCAAUGAAAUGAAUUAAUCUAACAUGAAAUAAUAAAACACGAUGUUAAUACUCACAACAAGACAAUAUUGAAUACAAUAGUGCAAAAAUAAUACGAACAAUUGCAACAAAAAUAAGAUAAAUACAAAGUAUAAAUCAAUAACAUACGAAAGCAAAUAAAAUUAAAGCAUUCAUUCAAGUCAAUAAUGAAAAUGAAAUAAAUAAAUAAAUGAAUAAGAAUAUAAAAAAGUAAAAAGAUAUAUGUGUGUGCAUAAAUUAUGAAAAUGUAAAAAUCUAUGUAUGUAAAAAUAUAUGUAAAAAUGUAUGUGUACAUUUAUGUAUAUGUAUAAAGUUAUGAAAUAUAUAAAAUAUAAGAUAGGUAUAUGUAUAUAUUUUUAUAAAAAUAAAAACGUACAUAUAUAUUAUGUGCAUGUAUGCAUUAUAAAGUAUAUAAAAGUAUAUGUAUACAAGGAUAUAUAAAUAAAUAAGAUAUAAAGUAUAUAAGUAUAUAUUUAUGAAAAUUAAGAAAUAUAUAUAUAUAUAGACAUGCGGCUAUAUACAUAGAAUAAUAAAAGAUAAAUAUGUAUAUAUAUUCAUAAAAAUAAAAUAUGUGUAUUCGUAUAUUAAAGUAUAAAGUAUAAAUAAUAUAUAUCUAAGUAGAUAUAUAUAUAUAAGUAAACUUGGAAAAUUAUAUGCGUACACAUACUAUAAAAAUAUGAAUGUAUAUAUAUAUAAAUUAUAGAAUGUAUUAAAGUGUAAGUGUAUAUAGGUAUGUACACAUAUAACAUAAUCUAAAAACAGUGUAAAUGGAUAAACAAUAAAGGCAAAUAAUAAAAAUAAAAGCAAUAAUGACAAUAAUAAUAAUGGUAAUAAAACUAAUUACUUUUUUGUAAUUAAACAAGCAGAAGCGCAAAUAUGAUAAAAAAGAAAAAAAGUCACCUCCAAAAAUCUAUUCUGGUUUUCUAUUUUCCUUAAUGUUCAUAGCCAAAUGAAAGAAGAGAAAACUCUUCUUCUUUUACAGUAAACUUGGCACUUGCCGAAAAGGAAAAAGAAAAAUCAAAGAAAACCCCCCUCUCUUUUUCAUUUUUCUGCGGCCUUUUCAGUCGAUUUUACACUUUUUUUCUAUUUCUAUUACUAUUUCUUCCUCUGUUCUUGCUGCUUGUUUCUUUCGUGUUUGUUUGCAGGUCUUUGGUGAAGGCGGAGGAGUGGCUUGCCGUUUUGGUGCAAGGCUUGGCUGGCCGUGGCAGACCUCGGGCGUGGUGUGCGCUGAGGAGGCACAUGGGCAGCAGAGGGUGCGGCGCCUUGGAUUAGGGUUAGGGUUUCAGUUGUGUUUUACUGAAACUUAGUUAAUGUUUUGGGCCGUCUAGCUUUGGACUUGUAAUUUGGGUUUUAAAUUUUAAUUUGGGCUAGUAUUGUAAUGUGAACUGGACUAUUUUUUAUUUUCUAGCGGGCCGGGUAAAUUUGGGCAUGUACAGCUACCCUUGUCAUUAUUAGAUCUGACUUGAUUGUUUGCAUUCCGGGUUGUUUCAAACACCAAGUUUUGCCUAAUUCGGUUUAGAGUCUUAGGUCAAAUUUGCGACAAUUUUUAAUCCUAUUUCGCACGUGUCCGUAUCAUACGGUGUGUUACAUAUAUUUCAUGUUAACGUACAUAAACCAAUUAUUAAUAGUAGGAAUUCAUGAAAUUUUUAACGAAAGAAUCUAUUUACUCAUUAAUCUAACCUAUAUGGACUAAAUUGCUCAUAUUUUUUGAAUAAAUAAAAUAAAAUGCAAUCAAAUUCUUAAUACAUAACCUUUACCCAAAAGAAUAUUAGUUCCACACCUCUAUAAAUCAAGCCCAAACUAAAAACACAGAGGGUAGGUUUGGAUGGGCGGUGGGAUGCGGUACGGUGCAUGUAGCUUAUUUUUUGUCUUACAUUACAGUAUUUUUACAAUAUUUAAUUUUAUCGCCACAAUUAUUUUUAGACUAACUAUCGUCCAUCCAAACUCACUCUAAAUCACCUAAGCUAAAGUUGCACAUUGUGCCACACUGACCCUGAUAUUUAAGCUAACUUGUUCCAAAAUAAUUCAACUAACAAAAAAAAAGUUGUAUAUCAUUUAUUUGACAGUUACGUGAGAGUUUGUUUUAACUUUGAAAUAUAAAGUAUUCGGAUCUUGAGAUUUUUAAGUUGGAGUUUUGUUUUACAUGAAAAACAUUUAAAAUGUUAUUAUAAAGUUAAUUGGAAUAUAUUCAAAUUUGGAUUAAAAUAAAUUUGAAUAAAGUUUAUACGUGAUGAGACUUAAAUUCAUAAUAAAAUUUAGAUCGAGAAUUCGUAUGUGCAUAAAUACACACGGUGAAAUUAUUAAAAGCAUAUUGAUUUUAUAAAGUAACGUACAUUAUUUCAAGACUAUUUUUGUCUUUUUAUAAUUUAUAUAAAAUGUAGAAUAAUACAUAUACAUAUUAACAGCAUGUUUGGUUGCCAAUACACCCCUAAUCGGUGGGCCUCACUUAUUACGCCUCUAAUCCGUUAUUUGGUUCAAUGCAUUAUUAUUACGGUGCUAAACCGUUACUGACCUAAUCGGUGAAAUCCACCGAUUUCUAAUCCGUCCAUUUUGCUCAGUUUAGGUACUGCUUCACUUUACCCUCCCUGUUUUGCUCCCUUUGUUUCUCACAGUUUCUGCCGAUUUGCUCCCUCUGUUUCUCAUAGUUCUCCACACGCCCACAUCUCUACAAAAAUAACAGCCUUCAAAGUCGGCAGGAUUUUAAGGCAUUUUUAUUUGAGCCCUGUUCUUCUCCUUCUUCCUAGACGUGGGGUUUCCAUUUCCCAGUUCUUCUCAUCCCUUUCUUAAAGUCGGCAUCUUCCUUUGCUUUCUCCACCCAGCACCUUCUUCAAGGUUCCAAGUUCUUUUUGUUUCUCCUUUAAUUUCUGUUGUAUUGAAUUCCAUGGAUGUUAUUUUAAUUUGGAUUUAAUUAUGCCUAUUGAGGUUGUUUUUGCUCUUGAGAAUCAUAAAAAAAUAAUUGGGUCAUUUUUAUUUCAGUUUAUUUUGUGUUCUUUUAGCCUCUAUAGGGUUGUUAAUUAUUAAUCCCUACAUGUUCAUUUGUUUUUCAGUUUCUUUUGAUGGGGUUUUAUUGUUUUAAACGUUGAAAUUUUAUCUAAUAAUGCAAUCUUUCGUAUAUUUUUCAGGGUUUUGAGAGAGGUUGGGGUCGGAUGUUUAAAAUCUAUAUCUGAUAUGUACAACGAAUUAUUUUAUUUUGCUGUUCUUUUGGGCUUGAUAAUGGCUUUAAAGGUCACCAGCUUUUAGCAGUUCUGCUCAUUUACCUUCCGGCAAUUGACAUGACUUGAGUGGCAAAUGUUAUGCUUUUACCUUUUAUAACAUUGAAUUGUAUGCUUGUUGAAUCAUAUUGAAAUGCUAGAUACUUAACUGACUAAACUUGUUUGAAUGUAGGAACUACAGUUCCAUCAAACACCACUACUGCAAUUCUUGCUGCUCCCAAUUUGUCGAAUCCCAUGGCUACAGUUGUUGGUGCUGCUUCAAACCCAUUGUCCAAUCCCAUAGUUUCAAUGGUAGACGGUGUAUCCUCCAAGGUAUUUGAUGAAGUACUGAAAGCAACACCACCUGCUUUGUCAGCAUUUUUGGCUGGCUUGCCUUCUAUCGAGGGUAAUCUUUCAAACUCCUACUGCAGUUGUGCAUGCUGCAAUAUCUAAUGCUGAUGGAUAUUAACCUAUAAUUUGUAGUUGAAUUUGAAUUAUGAUCCAAAAUGCAACAUAUCAAUGAUGAAAUACGGCAAUGCAUCUGCUUGAAUUUCUCUGUCUAGUUGGCCUUUUAAGUCCCUUCUGAUCUGGUAUCCUUGGAAAAUUAUUUGUUUUGCACUCUUGGCAUUUUAAUAUCGUAUUAGAAUAACUAGUUUAUAACUUUGGAGUAAUGAUUCAUUGUAAUUUUACCCAUUUUUAUAUAUUUCUUUAAUUUUUUAAUUCAUCACAAGCUCCAUGCCAUAGGGGCAAAGCUAGAAUCAAAAAAUAAAAAAAGAACCUCAUUGAGGAAGAAAGUUCAGAGAAUAAGGUAAGAAAACCAAAAAAUAUUGCAACUGAGAGAAUAUACAGAGCUAUGUUUCUCCGACUCUUCAUUUUGCUUGAAGUAUCCCUUUUUUAUACCCCUGUCAGAGUCUUCAUUUUUCUUAAAGUAUCUGGUUUCAACACCCAUGCUCGACGAUGAAAGAACCUCUUUGAGAAAGUUAUACAAUAGAUUUUGUUGAAAAAUAUUUGAAGUGAAAAUUUUCAUCAUAGUUUCUGUCAAGAAUACAUUAAAUGGUAUAUGUACAUGUCCACACAAAAAACCAUGUUACUUGGGUUCGGGGAAAGUGUCAAAUAAGGAUAUGGGUAUGGGAUGUGAUCCUUGUAUGAUACCCGUGUGGAUGCAUGUUUGGCCAUCGGUAUGGGAUAUGAUCCUUAAAGGAUUCUUCAAAUAUAUAGAAAAACUUAAAGAAAACUGAAUAUUUCCAUAUCUGACACAUAUUCGUAUCUUGAUAUCCUUAUUUUUUAGGGUUUGUUCUUAUUUGAAUAGCCUUUGUUGUAGCUAUUUGCAAAAUCCUGGUGAUGAACACCUAAGCCUUCAGGGGACAGGGAUAGAUCCCUGGCCAUAAGGAACUCCCUUACCUAUGGUGGGAUAUAUCAUAUAUCCAACUGGAUUGAACACCAUAUAAUUUUAAAGAAAGCGUAGCUAACAUCAUGUAUUGAAAUGCAGCAAAGGAGAAGUCACCGCAGCUAGAUGAUGGUGAUUCAGGAUUUCCUCCCCGUGACGAUGAUGGUGGUGAAGGUGGCGGGGGAGGUGGUGGGGGCAACUGGUCAGGUGAAUUCUUCCUUUUCGGAUUCCUCGCGUUUCUAGGCUUCUUAAAGGAUAAAGAAAGCGAAGAAGAUUACCGGGAUAGCCGAAUAAGAUGAUGAGAGAUUCUCUACAUAUUGAUAACAUUUUUAAAACCUAUAUUGCAUGUUGUUCUUCAUGUUAUAUACUUUUGAGAACCCAAUGCAUAUCGUUCUUCAUGAUAUAUUUCUAUUUUUGGAACCAAUUGCAUAUUUGAACCAUUUGUAGACUUAAUUCAAACAUGCAAAUAUAUUUAGUUAAAAAAGGACUAAAUUAAAUAUCAUCUAUACUUAUUAUAAAGUCUAUAUUUCUAUUCUCGUGACAUCAACUCAAUCAGUAUAGAUAUAAAUAAACAAAAGAUGUCACCAACAAAAGAUAAACAAAAGAUGCAGAAUGUAAUUUUCAAGUUAUAUUUUGAUUUUAGUAAAUUCAUAUAAGAACAUUUUAUUAUUAAAUUAUAUUUAAUAUUAAUUAUUUUAAAUUAUAUAAAUUCAUAUAAGAAAAUUUAUUAUCAAGAAUUUUAUGAAAUUAUAUAUCAUUAUUAAAUUAUAUUUAAUAAUAAUUAUUUUAAAUUAUAUAAAUUCAUAUAAGAAAAUUUAUUAUCAUGAAUUUUAUGAAAUUAUAUAUUAUUAUUAAAUUAUAUUUAAUAAUAAUUAUUUUAAAUUAUACAAAUUCAUAUAAGAAAAUUUAUUAGUUAUAAUAAUUUUAAAUUUUAUUAAAUCAUAUAUUUUAAUUAAAAUAUAUUUAAUAUUAAUUAUUUCAAAUUAUAUUUUAUAGUAUCAUAUAUUAUGAUUUUAGUAAAUUCAUAUAAGAAUUUUGAUUAUUAAGAAUUUUAUUAAAUUAUAUAUUUUAAUUAUAAUAUAUUUAAUAAUAAUUAUGUUUAAAUAUGAUUAAAUUAUUUAUUACUGAUGUUAAUAAUCUUAUUAAAAUUUAAAUAACAAUAACAAUAAUCAUUUACCCAACAAAUUUAUGCUAAGGGUAUUCUAGUCAUUUUAGUUUUUUCCAUUAUGCUAUUACACCUCUAUUCCAUUCAACCAAACACAAAAAUGCUAUUACGCCUCUAUUCCAUUCAACUAAACAAUUGAUUUGCUAUUACGCCUCUAUUCCAAUACAACGAACCAAACGUGGCCUAAGAUUUGAACUCAGGAUAUCGCAGUUUUCACUGUCUAAAUUUUAUCAAUUCAAUCAAAGUUACAUUUGAUUUUUAUAUUAAUUUUUAUAAAUUUGUUACAUUUUUUUUCACUUACAAGCGUGUCAUAAUCUAGUAUUAAUUACACAUUUAAUUAAUCAAAUAUUAUAAUUAUAUAAUUAUACUUGUAAUUAUUUUUUGUAAUAACAAAUGAUUAAAAUAUGUUGUAAGUCUUUGUACUCUUUGUAAAUUUGAAAUUUAGUCUCUUUGCUUUUUUAAUUUCAAGAAUCAGGACCAAUUUUAAAUACUGUUACAAUUAUUUUAUUAAUUUCAGGUUCAUUAUAAUAUAAACUUUUUCAGUUACGAUGCUACUAAAUGAGUGUUUUUUAUUUCAAAAUGUCACACUAAUAAAUUCAACAAAAAAAUUAACAGUGUUAAUAAUUUAAGAUAAAAUUUGAAAUAUGAAAAAUAAAAAAUAUUAAAAUAUUAAAAAUAAAAAUACAAAAAUUAUAAAUUUAACUAAAAUCUAAAAUCAUGAAGAGUAGAAGGAGGCAUAUGUUAAACAUAAACUUGUCCAUGGGUCGGGUCGGGUCUUAACAAAAUUUUAAGUAUUUUAAGUUUGUUUGAUAGGCUCGAGUCUGGUCUAGCCCACCCGUAUUAAAUUUUUUUACAUUAUUUUUUAUAUAAUUUAAAAAAUACAUCACAAACACUAAAAAAAUUAAAAUAAAUAUUUCCCGAUAAAUUGAAAAAUAAAUAAACUACUAGCAAAACUAACAAUAAAAUAAGAGUUAUAAAAUAUCCAAACAAUAAUAAAAUAUUAGCAACAUAAUAAUUAAAUAACAACAAAACAAUGAGAAAAUAACAAGAAAAUAAUAAGAAAACAAUAAUUUUCCUUUUAUUUUACAACUUCGACUUGAAAUAGGGUCUUAUUUGAGACUCGACCUAUUUUCUAAACAAAUAUUAUUUUAUUAUUUAAAUUUAUUUUUUGAGUCCAUAUUUUUAUUUAAAUAGUAAUUAGGGUAAAACUAUAAAACGGAAAAACUCAUGAAAAAGUAUCUUGAAAAGCUGACAGUAGGUGGGCCCAACCCAUUCAUGCGUUACAAUCUUAGUAGUAAAUAGUAAACUGAAAAAAAAUGUUGCCAUUUUGCAUUUGAUCUUCUUCUCCUUUUAUUUUUUCCUAUAUUGCCCAUCUGAUUCUAUAUUUCUUAUCUGUUUCAAAUUAAAGCAGCCAAUUCCAAUUAUUCAACAAAUCUUUUUAAAAACUAAAAAGAAAUUCAAACAAUUUCAUCUUUCGUUCUUCUUCUUCUUUAUGAAAAUCUAAAAUUUGCAGAGCUGGAUCGUUAUGGCUAUCAAAAUCCCAGCCUUAGGAUCAAUGUAAGUAUCUGUUUUUCCUUUCUAGCAAUUCUUUUUUUAAAAAAAAAAAGUUUAAAUCUAUUUCUUAAUUCUGUAGAUUACACUUUUAUCGUCUCAGUUACUGAUUGUUCCUUUUGGUAGAUUUUUAAAUUCUUCAUGGAAACCUAAAAUUUCUUGCUGGAAAUGAUGAAAUGUGAACAUGCAUGAUGCAAACUUAGUUAUUGAUUACUUCUUUAAUUUUCAAUUUUUAAAAUAGAAUCACUGUUGCGUUCUUCUUAGUUACUUUUUAUUUUUCCAAUGAAUUUGGUUGUAGAUACAUCGAGUCAUGCAGGAGGCAUGGUGUUGCACCGAGAACUGGAUUUUUAUCUGCUCUCUUUAAGGUUUGUUCCGAUACGUACUUAGAUUUUCAUGUUCGAAAAUGUUACGAAGUUGCAUGCAUAUUUGUAUGUUUUCCAGUGCCUUGGAAUGAACUUUGAAUGUUGAGAAUUUAGACAAAAUGCGCUCGGAGCUUCUGAUCAUUAGUCUAGGAGUCUCAAAUUGGUUUGCCAGGCUUGUGAUUCUUCUGAUCAUACAGUCGUGCUGCCAGUGUAUUUCAAUUAGAGAGCUGAAUGCUCUUUACAGCUUCGUUGUCUUGUGAGAGUGGCAUUUUAGUUAUCCUGCUCAGAGUAGCAAGAAAUAUGUUUGGCGUCAUGCUUAAUAGUUCUAAGCUCUUUUUCUCAGACCUCUUUCAGGUGGUAGUAGGUAAGGAAGGAUUAAUUUCUGUUGUUCGGUAUAGUGCGGUUGAGAUGUUCUAGGAGUUGGAUUUUGGGGCUCAGUCUUAUUACAAAAUGUUUGAUUGUACACAGUGCACCUUAUCAUCCAUCUAAAAGCUCAGGCGUGCUGUUUAUGCUUAGUUUAUCUAUAAUCAUGCAUGAAGUGAUGCUUCUAGGUGAAUCCUAACAAUGGAGGACUUAGUGAAGUGAAAAAGUUAUUUAGCUGGUUCUAUAGCUUACAAGUGAUCCAAAGACACAGAAAUUGGUUAGUUACAACUAAACAUGGUUAGUGAUGUUGAAUGAGUAAAGAAUGCUCUAGAAAUCCAAAGACCUUGAAGCACAUGCCUAAAAUGUUUGAUAAGUCUCGAAUAUGAAGAAAUAUCCAAAGCUCCCUAUAACUUCAACUCAGGUUAUUAACAUCCCAGUGUUUAGGUAAUAAGCUUAGAAAUGUAAUAUGAAUAAUCCAAAUAAUGUAGUCCAUAUUGUUGUUUGGUGUAGCUUUAGGUGUGUCUGUUAAGGUGGCCCCGGGGAGGGGGGGGGGUUGGCACCCUUUGGUACUAUUGCACAAGUCUCUGUGGUAAAAGAUGGCAAGCUGUUAUAAAGUCUAGUUUGAAUGUUUUUAUACUAACAUCAUAUCCAAAUUUUUGGCUCAAAGGACCGUGUUCUUUCUCUUUAUCAUAUGUGGCAAAGAGAUUGAUUUCUAUGGUUAAAUAUGAUAAACACUAACUACAUCUUCAUAUCUCCUUGGAUUUCUUGAGCUGAAGAAACAUAAUUUUCCUUUCUUUUUCAGUGUCUGUUUAUAAUUAUUUUGCUGAUGUCUGUGCAAGUUAAAUUAGAUAAAUACUUUUCUCUUGGUUGAACUUUUCAGGCUGAUGUUAAAAAAUCCCGCCAUGAGUUAUGUGUACUGGAGAUUUUAUUGGACCAUGUGAAGGAUGUUGAUUUUCAUCCACUUCUUGAAGUGACUACAAGAAUUGGUGAUUCUGAGAUUGAAGCAGUUGAUGUGCUCAAUGAAUCAUCUUGUGCAUUGAAUGGAGAAUAUGCUUUAGUUCUGAUACGAUCUAUUGAUCAGAAACUUCGGAUAGUUGAUCUCCAGGAUUUGUCAUUUGGGAAGGACUUCUUGUGGUAUAAAACAACGUUUAUUAUGCAUUAGUAUUCUUUAGUAAAGUAUCUGAUUUUAUACUUGUUUUAAUGUGUCAGACUUUAUAUUUUUGUUGCCACUCUUCUUAGGGAUAAUAGAAUCGUGAAGUUGUAAAAGUUUGUCUGGAGAAAAUAACUUUAUUGGCUUAACGUGUUGAAACAUUUUCAAACUAAUUAUAAUAAUUUAUGAUUUAAGUGGUACUUCUACCAGUGAUAUUUUAUGAUACUUAAUCUACUUGUGUGUAUUUCAGGAGGUAAGUCUCUGCUUUUAGGAUCUCAAUAGGGAAAGUGUAUAUUUUGAGAAAAGAAGAAAAGAAAAAAUGGUAAAUAAUGCAAUUAGCUAAUACAAUUUAAUGCUUUUGGAAAUGUUAACCUCGGUUUCCCUUUUUAUAAUCAAUCGUGUAGCAUAAUCCCCCAUAUGGUAGGAUAAUGAUUUCUCCUUUUUUUUUUCUUCCUUCGAAAAUGUAGUCAUCAAUGACCAAAGGCUCUUGGUCAUGAUCACACAAGAAACUAUUAAGCUAUUUGUCGUUGUCUUUGGGUUUGGGUAGUGUUGUGAAGAACCUUAACCAAGCCUAAGGUUUUAGUGAGUUGAAACUUGACAACUUGAAAGAGAAUAGAAGAGAACAAUCUACAACCAAAUAACGUUCUCCUUGAGAUGUGUGAGAACGUGUAAAACAGAUUUUAUACAGACUUGUAUUGGCACUGCUUGUGACCAAUACAAACCCAAAUAUUCUUGUCAAGCCUCAAUAUAGAAAAUAAUAAGAUAAAAGCAUUAAAGAGCUUGUUCUUUUACUUAUGGUACUUUUUGAGUAACCUAAAUAUCUAAUGAUUGACAUUGCUGAUUAAAUUUCACUUUUUGCCUUUAUCUUCUCUAUAUCAUAUGUCUUGGAUACUCUUUUAGGCAUAGAUAGAGUAAUCAGGUGCAUAGGAUGGCAAUUUGUUUUAGUUUUAGCUUUAGGUUAUGGUAUGGUUCAUUUUUCCAAUUUUUCCAUGUAUUUGAAGGAUCCUUAGAGGUCAUAUCUCCUUAUCCAUGAGUUGAACACAAAGUGUCAGAUACCGGUACUUCAUAAAAAAUGUAGAGUCCGAGCAACAUAAUGGGUUAGCACUAUGUUGGCAUGAUUUUUGCCAUGGCCAAUGGGGAUUGGCAAUGGAGAAUGUGGUUUCUGUUACACGUGUCCUACAGAAGAUCAUGAUUUUUGGAUCCUUCGUUAUCCAUUUAUUGAUGGAGCUCCACUUUUCCGUAGAAUAAUUUGGAAAUUUAUAUAUUUUCAGUAUUCACCCUUUAUUUUAUUUUGAAUAUUUCAAUAACAUGUUUUUGUUUGAAAAGAAUCUUUUGACGUUAGCCUUGGCAUGCAAUAAUCGGAUGCAUGUUCAAAUUGUAAGAAGGUAAUGGGAGAAAAAAGAUGAGGUUAUUGUACUCUUCUUUGAAUUUGUUCUACGAGUUCUAAUAACAUAGUUCCUUUCUAUAUUGCUUGGUACAAUAUUUUGAAGGUGAUAUUCAUCUGGGAUUUUUUCUAAAUAAUAACCAUCUAGCAGGGUGUAGGUUCAUACGAAUCUUAAGGUAUUUAUGGUAAUUUCGAAAAUCAACUGGGGUGAUAAAAAUCAAGAAGUAGGACGAUAAUUGACAUAAAAGGAAAUUGAUUAUCAUAUUAAACUCUCCAUUCAAUAUAUAAGGAAAACCAGUGAGUUCUCGAUAGUAACGCAUUAAUGUUAUCUAUGUAUCAUGUAUUUAUGUUGAAACAAUGGUUAGUGAAGCUUUAGACAGGUUUCCUUUCUUGAUAGUUCCCUCCGAAUUUUCAGCUUGUAGUCUUUCAUAAUGUAGUAGUAAGUAAUCAUUAAAUUCUAUAGUUACGUGAGGAUAUUUGGAUGAAAUACUAAAUCAAUGCAACUAGAAAAAUCGAUUAGCAUUAUAUGCUUUUCGACACGUGUUAAAUGUUUAUUCAAUGUAACCGAUCUUUGUGAAAAUGACGUCAACAUUGUCGAAGAAGUUAAACGUACCUUCUAGAUUUGAUCAUAUAGUUGUCAUUUAGCUAAAAGUGGCUAUAACUUGUCGUUUUGUUAUAUUUAGAUCGGCUUAGACGGGGAUUUCAUUUGUCAAUAUGGCUUUAGAAAGAUUUGGCUCUUUUUCUCCUUCUCUCUUCCUUUCACCGUCACCGUUCUUCUUCUUCUGCUGCUGCUACUUGAAUAAAUUUUCAGGUUCUAGCAUCACUAGGAACCCUUUGUUCCUUUAGGCUUACUAUUUCUCUUUGCGAACUAAUCUUUAAUGACUACUAUAAAUGCUAAUGCAUAUUUGAAAGAUAUGAAUUAUCUCUGCUUGAGAGGCCUUUGGAAAAGCUCUUAUCACUGUUCUCAUGAAUGUAACAGGAAAACUCCCGUUUCUUUCUUGGUUUCUCAUUUUCUUCUAGCUGUUUUCGAUUUGCAAAUGGUUGAGUGCACAGAGUGCUUCUGUUAGCCUCUAGUAGAUGACAUGUCAAGGAGCUGACUAUCUGUACCAACUGGAGCGAUUAGUUUGAUUUGUCACAGUCAAGUUUAGAGUUUGCUGUGGCUCUUGUUAGAUUGGGCCUCUCCACAUGUUCCCAUUUGGUUUAGGUUGGAUGCUUAGCAGUUACAUUAAUGAUUUCUUCUUGGUCAGCUUAUGAGAGGGAUUAGAAAUACUUCAAACAUUCACAUUUUGAUAGCUGCUAGAUUUUCUUUUGGCAAUGUUUCAAUUAUAACUGAAGCUGAAUGAGUGCUGUUGCAUAAUUUGGAGAUGCCUGAAUAUGGUGAAUAUUUUGGGCCAUUAUUAUGUUAAAUUAGUUUCUUCUUUCUCUAUUUUGCUUAAGUACCCAUUUUGUAAGUUGUGUUACACUUUCUUGAUUACCGCCCCUUAGUUUUGUGCUAUCUAGAUGAUGCAUGUUAUGAUAGUUGCUUUAUCUCUGUUGGAAAAUUUUGUGAAGUUAAUAAAUGGUUUUAUAUGUCUUCGAUUUUUUUUAACUAAUUUGGGUUAUCAUUUAGGGAUGUUUCUCAACGAGGGCUACAAUGCCAAGUUCUAAACUUGAGGUCUUCGCAUUUUCGGAAGCUCAACUUGGUGGGCGAAUUUUUGCGGUUGCACACCCUUAACCUUGACUAUAGCACCAUGCUCAGUAGCUUUCGGGAGGAUUGUUUUUCUUCCAUGCCGAAUCUGAUGUGUCUCUCAAUGUGUGAGACCAGAAUUUCCAACUUAUGGACUACAAUUGCUGCACUUUCCAAACUUCCUUCUUUGGUGGAGCUUAGGUUUCAAAACUGGAUAUGCUGCAAUGAUGUUGGAUCCUCUGGAUCUUCCGUUGGUGAUGAUCAAACUGGACCCAGUCAGCUGAGCAAUGCAUCUCACCUUGAGAUGCCACCUAUUAGUCUUAAUUUACUUAUAGAUCUUGAUGUCAUGACUGAACAGGCAAUAAGAAAUUUGCUUCCAUUCAGUAUGAAUCAGAAUUUUCAAAACACAAAUGAGGACUCUUCGGAUGAUAGUGAAGUAGAUUUUUCUAUUCACCUGGAGAAUGACCAAUUGGACUCAUCACACAGUGCACCUCCUGGGUGGAACAGAGAAAUCAAUCUACCGAGUGAGGUGAAUCUAUGGCCUCUAAUCACCAGGUUCUUUAGCUGUUUUGUUUAUAGCAUACUGUGGGGUAUUAAGGUGCUAAAAAAAUGAAGUUUUUGGUUUGUUGUUUAAUGUGAUAAUGGUAUCAAGGAGAAAUAAUUUUGUUUGCCACACAGAUAAUUCCUGAUAUGCUAGUUAAAUUCUCCUAAGUUAGUAGUUAUUUUUAAUAGUAUUUCCUUAUCAUUUCUCAUAAUCUCUAUCUUAAUAUUAGGUGAAAUUUCCCUUAUUUUAUAGCUCAGAAAUAAAUGAGCAUAUGGUAGGAUUUAGUUCUGGCAUUCACUCUAAAUUCCUAGUAGACUCAUUGACUAUGAGAGUUUCUUUGGAUUGUCUUGUUUAACAUCUUUCUUCUAAAGCCUUGGUUUUGAUAAUCCUUGUAUGUUGUUCUGAUUCAUUUGGCAGGCUACUUCUGCUGCUUUGUCAAAUCAAAAUGGAGAAGAGUCUUCUGAAGGUGCCAUCUCAGGGCAUGUUGCAGAUGUUUCAUUCAAGUACAUUUCUGAACAUGCUUCACCAAUAUGCUUUGAGCAACAUUAUAGGGAGUUCAUGAUAGCUUCAAUACCCCAGUUGAGAGUUUUGGAUAACUUACCUAUCAGAAAUAUUGAUAGAGAAAUGGCUAAUCUGACUUUCUUUAAACAUUUUGAGCGCCUACCUUAUAGAAGAAGCGACAAAGAAAGUGUUGUUAGUAUAUUGCAGAAGCGAGAAAUUAGAGCAAUCCCUUCUAGCUUCCGGACACAAAAGCAAAUGCCAAUGGAUCCUGUUGGGAAGUCGCAACAUUCUUAUGCCCGAUCUCUCUGUGCUGCAAAAAUGGGAUCUUCAGCUUGGCCAUAUAUGCAUUCACUUUCUAUUUCAGGCAAUGAUUUGGGAGAUGAAAACGGUAGCUUUCGUCCAAGGCAGUUUGAAUAUCAUCCGACUAACUCUAGCCUAAUGGUCUUUGGAACUUUAGAUGGUGAAGUAGUUGUUGUCAACCAUGAAAAGCAGAAAAUUGUUAGUUACAUCCCUUCAUUUGGGACAAUGAAUAGCGUGUUGGGGCUCUGUUGGCUCAAGCAUUUUCCCUCUAGGGUGAGUAAAUACUAUGAUGUGCUCCUAAGAGAGGUUAAAUUAUAGUGCUCUCUAACUUCAUAAAUGCGUUUGCCUACUUUAUUUCCUUUUCCUUUUGAAAUUUAUUGUUUUAGUAGAAAGUAAACACUCACCACUUUAGAGAUCUUAACAAUUCUUCUAAAUUUCAUUCCUCAGUGCCAACUGACUGAGUUUUACCUUUUUCAUUCAGCUGAUAGCUGGUUCAGAUAAUGGCUCACUGAAGCUGUAUGAUAUUCAGCAUUUCCCAUCAACUUCCAACGGCUUGCGUACCGCUAGUUCUGUCACCUUUGAUGAGUUUGAUCAAUUAACAUCUGUUCAUGUUAACUCUACGGAUGAACUCUUUCUUGCAAGUGGGUACUCAAAAAACGUGGCUCUGUAUGAUAUCAACAGUGGAAGACGGUUACAAGUGUUCACUGAUAUGCACCAAGAACACAUUAAUGUAGUCAAGUUUUCGAACCGAUCCCCAUCAAUUUUCGCUACUUCAUCAUUUGAUCAGGAUAUUAAGAUGUGGGACUUGAGACAGAAGCCAAUAAGGCCUUGCUACACUGCUACAAGUUCUAAAGGAAAUGUGAUGGUCUGCUUCUCGCCAGAUGAUCACUAUCUUCUCGCCUCAGCUGUUGACAAUGAGGUAAUUUUUAUAAUAGCUAAUAGCAUUAGUUUGAGUGUCUGUGCUAAUCUUGUUCUAUGUAUUUGAACAUUGAGUUUCAUACUUGGUCUAUGAUUAACCUGGUCCUUAAAUUCUGGACUUAAAAAUAAUUGGAUAGAUGAGGCUAUGAAACCACUGAUUGAGAAUAAAUUUAACUAGAAAUUCCAACUAUGAUUUCACCAAUUUUGUGAAAGAUUUUCUGCGAAUAGAUUUUUAGUUUUGCCAUUAUAGGCAUUUUCAUUUUCCACCUAUAUUUCAUUUUUCAGUUUUGAAUCUUACCUCUCCAAGAGGGUGGAUUCAAGUUAACCAGCCAAUAAAUACAAAUUUAGCUGAUAGCACUCUUACAAACUGCCACUUUGGCAGGGUCAUAAUUUGGGUAAUGACUCUCGUGGUUGUGGAAGUGCCACCAUAUUGUACUUCUAAGAGAAUCUAUAUCCUAGUUUCCGUUCCAUUGAACUUGAAUAUCUCAGUUUUUGUUUUUCUUUGGCCAAGACUUGCAAAACUCAAUUGAAAUGCUCUCUUCUUAUUUCGUUAGUUUAAAUUUGGAAUUAAAAUUUUCUUAAUUGUAUUUUGCAAACAUUUAUUCCUUUUCUAAGAAUAUGCCAUUUAAAGGAACCUUUACUUUGAACUUUUAUUAUUGUUAUUAUUGAAGUACAUAUUGGUAUGAUUUUGGUUUGAAAUGUUGACAUUGACAGGUAAAACAGCUCUUGGCUGCUGAUGGAAGCCUUCACCUGGAUUUUCAGAUACCUGCUACUGGCAGCUCGCAAAACUACACUCGUUCCUACUACCUGAAUGGUAAGGACUAUAUUAUAAGUGGGAGCUGUGAUGAGCAUGUUGUCCGUGUUUGCUGUGCUCAAACUGGGAGGCGUCUCAGGGAUAUUUCUCUGGAGGUACACGUGUCUUUAAAUUUGCACAUAUUUUGUGCUCCGUAAUUUAUGAAAUAUAGAUCAGUAUGGAGACACGUGCCCAGCAUGGACCAAAAUUUAAAGACAGGAUAUGCUUUUGGAUAGGUUGCUAAAUUAUAGGAUCGGAUGGAACAUGCUUAACUAUAGUUAUGUGGUUUUUAGGGAUAUCCGCAAGUGAAAUGAUCUAUAAUACGACAGGAAUAAGCCAAAAUAGUUUGUAGGAAUAAAACUUUUAAGAUUUGAACUGGGGCUGAUUUGUUUGGUUUUAAAAUUUUGCUAUACUAGAAAAUCAUUAUAUUAAGGCAAAGAAUCUAAAAGCAGAAUAGGAGAUAGGAACCAAAAAAUGUCAAAAGUCAAAAGACUGCUGAUGAAGAGAAAGCCAGAAACCAAGAAACUAGGCUGCAGUUCGAAAAUUUUAAAGUCAAAAGUAGCAUAGGAUAUUAAUGCAUUCAUCUUGUGCAGGGAAAAGCUUCGGGGAGUUCAAUGUUUGUGCAAUCACUGAGGGGGGAUCCCUUUAGGGUGAGUUAAAUCAUUUUUCUAGUGAUACUUUAUAUAUUGACAUUUAAAUUUUUUUUGUGGAUAUUCUUUCCCACCUUAGUGUACUUUUUUGUUUUAAUCUUUGUUAAAUUGACCAAUCACAAACAUUGCAUGUCGCUGCUAGUGUUCUGGUGACCUUGUUCUCUUGUUUGUUUCUUGUGGAUGUCAACUAUGAAUUACAUGUCUGGAAGCACAAUUCAUAAACCCAUCGUUUCUCAGAUAAUUUAUGAAUCUGGUACACGGAAGAGCAGUCUAUUUUCUAGGGAGUUCCUUAUAUUAAUGAAAAUUCGAAUCAAAUAGCAGAUUGAUCUUGGUCAUUAUAACUAAAUACAUAUAUUUUAGUGGCUAUGAUUAUAUCUUAGGGGUGAAUUAUCACUCUUGGUGCUUCUUCAUAUUUGGCUUUUCCACUUAUUAAUUUUCAAAUAUCCCUGCUUCCAGCCUUUCAACAUGAGCAUAUUAGCUGCCUAUACUCGACCAAGCUCGAAAUCUGAAAUAGUCAAGGUAUAUUAUAUCUCACUGUCUCGUUUUUUUCUUUAUAUGGCCGGGUGUCUCAAUCUUACAUUGAUGCUUGAACCCCAUUUCUUUCAGGUCAAUUUGCUGGCUUCUUCAGAGUGUAACAAGGAAGCUUCAUCUGGUGGGAGCUCUUUCCCAUUCAAUAGCAUGGGAGGUUAAUUUAUGUAUACAUACAAAAGCUACAGUAUCUAUCUUCUGCUACUUUAUGACUCUAUAGGUUGAACAAUCACAGUUUAUACAGGUCAGCAUAUAGUCAAUGCUAACUAUUAAAACAUUGUAAAAUCGAUAAUAUAGAUUAUUAUCGAAUAUACUAGCAAUGAAGUUUUUUAACUCCACAAACCGAAUUAAAAAAUUGUCACAUGUCCUUAGUAUAUAUUUUUAAAAAAAUAAAAAAUUAAAGAUAUGGAGAUGUGGCUGUUUUUUAAUCUAGUUUGUGAAGUUAAACUACUCAGUUGUUAAGUGUAUGGAAUAACAGUCUGAUGUUAUAUCUACAUAAUGUAGGUAACUGAACAAGGGUCUUUCUGUUGCUCUGGAACAUGUUAUUUAAAUGCAACUCUUUCUAAGACUUGAAUGCUUUUUCUCUUUGUUGGGUUAAGCUAAAAUCAUGAAUUCCUACAAAAACUAUAUUGAUUAGGUUAAACUAUGCAUAUGGUCCCUGUACUUUUCAAAAGUUAGGAAUUUAGUCUUACUUUUUAGAUUUCAAAAUUUAGGUUCAAGUUGUUACCACUAUUUUUUUUUGGUUAAAUUCAUUGUUGGGACAUUUAUAAAAAAAAACUAUUCACUCAGUAGCCAUCUAAUUCAAAAAAAAGAUAUUGUAAUUAAAUUGGAUUUAAUAAAUAAUUGAAACUGAAUUUUAAAAUCUGAAUUAAAUUUUUGGAAAUACAAAUACAGUGACUAAAUUUUGAAUUUUUUAAAAGUACAGGGACAAUAGGCAUAUUUUAACCUAUUGUUUAUAGACCUCAUAGUAGCAAUGAUUAUUGAUAAUUUUGAUAUUAAACAUUAGAAAUCAUUGUCCAUAAUCAUGCAGACAUGUUUAGGAUUUGUCAUUUUGCUUCGUACAUAAAAAGUUUAUUUUUGCCAUGCUUAAGUCAAACAUGAAGUUUAAAUUUGUACAUGCCAUUUGCCAACACCAUAUGUGAACCAAUGAUUAAGAAUUUCGCAUCACAUCUGUAGAUUAGAAAGAGAACCAGUCAAGUGUUCUUCAAGGUCGGGAAUUAGAUGGUGGAGGUUUAACUAAAAAUUUAGGGGUUAAUGAGAAUUUUUUUAAAAAGAAAAAGCAGUUUAAUUAAAGUUUUAAAAAAUUUUGAGGGUUUGAUGAGAAUUUUUAAAAAUUUAGAGGGUUUAAUUGAAACUUUUCAAAAAUUUGAAAGGUAUAAUAAUUUUUUAAAAAUAUUUUAGGGGUUUAACUAAAAUUUUUGACAUAUUUUGAAAAUUAAUAAAACUUUUGUGGGGUUAAGCUCCCUAUUAAGGAGUUUAAUUAUCCUCCUUUUAUUUUGUUUUCCUUCAUGUUUAAAUUAAUCAUUACAAAAGAAAAAUUAUUAGAGGGUUUUUUUAAUAAUCUGAUCAUAUCUGUUUUUUUUUUUACACAACUCUUAAAACUUUCUAUUGUCUCUUUCCAACUCAUUAAUAGGAAUCAGCGUAUUUGAACUCAUGUUCUCUUGCAUUGGUAACAAUGCUCAUGCCAAUCGAACUAAAACUCGACCGGCUUCUCAAAUAGAGUUUUAAGUAACUUGCAAUUACGCAUAUCUUUGUUAUAUGUAUUCGAGUUAUAGUUUUCGGUUUGAUUAUUAUUUAAAUGUAUUCAGUUUUGGGUUUUAUAAAAUAAAAAACAAUUAUUUUUUAAUUGAAUUAAUUUCAACAAAAAAUAAAAAUAAUGCUUGAAGAGUAUAAAACACUAUUUUGAGGCUCAAUUUUCAUUUUGUAUUAAUUAUUCUAAGUCUCAUAAUAGCUUAUAAAUAAAAAUCAAUAAACUUAGAAUAAUAAAAUUAUUUAAAUCCCAUGGGAUAAGUUAUUUUGAAAUAACAUUGAUAUUUAGUACAAAUAUGUUUAACAAUUUAACAAUAACAGUCGAUCGAGUCUUAACUUGAUUAGUAUGAGUAUUGUUGUUAAUAUAUGAUGGCAAAGGUUCGAGUGUACUAAGCACAUUAUCUUUCUAUUUAUGGGUUAAGGAGGAAUUAUGGAUAGUUGUAUCAGAAUCUAUAAUAAAAUUGUUAACAGAAAUAAUUUAACACGAAGAAAGUAGGCGCACAAACGGAGAAAAAGUGAAAAAAAAAACCAAAGGAAGAAAGGAAAAGGAAUAUAGCAAUUAACGAAAAGUCUAAAACACACCGUAUGGACAGUGCUUGAAGUUGAAACCCACCGCUCCCUCAUUAUCUGCCAUUAAACCUCCUCCUUACAUCUCAUUCAGUGCACACUCCUUUUUGCCUUUUGCUUUCCUCAUAUCUAUAUAUACACACACACACAGUUCACUAUUACACUCAACAUCUCAAACUACUUAACACCAUUAAAUAAAAAGAAUGAAGGUCUUGUUCGCAACAUUGCUGGUUUGCUCUCUUCUACUAUGUUCCUCAAUUUUGGAACCAGUCAUGGCACAGCCUCGGUCACGUAAUAUUGUUAAUGAUAAUAAAUAAUAUUACCACCUUUUUCUUUUUUGAAUUGCUUCAAGCUUUAAAACCUUGUGUUGUGUUGUUGCAUUGCAGCUUCAUGUGCGGGGAAAUGCAAGGCGAGGUGCAGGAAAGCAGCGGUGUGGGAGCGGUGUUUCAAGUACUGUAGGAUAUGUUGCGAAAAGUGUAAAUGUGUGCCAUCGGGAACUUAUGGGAACAAACACGAGUGCCCUUGCUAUAGAGACAUGGUCACCAACAAGGGCAAACCUAAAUGCCCUUGAACUCACAUUUUCUCUCUUAAUUUCAAAAUAAUAAUGAUGAUGUGUGGAGAUUUCCAUGGCAAGACAUGUCUUUAUAUGUUCAUGAAAAUAAUUGUUCUUGCUAUUUAAUUUAUGUUUAUAGUAGUAUUUAAUCUAUAUAAUCAUUGUCGGGUGGAGUAUCUUAUUUUAUAUUUAUAUUUCAGUAUUUAUGCAAUAUAUUUUAUAUUUAAAAAUUCGAGAAGCAUGAAGCGGCGGAACUUAAAAAAAUAUUUUAGACGAAAUUAAAUUGUAUAUAAUUUUUAAAAGGUUAAAUUAAAUAUUUAUUAUGUUUGGGGAGUCAAAAAGUACAAUUUUAUUAUUACUAAUUUAAAAUUUUAUAAAUUAUAAGGAGCUUAAAUUAAAAUUUUACUAUUUUAGGGGCCUCUACUAAGCUCUGCCACUGUAUAUGUAAUAAAAAGUAUAAAAACUUUUAGGAUAGUUAAAAUUUUGAUGAAGUGAAUUCAAAUAUUUGUGAAUAUUUGAUUUAAUUAAUCACUUGCCCAAAGCUCAAAGGCUUGUCCAAAAAAUUGAAAGGUUUGAACAAAAUACGAGGCCUGAAAAAUAGAUUUGGGUAAAUUUCAAGACUCAUUUUCUAUAUGGAUUGGGCCUUGGACAAAAUUUUUUGGCCUGAACUUGACUCGACCUGGCCUGGAUAUAUUAUAUUAUAAAAAUAUUACAUUAAUUAUAUAUUUAAAUAAUAAUUAUAUAUUUAUAUUUAUAUUAAAUCACUAACUGAAUAACAAUUAAAUUCAUUACCCAAAAUCUAAAAAAAAAAUUAUCCAACUAAAUAACCCAACCCAAAAUAUAAAUUUUAAAAAUUAUAUUUAAUACAAUAAAAUAUUUAUUUAUUUUUUAAUACAAACAUUUGUUAUAUUUAUGGUAGUGUUUUUUAAUAUAAAUACUUUUUAAUGUGUUAAAGAACUCUUAUUUUAACCUUUUUUUAGUACAUUUAGUGUAUCAUAUAUAUUUUAAAUAAAAUUAAUCUAAAAUAUCAAAUAUGGGCAGACCCAGAUUUACCUUUCUUAAAUUGGGUCGGGUUUGAGCAAAAAAAUAAGCCUAUUUUUUGGGUUGAGCUAGACCCAGGCUUGAAACAUUGGUCUAGAUACCUUGUAUGGGUCUAGCCCAAACCCGACUCGACUCAUUAGCUCAUUUUAUAUUUACGAUAUGUUUUAUUUUUACGGAUAAUAAAUAUGGAUAUUCAAAUUCAUUAUGUUUUUUAAUUUUUUAAAAAAUAUAUUUUUAUAAGUAUUAAAAUAAUAUUUAACGUAUCCUAAUAUAUAUGAUGAAUAAUUUUAUUAAUUUGGUUCAUAUAAUAAUAUUUAAAGAAUAAAAAAAUUUUGUAUUUCUCUUGCACGAUAAUUUUUAGAAUUGAUAUGUUAUUUAGCACAUGAGUUUGGUUAAAAUGUUCAAUUUGAUAUACGAGUCUCUUUAACCUAAUUUAGUACUUGAUUUUGGUUUCAAUAUUCACCCUGGUACUUGAGUUUUCUUUUGUCCUAACUAAGUAUUUGAGUUUGGCUUUAAUAUUUAAUUUGAUAUUUAAAUUUUUUUUGUCGUACCUAUGUUUUCCUUACUAGGGUACAUAUGUAAACACAUUAAUUGGGACACAUGAUUUUAUUUAGCCUAUGUACCAAAUUGACCAUUGAAAUCAAACUCAAAUGUCAAAUUGGGAUAAAAAUUUAGUACCAAAUUGAAUAAUGAAACCAAAUUCAGGUACCAAAUAAUAUAUUAACUCUAGUUUUUAUUUGGAUUGCUGUGAUAAGAAACCGGGCCAAAAGCCCAGACAUAAUUUAUCCGGCCCAAACUUUUAAAACAAAAACGACGUCGGCUACUCCACCUACUCCACUGUUUUCAAAAAUCGAAGCCACAAAAAAAUCCACAUCUCUCAGUCUCCGCUUCCCAAAAAUUCAAUUAGAUUUUGAAAUUCCAGCGAAGGGGGAGGAGACACACACACACACACACACACACACACACACAGAUCUUCAAAUUUCAUCAAUGGAUCAUUCAAAGGUUCAAGAGGUAACUUCAAUGAUAAACCCUUAAGCUUUCCAUUUUGGAUCUUUAAUUUGUCUUCUGAAUUUAUUUAUAUAAAUAUUUCGAUUCUUGUCCAGAUCGUGGAGAAGCAGGUAUUGACCGUGGCGAAGGCCUUCGAGGACCAGAUCGACGAAGAGAUUGCGGCUUUAGAUCGACUCGACCAUGACGAUCUGGAAGCUAUUAGAGAGCGGAGGUUGCAGCAGAUGAAGAAGAUGGCAGAGAAGCGAAGUCGUUGGAUCGGUUUAGGCCAUGGUGAAUACUCUGAGAUUCCAGCUGAGAAAGACUUCUUUUCCAUUGUUAAAGCUAGUGAACGAGUCGUUUGUCACUUCUAUCGCGAAAAUUGGCCUUGCAAGGUAUAUACGCCUAAUUUUAUUGAAAUUUCCUUAUUGUGAAUGCUAAUGAGUUAUUGAAUCAAAAGGCAAGUAAUUAUUAUGAAUUUUUUUCUUUAUUUAGAAGUAGAUUUGAAGAUAAAAAGCAAUCUAAAUCCGUCUUUUUUGAGUUGAACCGCAGGUGAUGGACAAGCACUUGAGUGCACUGGCAAAGCAGCAUAUAGAGACACGUUUCGUGAAAAUUCAAGCUGAGAAAAGCCCGUUCUUGGCUGAGAGGCUCAAGAUUGUUGUUCUUCCUACACUUGCCCUUAUCAAAAAUGCCAAAGUCGAUGAUUAUGUGGUAUUGUUAAAUGUUCUUUCCAACAAAAUUUAACAUCUGAAUUUGGUCUUCGAUCUUUUUGUUUUUCACUGUUUGCUAAUAGUUUUUCAUGUCUGUAUUUUGAUGGUGUGAUUCAUUUGCAGGUUGGGUUUGAUGAGCUCGGGGGAACAGACGAGUUUUCCACUGAAGAUUUGGAGGACAGAUUGGCUAAAGUUCAAGUCAUCUUCUCUGAAGGCGAAUCGUCAUCGAAGCCCAGAACACAAACCAAAAGGAGUGUCCGACAGAGCUCGAACCCAGACUCGUCCGAUUCGGAUUAACUGUGGGUUGUCUCGGUUUGUAAGCUUUCUUUACCUGUUUCAGUGGAAAUCAAUAGGAUUUAUCAUCAUUCCAUCUUUAAAUACUGUCAAAGCAAAUGAAGAGAAUAUCAUUUGUUGUAUGAAUGAGAUCAUUUAAUCAUCUAUAUAUAUAUAUAUGCUCAAUCUAAUUUUGCUGUAAUUUUUGUUUCGAUUUAUGCAUUCGGAUUUGGUAAAUUUUUUGUUUCUGCUUAUGCAUUUGGAUUUGGAAACGGGUGAUUGAAAGCCUCAUCUCACAGCAGAGGGAUGUGAGCCAAAAUGAUCAACUGCUUCCAGCUUGUACUAUUUAUCUACUCACUAAGGAUUUUGCAUCGAAUCAUUCUCUAUGAGAGAGUUGGAACUGUCAUUAUUCUAAUAUUACUGUGGAUUUUGUUAAGGAGUAUCUUAAGAAUAGUUUUUCAAGGUUAUUAUAUCUACCAGGCAUAUGCUAUAUGCAAUGGGAGAAUUAAAUUUUGUUCCACCAAUAUUUUUACGGAUUUUGUCUACUCAUUCCUUAGAGUUAGUUGUUAUUGGGUCGGGUCAAAUUCAAGUAGAUUUAUACAUGGUAUCAAUGAUACAUAUAUUAUUAAAAAACCGGCUUGGUCAGAGAAUGUAGGGCACAUCUAAAAAUAAGGAAAAAGUGCCGAGUGAGUCUUCGUUUGAUUGGGGCUAAUGCAAGAGGACAUGGAUUCGAGUGCAUUGAAGUGUAUUAUACUCCUAUUUAUGGGUUGGGAGGGGCGCAUUGUGUAAAAAAAAAAGAACAAAUAUGAUUAGAAUUUAUAACGAGAUUGUUUAAAAAAAUAAGGAAAAUGAAAUAUAAUUUACCUAAAUUUUGUUUAUUUUAUAUUUUUAAUUAAAAAAGUUCAGCUAGCGAGUUUCAAGUAACAAUUUGAUAAUCGGUAUGACGGAUUAGUACUCAUCGGCAGGGAUUUAAAUUGCGGUCGCGGUCGCGUUUUCGGUCGCGUCGCGUUUGUCGCGGUCGCGGACAUAACGGACGCUAUUGCGGUCACUGCGGGUAUCGCGGUCGUGAAUUUUUUUCAAAUUCGCACAACUUACUGUAAAACAUAGUAAUUAUAAUUAUAAUUAUAAAAAGUCACUUUUAAUGAUUUUUAGAGUGUUUUCUAACACUUAUGAACCUUUAUUAAUAUGACAUGAGAACACAACUUUUAUAAUCAUUAAUUAUUCUUAUAUUUAUUUACGAAUUUUCUAAGAAUGUUAUAUUAACUAAUAACAAAGUAAAAAAAAAGAAAUAUUAAACAUUUAUCAUAUUUAAUAAGUUUGAAAGUUUUUAUAAAUAAAAGAAUUGAGAAUUCAUACAUGAGAGAUGUCUUCAAUAUUUCUUGACAGCUUUGAAGAUAGUGAAGAUAUAAAUACGCUGCAAAAGGAAAAAAGGAAUAGAUAAAUUAAUGAAUAGAUUCUCAUUAAUUAUUCCUAUUUCCUACCACUUAUUCUCAUCUCAUUCUACUUUCAUAUAUAAUUUAACAUGCUUCGAUUUUUCAUUAUCUUUUCAUAAAAUAUACUUCAUUCAUUUAUCUAAAGAUAUAUAUUAUUUUAAAUGUUUUAAUAUCAUCAAAAUUAAGAACAAUAACAAAGGAUUUCUUUAAAAAAAACAUACCUUACAAAUAAUGAUAGUGGCACGAUUUAGUUUUCACCAAUUAGUGGAAUGACGAGGAAGAUCAAAUCCUUCACCUUCACUUUGGGAGCGUUCUUGACUUGAUUCUCUUGGCCUUUGUCCAAAAAUAUAUCCAAAAAAAGCAACAUUUUCACCUUGGUUUUCAUUCAAUUGAUAUGGAGGAUAUAUUUGAGGAGGAGGAUACAUGAAAGGUGGAGGUGGGUGAUACAUUGGUGGAGGAGGAUACAUUUGAGGCUGGUAUGGCACACCAUAAUUAGGAAAUGGUGGAUAAUAACCAUAUGGUUGUGGAUAACCAUGUGAAGGUUGUUCUGGUGGAUAAAAACCUUGAGUGCUAGUAGAUGAAUCACUAUACCCAAGGUUACUAGAACUCGAUCUCCUACCACUACCAGAUGAAGAGCCUAUAGAAGUAUGCUUCUUGCCUUUUCCCUUUGAUGGAGCUCUAGGUUCACUUCUAUCUCUCCUAGGUUCAGGAAACAUAUUUCCAUCAAACUCUGAUCUGUCACGAAAAUGUCCACCAGUGGUACCACCCCCAUAUUCUCCUCCAUACUGACUAGAAGACCUAAUUUCACCUCUAUCACCACUAUAUCCGUCAUCCUCAUCAAUUGGACUUAAACCACCACCAUCGGGUCCAUCGCCACUCUGACUUGGAGUUGAACUAGAACUUGAAUGAGACAAAAUUUGUUGUUGCGAUUGAUCAACAUCCAUUUCAUCAUCAGAGGUAUCCACAGGCAACACACCGGCAUUUUCACCAUCUAACAAUGGAUUCUCUUUCUCAUGAAGCCAUUCUGAUAGUGGAUCAACAUCUUCAAAGAUAUAAUCAAGGCUGAUAGGAUUAAAACUAGCAUUUAUAUCAUCAGUGCUCAUUCUUUGUUGAUGCCUCAUCUUAAGCCUCAUAUUAUAAUAGGUAAACACUAGUUUUUCAAGUUUUUUAUACUUUAACCUAUUUCUUGCCUUGGUGUGAAUAUAACUAAAUGUGCUCCAAUUUCGUUCGCAAUUUGAUGCUGAAGUUGUUUGACUAAGCACUUUAAUUGCUAAUUUUUGUAAUUCGGGAACACAUGUGCCAUAUAUCAUCCACCACUCAGCUGCAUAAUAUUAUUUAAAUUUCAAAAUAACUUUAAAAUGUACAAUAUAAUUAAAUAAUAUAAAUUAAAUUAAAUAAUUCAAUUAACUGUUUACCCGGAUUCAUUUGCUUCCAAGCUCUUUGUGCUUGUGGAGUACCGAAUGUCUCAUGUUUAUCUCUAAAUAAUAACAACUGCAUAAAUAAAAGAUAGAGUAAAAAUAAAAAUAAAAAUUCUAUUUCAAAUUAUUUAACUAAGUUACAAAUAAUAGUAGUUGAAUCUAACCUGAUUAACCAUUCUGACUUGAGUAUCCAUAGAAGGUUCUAAUCUUUCAAUUACUGAUCGUGUACCUUCUAAUGUUUCUAUUAAUACAUUCUCAGAAUGCUCCACCCCAAAUUGAAAUUGAGGGUUGAGAAAAUAACCUAAGUAUAAUUUAUAAGAAUAUCAUCAAAUAAUAAUAAUCUAAAGCUUAAAAUAAUAAAAUAUAAAAAUAGUUCUUAAUUAUAUGAAAUAUUUUAUCUUACCAGCUGAAUGCAAGUCGGAAUGCAUAAAAUUCCAUCUAUUGUCAAUAAUCUUUUCAUACUCUGUGAAAUAUCGACAAUUUUGUUGAAUUGCUCGUUUAGCCCUAUCAACAGCCUCAUAAAUAAAGUCCAUCGUUGGUUUUUCAUUGCUAUCCACAAGUCUCAAUACUCUUACUAAGGGCUCAUAAACUUUUAUGAGGUCAUUGGCUUUUUUCCAAAAAUCUUUUCCCAAAACAAUUUUUUUGGCUUCAUAAGCAGGCCCUGACUUUUGCUUUCCCCAUUUUGAUUCUUUAAAUUCCUAUAUAUUCAUAAGAAAAAUUUUAAAAUAAUAUAAUUUAAAUUAUUUGGAACUAAUAAAAUCACUAAAGGUUACUAUAUUUAAGUAAUUAUAUUAACUAAUUAUAAAAUACUGACCUUUGAAUUAAACAUUUCUCUCAAACCUUGCUUUUGUCUUGUUAUCUCUUCAAGUUGAAUGAAAUGAGUUGCAAAUCGAGUAAGAGCGGGUCGAAGUAUUUGUUUCCCUUGUGUAUACUUCUUCAUCAAAUCAACAGUCCAAAUGUGAUUGUAUAUAAAGCAAGUCACUUUCUUUGCCUCAUCUAACACUUUUGCUACACUGGGCUUUUUCCCAAUAUCUUCAAGGCAUAAAUCUAAACAGUGAGCUGCACAUGAGGUCCAAUAUAGAUGUUGUCUUUUCAACAUUAACUUUUUUCCAGCAGCUUUCAUUGCUGCCUCAUUAUCAGUCACUAUUUGGACAAUGUAAUUUUCUCCAAUUUCUUCUACAACUGAAUCUAACAAACGGUAGUAGAAUUCAGCAUCUCUACUACGGACACUUGAGACAUCUACCGAUUUCCAAAAAAUGGUUCCUUUACUGCAAUAAACAAGGAAAUUAAUGAUGUGCAUUUGAUUCAAACUGUUGGUCCAACCAUCACACAUUAGAGUUGCACCCAAUUCUUUCCAAUGAGUCUUUAGUACAUUUACCCAAUCAUGAACUCGUUGAUACUCUGACUCCAAAUACACAUCUGAAACCUCAUAAGGUGUUGGGAGCUUUACACCUUGUCCAACUUCUGUUGCCACUUGAAUUAAGUUAUACAACCAUGGAGAGCUUGCUAAUUGAAAAGGAAGUCUUUCAUAUAUUAUAAAUUUAGAUACCGCUUCACCUAUCUUCCUUCGAAAACUCUUUAAAAAAGAGUCAUUGACCUUUGGUUGCUUUGAACUUUUGCUUCUAACCAAUUCAGGUAUAGCUCCCCUUAAGGUAAACUCAGACUCACCUAGAAUAGAUUUACUUGUUCUUUCUCUAUUAUGUUCUCUAGCUGAUCCAUGAGAAGAUCGCCCUUCUUCAUAAAUGUUAUCCCAACCACCAGUACUUCGUCUGAAUUCUUCCCUUCUAUGCCACUCGUGUUGUGAUUGGAUACUUUCUCGAGUUGCUUGCCUUAUAGCAGAAACCUCAUCAAUGAAUCCCUCAUGCUCAUCCUCCUCUUCUAUUAAUUGAGAUAAGAAUUCAUCUUUUCUCCUCCUUUUGUCUAUUUUCUUUGUGUUGCUUUCUUUUAGUACAUUCAUCAUACUUUCUCUAAUGACACCUGUUAAUAAAAUAAAAAUAAUUCACACUUUAUAUUAUUAUCAAUUAUAUAUAAUCUUUAUUGAUAAAUUUACAAUAACAUUUAAUAAUAAUAAUAAAGUAUCACAUACCAGUAACAUUAGGGCAUGGUGCAACAUUGCCGGUUUUAUGAGCAAUGUGCUCUUUCAGUCGUGUUAUUCCUCCUUUCACAACUUUACCACAAAGUUUACAUACGAUACUUCCUCUCGCAUUUGGCACUAGAGUUCCAAAGUGCCAACCUAUAUCAUUACUUGGUGCACCCUCCAAUCCUUUAGUCGGGAACUCUUCACGUGGUGGCAUGCUUUAUUUUUAUUUAUAUAAGAAACAUAAAAUUAUAUUUAGAAAUAUAAGCAACUCAUUACUUAUAUAGUUAUAUUAUCAACAAUAUAAUACCAAAAAAAGUAAACAAAAUUUAAAGCUAAAGUAAAGACCUAAUAUUAUAGAAAUAAAUAAAUAUUGUGUAAAAAAAUUUAAUAAUAAUAAUACUGGUAAUAAAUAAUAAUAAUAAUAAUAAUAAUAAUAAUAAUAAUAAUCAUGAUGAUGAUGAUGAUGAUGGUAUUAAUAAUAAUAAUAACAAUAAUAAAAAUCUUAAAAUUAAAAAUUAUAUGAAAGGAUAUACUAUAUAGAUAAAUAAAAUGAUAUAAUAAAAUAAAUGUAUUUAAAAUAUUUAGGUAAAUAAAUAUGAAAAGAAAUAUAAUUGAAAUAAUAAUGCAAAACUAAUUAAAUUUUAAUAAUAUGGUAAUAAUAACAAGUAAAUAAAUAAUAAAAUAAAAAAGGAAAAAUAAUAAUAGUAAUAGUAAUAUUAAAUUAAUUAAUUUAAUAAUAAAAUAGCAAAAAUAACAAAAAGGGACUAAAUCGAACUUAAAACAUAAAUUUGCGGCAAAUCCAAAAUAAAUAAAAAGAAAAAGGACCAAAUUGAAUGCACAAAUAACAAAAAUGGAUCAAAUGGGAAAUAAUCCCCAUCCUUCAAAACGCACAGCUUCAAGGUGGACCAAAUUGAAAUACGAAAUAAAUUAUAGGACAAAAUUAAAAAAGAAAUAAGCUUGAUUGUAAAUAAUAAAAAAUAGGAAGGGCUAAAAGCGCAAUUAACCCUUCUGUUAAAAACACGCGGAUCCUAGGAAACGGGUCGGGUAAGUGCGCGGGUUAGGCCGAAACGGCGUCGUUUUGGUGCCAGAGUGGCCUGCCCAAAACGGCGUCGUUUUGAAGGCCUAUUUAAAUGAAAAAAUUUUCAGAAUAUUCAUUUCUGCCAUUCUUCAAAAACUUGCUUUUGCCUUUUUCUCUCAAUUAUUUUCUUCUCUGCCGUUGCCCAGAAUCCGGCCAUCGGCCACCGUGGCAGCCGCCGAUCACCGGCGACGGCGCCGCCGUGCACGGUGGUCGAAAAUCGCCGAAAACAUUUUAACCCCCCUUUUUUUGUGUAGAAUAUAGAUCUAGGGAUAAAAAUAUCAAAAAAUCACUCUAUGUUGCAGAUUCAAGACAUGCAAGUACUUUACUGGUUAGACGGUUAGUUUUCUCUACUUACUUGAUCUAUUGCUUUGCUUGCUGCCUGUGCCCUGUGGCUGUGUUUUUUGCCUUGCCGAAAUAUGGAGAAUGAAGAAAUAUAUUUUGCCUUUUCGUUUGCUUGUGAAUCUGUGAAAUGUGAGUUUGUGAGUGAGUUUUGAUUUUUUUAAUCGACUUUCAGAUUCAGUCUUUUACUUUACUUUGUUUUGAUUGCAGGUUGGGAGGGAAUAUAUUCCCUUGUCUUUUGUUUUAUUAUGAAGUACAAUUAUUCAGUCUUUCUUCUCAACUUGAUUUUUUUUUAAUUUACGGAAACGGAAAAUAACGGGAAUAGCGGCCCGUUAUUGCCGCAAUUGUCCGUUAUCCGUUAAAUUGCGGCCGCUAUCCACCGUUAUCGGUGUGAAUCCGCUUCCCUCCGUUAUUUUCAGCAAUAGCGGUUUCGGUCGGCGGCGCUACCGCUAUAUAACGGCCGUUAUUCUAAAAACGUUCCGUUAUUUGAAUCCCUGCUCAUCGGCAAGUAGAAUAGCAUAUUUUAAAUCUAAAUUGAUCUGAUGGUCAGUAUUAGAUGAUCAAUGAAGAAAAUUGUUUGAAUUUUGAUUUGCAAAUUUGACUAAGUAAAAGAGAAGGGGAAGAAGAGUUUCAUUGUUGCGAGUGAGGUGAACAAAAAUGUUAUACAAUAGUGAUUUUAAUAGUUAAAUGACUUAAAUAAAAUUUUUUGAAUAGUUUAGUUUCUAUUUUCUAAAAUUGAAUAAUCAAAAUAUAAAUUUAUUAAUAAUUUAGUGACAUUAAGUGUAAUUUACCCUAAAUAAUUAACUCAUUCGUAAAUAAAAUUUUAUUUUUAUUUAAUAUUUAUUAAUUUUAUAUACUUUUUAUUUUAUAAAUUUUUAAACAUAAAUAAUUUAAAUGUUUUUUAUAUUUACAAUAUAAUUUAUUUUUAGUUUUCAUGUAAUUUAAAUUUCAUAGUUCAUACGAGUAAAAGAAAACUAAGGUUAGACUUUGACAUUAAAAUGGGCAUACCAAGGCCUCCCUAUAACCUAAAUGGGUUUAAUAUUUUGCUAAACUUAAUAUUUUUGUUUGAAUCUUCAUAAAUGUGAAGCAGGCAUUUGUACAUAAUCAGAUACCUCGAAUUUUGAAUGAAUUUAAUUUGAAUAUUUAAAGCUAUUAUUAAAUUUAACAUUUUUUAUUUUAUAUUUUUAUUAAAUAGUUGGGUAAAUUUACGUUUUGAUAAUUCAACUUCAAAAAGUUACAGAAUAGUUAUUAAAUUAAUCAAAAAAUUUUAUUUAAGUCACCGACUGUUAAGUUUUUUCUUCUUUUCAAAAAGUCCAUUACUAGUCGUCGAUGAGUAGAAAUUUGAAUUAAUCUAAAGAUGUUCCGUAUUAAAAAAAAAACUAAAUUGUAAAAGAGAAAGGGAAGAAGUUUUUCAUUGGUACGAGCAAUACAAACAAAAAAAAAGCCAUACAAUAAAGAUUUUAUUAAUCCAAUGAAUUAAAUGAAAACUUUUUAAAAUUAAAUAAUCAAAACGUAAACUUACUAAUAAUUUAGUGAACUUGAGCUUUUAUAACCUAAAUAGGUUAAAUAUUUUUGUUCGAAUCAUCUCAAAUGUGAAGCAAAGUAUUUGUACAUAAUCAGUAGCUGGACUUUUGAACAAAUUUAUUUUGAAUAUUUAAAGCUAUUAUUAAAUUUAAUACAUAAAAUAUAAAAACUAUAAUUGUAAAAAAUAAUUAAGAUAAUAUUAAUUCAAUUUCAAACUAGAAAAUCAAAUAUUUAAUUAAAUUUCCAAUAAAAAUACACAUAACAAAACAACAAAAAGCAAACCCAUAAACCAUUUUCAGUGCAGAAUUCAAUCUAUCGUCCUUGAAUAUAUGGUAAAACAAAAACUAUAAUAAUAGUUACUUCCUACACCACACAUGGUGUGCUCAAGAUGACAUUCAACAUUUCACUAAAUCCUAUCCCUAAUUGAACAAGGGCUUAGGUUUAUUAAUGGCAAACAAUGACAACAACAUUAUAAAAUAAAAUAAAAACCCAGAACCAUGCAUGAUUUGUGAAGAAGAAAAACACAGGCAAACACAAAGGAUGAUGGUAGGUGGUCAUACACGAUUAGUCUUGCUACAUUUGACACGGUCCAACACCAUUUUCCCAAACAAAUGACUGUGCAGAACUGAAUAAUGUCUUAAUAUGAAUCUCACAAGUUUGUCGUACAGAUCUCCCUGAAUGUAAAAAAAAAAACAACAAAAUAAUUAAAAGUUCAGUAGAUAACUGGAAGACUAUGACUAUGAAUAUAAAAAAGAUGGUCAAUUUCUACAAAAGGUCCUUCUACUAUUAUGUUUUUUUCCGGAAAUUAAAAAAAAAGGACAAAAAAUGAUAUAUAGAGAUUUAUCAAAUUAAUAGAGGGACUAAAUUGGCUAAAAAUGAAUAGUAAAGGUAGAGUUUGACCUAAAAAAGGAGAUGCAAGAAAUGUAAGGUUGAAAAUGAAGUUAUAGUAAUAUGGUACCUUGGAAACACGCAAGGCAGAUUGAAUAACAUAAUUUCCAUAAGCAUCUUGAAGGACCUUCAAGAAAUCAAUGUCGAACAUGAUUUCUUUGAUGAUCAUUGAUGCAUGUUCACUUGAACAUUUCAUGCAUUUCUCCACCACAUUGCUGCCAUAUUUGUUCAUUGAAAGGGAAACGUAAGUCCCUCGAAGCUGCAUGAUUAAGUUUGAGGUAACAUGACGAAGUCUCAUUCCAACUACAAAUUGCACAACAUAGUUCCUGCAAAUUUAAGAUAAUUAUAUCGUAUGCGUAGAGCACUUGCUGAUGCACCACAUUAGUUAUAUAUAUAUAUAUUAUUUUGUACGUGGAGUAUUUUUUAGAUUCUACACGUAGGAUUAAAAGUAUGAUAUGCGACUGUAAUAUAUUGUAAAAAUAAAAAAUAAAUAUAUAAAGAAAUGAGGCAUAUGUCACCCUUUUAAUCUUACUAAGGGAAUUUAAAAACUUGUGCAAAGGUGGUGGGAAGAGGCAGGUAUAAAAUUUAUAAAAUUUUAAAUUAGUAUAUAAUGAAAUUACAAUUUAAACUCUAAAUUAAUACAUUUUUAAUUUAAUUUUUUAAAAAUUAUAAAAAUAUAAAUUAAUAAAAUGAAUAAAUUAUAUUUCACCUUCCAUAAAAUUAUACAAUUUAAAAGCUAAUGAGACAAUGAGUAAAGUUCAACCCACCUAAUUAAAACCAAGAAGGAAAAACACAACUAAAUAAAUUUUCCUUAAACCUAAAAAAAAAAUCCCCUCAAAAUCUUGAAAAUUUAUCAUUAAUCCUUUUAAAAUUUUGAAAAUUUUCCUUAAAACCCCUAAAUUUUUUGAAAUUCUAAUAAAGCAUUAUAAAGAUUUAAAAAAUUAAUUAAACCCUCUAAAAUUUUCCAGAGUUUUAAUUAAUUUUUUUCAAACCUAAAAUUUUUGAAAAUCAUCAAAUUAAACCAUUCAAAAUUUUUGAAAAUUUUAAUGAGGUCCCAAAACUUAGAUGGUAAUUUGAAUAGAAAAAGGAAUUUGAGAAGCAAACCCAUAGCAAUGCUCGGAAAGAAUAAAGGCAUUUGAUAUAAUUUCAGCGAGCAUACGGUCCCUAGCUUCUAUUUGGACAUGGCUCAAGCAUUGAUUCAACACACAACACCCACUUUUAUCAGUCGCAAUGUCCAUACAAUUAUUUGCUAUUUCAUCCGCAAUAUGCUGCAACGAAACAAACAAAAACAAAAACAGAAAAAAAAUUAUUUCGUCGGCUCCUUACUACAAUUGAGAUCGAGUUGUAUGAAACAUGAAUAUAACUGAUAUUGCAUUAAACUAUUAAAAAAAUGAUACAAAUAAUACAGUCACUGUAUUAUACAAUCCUUCCUUUGAUAUCAUUCGUAAUAAGGAUUGUUAUAUAAGGAGAACUUGGAUUUAAACCUUAGAAAUUUCAUGAUACAAACUAUAAUAUAAUCAUGUUAAUACUAAUAAUUAAGUUACAAUCAAUAUCUACAUAUAUAGUAACAUUAAUUUCUAAGUAUAUACAUGCAAAAAUAUACGUGUGUAUAUAUAUAAUCAUUACUGGUACGUAAAGAUAAGCAAAUAUAGGAAACAAUUAUACCUUGGUAUCUUCAUUUGAGAAAGUAAAAAUGCACUGAUCAAUUAUAUGAUGACCAUGGAUGUUGUUCGUCAAUGUAACAGCAAUAGGUUUCAAAACCGACAAAAGUAUCGAUAUUUGUUCUUGAGAUUUCAUCCGCAGCAUAAGCUUUUGAACCGCCCAAGUCCUGAAAAAGAAAAACACAUACAAUAUCCGACCAGAAGAAAAGCUUACAGUUUCAUUGAGAAAGAAACCCUAAUGGCAUGUUCUUGGUUCUUUACCCGAGUGUAUCAGUGCAAACUUCCAUGAAUCUUUGUUUUCUAGUGACGAGUACUAGGAGUAGUUCGGUCGUUUGUUGUUGAUUGAUCACUUCGAAGAGUUUUUGGAUGACAUAAUUAGCGAACUGGUGUACCAUUAACUCGUGAAGUUGAUCUUUAACUUCGGAUAUAACCAUAUCGAUGUCUUCACGUUGGAUGAUUUUGUCGUCGAAUUUCUUUUGCAAUAAACGACAGCCCUUUUGGUCUUUGGCGACGGCGGAGAUCCGACCUUUUAGUUCCUUCAGUGAUGAACACGUGAACCAUUCUUGGCCACGAUUGUUGUACAUUGGAGGGAAUAAAUUAGAUUUAGGGUUUUCGGGUUGCGAGCCAUUAGAACUCCAUAUAGAGUUGUUGGUACCCCAGUGGGUAUUCAUCGGCCAACGCCGGUUAGUGUAAGGCAAUUCAUUGAAAGAUCGGCUCCUCUGUCGAUACACGUCAAAGCCAGGAAAACUCGGUUGCCGCUGCGGCGGUGGUCGAACCAUAGAUGCUCCUAGAAAAUCAUAGCUUCCAAACCCCUCAUUGUGAAACCCUAAUCCUAUUUGCCCUCUCACAGCAGAUUCAACCCUCAUGCUUUGUAAACGAGAGCUAUUGUGAUCAAUAAGAGUCAUUCGUCUAAAAGAAUCUUCAAGGCUUUCAAAGCUUUGUUGGGAAGGUAAUGGAAGGUUUGGAGUUAAGGGAUAUGAUCUUUGGGAAGAAUAAACAGUAGGGUUCUGGAACAGACCAUGAGUAGGGCUUUGACGGAAACUAGGGGUAGAAUAUGGAGGAAGAAACAGACGGUUUUCAUAGGUGGUUUUCUUCAUGAAAGACCAGUACAAGCCUUCAUUAUCUAUUCUCACCAUGGGGUUUUCAGAGGUGGUUUCCUCCAUGUCCAUGAACGGAAAUUGAGAACCUUCCAUAUCAUCUUUUUUCUCCAUUGGGAGUGGGGGUGGGGUUAGGGUUAGUGUAUUGGUUACAACUUGGGAAACAAAAAAGAGGGUUUUAAGGAAAGAAUAUAAUGGCAAAAUAAUAGCUGGAGUGAAAGGAGCAACUAGUGUUUGUAUCAAACAAGGAAACAUACAUACCACGUUAACUACUCUGACUAUAAAUAUAUUAUAUAUUUAUUAUAUCAUUAAAACCAUAUAUAUAUCUUCUUCUUUUUUAAUCCUUUAAUUUUGUUUUUCAUAAUUAAUUAAUCAUUAUUUCACCAAUUACCUAUGGGUUUAAACACAUCAAUUU
RNAcentral lists this long non-coding RNA (135231 nucleotides) under Gossypium barbadense (sea-island cotton). RNAcentral's name for it is "long non-coding RNA (GBAR_LNC014573)". The stretch from base 8199 to 8342 matches the Rfam family "MIR7502 microRNA precursor family". The record is from RNAcentral. Lineage: Eukaryota; Viridiplantae; Streptophyta; Magnoliopsida; Malvales; Malvaceae.